CAGUUACACAUUUGAAAAGGAGAGAAUUAUAUCUGCUCUUUUUUUCCCCUUCUUUACAGGCAUUCCAGAGAGAUUCCCCCCUUGCUGCAGACCUAUCAACCGCCAUCCUUCAACUUUCAGAGAGUGGCCAGCUCCAGAGAAUUCACGACGAGUGGCUCACAGAUCCGACCUGCGGCGAUGAUGACAGUGGGUUGGGAGCAGUCAGGCUUGGCCUGGGAAGCUUCUGGGGCCUUUUCCUGCUGUGUGCUCUGAUAUGCGUCUUUGCUCUCAUGGUUUACUUCGCAAGGAUCUGCUGGCAGUAUAGCAGGUACUCCAGCUCCGAACCUCCCAGUGAGCCAAGCGACUCUGCUGCUGCCGUCACCGCUGCUACCAUUGCUCAAAUACGGCCAGAGAAGCCAAAGCCGACGCGCCUUGGCAGCUUCAAGGAACUGAUACAGUUUGCGGACACGAAGGAGGAGGAGAUCAAGAAGGUGAUGAAACGGAGAUUGAGCGAAAAAGAUACUCGGGCCACCGGAUCUGCGCACUCGGUCUCUUCAGCAUAGAAGAGGAUCUUUCAUUUCAGGUGACACAGCCCCAGGUUCUUCUUACACAGCCAAGAUACGUAGCAUAUACUGAAGUAGAUAACAGCGGUAUACUUGACACUUGUAGGAUUCAUAAAUCUUUUUUUUUGCGGUCAUUUGAAUUCCGUCUCGGAUAUGCGGUAUAUAUGCAGCAACAUUGUCCCAACUAUUAAUAUUCCGAGAAUUAUUUUCUUGACCGACAUGCCUUAUGAUUCUAAAAUGUACUUUUUUUCGGAACGAGGCAAAAGAUUUACCUCAUAUAUUAAUUAAGAAAGAAUAGAGUGUUUACACGAGCCGAACAAAUACAAAGUGGUGUUACUCUCCCAGUAUUAUAGUACCCAGCUUCUUAGCCCCGGUGACCCAGGUGAAGGCUUCACUCUUGAUGUUGCUUAGCAGAAUUGGGGGUGGCAUGCUCUUGUUGCGGAAAAUGACAUGGCUUUCCUGUUGGGAGUGCACAAACUCGAUUGGCUGACCCACCAAUCCAUAAUGGAGUCAUGAAGGUGCCAUGUCGAACUGUCAAGGUUGUCGCUUGACGAAGAGGUGUAGUCCAGACUCCGGCUCCCGUUUGGAGAGGGGGCAAAGAUGGCAAUUCGGCCAUCCCCGACGUGCUAGACGAUCAGUGGUCCAAAUUCGGUCCUGGAUGGCAAGCCACGCAAAGAACUUCUCCACACCGUGUGAUCUAAAAUGUACUUUUCAUCACUGUUUCCGAAGUGAGUCUAUAGAUGGCUUCUUUUUUUCAACUCUAGUACGAUAGAAAAAUAAACUCUGCCAUGCAUUUAAUCUAUAUCUAUACUUACUAUAUGCUAUGCUACCUACUAUUAAAGCAAGGUGAUAUUCUUGGUUUCGUCCUGCUUAGGUGAUUAUAUAUAUUUUUUUACUAUAUUCGAGGUGGUACUAUUUUUUGCUACAAAACAGAUUCAUAUUCGUUACCAUUAACGCUGUUUUUUGGGGUCUAUGCACGCCAACGCUGCUCUGGGCCUUUUCUUGGUGUAUGUCACAAACGUACUGGGCCAUGGGCCUGCUCUUGUGCUUAGAAAAAGAUUCGCAAAAAAUUGCCACUUGCACUAAGGAUCGAGCCCACGACCUGGUAUUUGCCUCCUUCAGGCUAGGACCAGCUAAGCUUGCUCCUGUGUAUGUUAACUACACCGCUCAUUAUGCAUUUAAAUAGUCUCACCUCGCUUUUUUACAUGAUCUUUUAUCAGUUUAUAUAGCCCACAAGUUGACACAGAAUAAAAAAGACAUCAAGAAUAACGAACAGAGGCUGAAGUGUGGGUCCUAUUUAACCUUGAAAGCAAAGGAAUUUCGCAAUAUAAGAAAGAAGACAGAAAAGGACACAGUAAAAAAGUUGGGGUGAAUAUCAGUUAACUCGCGUGAAAUGGAGGCUGGAAGGGAGGACCAUGCCAUCUCUUGUAAUUAAAGGAAAUUAUGGUCGUAUGAAGCAAAUGGAUAAAACGAAACCUCGAUCAAAUGAAAAUAUUGCGGACUCCUAGCUUUUCAUUAUGAAGACACCUAAGUUUGCGGACUCAAUUGAUCACAAAACUUUAUUUCAUUGAUAGCAUUGAUUUUCAUCAAAAAUUAAUAUGCAGCUAACAAAAAAUGUUAGAAAUUUUGUGAUCAAUUGAGAUUAUAUUCGGUUUAUGUACAUUAGAAUUAUAUACAUAGAAGGAUGAUCCGAAUUUGUGAAAAAAAUGUAAAAAAAUAAGGGUAAUAGAAUUAUAUACACCUUUUGACGUAAUGUUAGAAACUAGGAUAACACUAAAACUGAUUAUGUGAUAUUUUCACUCUUUCCUCUUAUGAACAGAAAGUGUACAUAAGGAAAGAGGACGUGAAUGAGGAUAUGUAACAAUACGGGUGGGAUGCCAUGUUCAAAUAGAGGAUAUGAACCAGGGUUUUGAUCUCCCGUUGCAAUGCACGGGCCUAUGUCCUAGUAGAAAAAAAAAUAUAGACAAUACUGAAUUGUCCAACUAGCACGAUAAGAUAUGACCAAAUCAUACAAUUUGUGUUUCGGUUUCUGAAUCGUACCAAACAGGUGUAAAUGCAGCUGAGAUGGUAUCAUCCUGAACCCGGAACUGAGCUGUUGUGCUGUUUAUCUGGAUCUGGACAGUCUUGCGUGGGCGCAAGACCCAUAAUGAUCCUCAGCUCCUUACAUUUUUGGUCCUGUACAAAACAGUCUACUAAAACCAAAUGUCUCCUACUCCCAGGUUAACAGAUCGCUAGUGCUAUACUAUACUGAUUCUGGGAUCAAUGCUGAGGUGGAAAAUGCUCUGUUUCUUUUUGGGAUCACAAGGACUUGAUCAAACUCGAUAGUUAUUGCUAUGAAGAAGGCCAAAAUGGCACUGCAUAGCAGAUUUGGAAGUAGAACAUAGGUUAAAGAAGAUGCAUGAAUGAGGGAGGUCGACAUACUGAAAAAAGUACUCUCCCUGUCUUGAAAUACGAGGCGCAAUUUGAUUUAUAUUGCUUGAUUCAUCAGAUUUUCUUUUAUUGCUUGAUUGGUAACUGAUACCACGAUGACUCCAUAUAGGACUUGACCCCUAAGUUAUGAUCCGAAGGAUAUGGGUCAUGUGCCAUGUGCCGAUGUGCUAGUGCUGACGAGUUUUUUUUUUUUGAAAGAUCCAGCAUCGCUGGCAUUUCAUUGAUAAUAGCAGGAAGCAGCGGAAAACAACAAGAUGGUGAAGGUCCUAGGACCAGAUCCGAAGAUCAAAGAAAGAGAAAAGGGAAAGAAAAAAAACUACAACCCUGAUAGCUGCGGCUCAACACUCCAAACCAAUCCAUACUAGGCAGCAGCUCCGACUCCGACGGCGAACUACUAAGGAAGCUAGGCAGGGGUGGCGUCACGGAGGAUCACCGAAUGAGCCAAUCUGUUACGCGUCAUCGUAUACCACCGGCCCCCCACCGUGGCUUCGACUUCACAGCAACAGGCAAUCAAGGAACACCCACGGACACGCCAAAGAAGAAGAGUCAACUACCACGACGAAGGCCACGCCUCCGACAUUGCUCACCGUCGUCAUCGUUGCCACAGAACCGCCGUGCACGUCCAGUUGUUGGAAGCACCAAAGGGAUCAAAGUCUUCAAGACGGUGCCCUAAAGAGGGGAACAACGUUGAAGACGACGCCACCGCCCGACCCUGUAGCAGGAUCUGGGUUUUCACCCGAAAGACUUGAUCCGGGAGAUCUGACUGUGUGAUUCCCGACGAUGCCUCCAAGGAGGAUAGCGACACCCACAUGCGCCGUCCCCGUCGGCUGACCAACACCGGCCAAGCUUUCACCCGGGGCAGCCACUCCCACGCAGCGGGUCGAGGUCGACCCGUGCCUCCACUGAACCGCGCACCCCACACAUAACAAGCACGCCACUGCUGUGCCGGGCCACCACCAAGCCUCGCCGACGACGGGCCUGCAGAAACCAUAUCGGGUCCUACACCCCGCAUCCAACCGCGGUCGGAGCCUCUCUGCUCCAGCACUGCCCGCGCUCGCCCGCUGCGCAGCCUCGGACCUCCUCCAUUAUGCACUGCAACCCCGCGCGUAGCCUCCGGCCUGGACGGGCCCAGAUCUGGUCGGCCAUUCGCAGCCUCGCGCCUCGCCUCACCAACGCCAGCCCCAACAUGCUCGUCGCAUUCGCGGCUGUCCGCUGCAUCCCUGGCCACCAGCUAGCCGGAUCUACAAGUGCCCGCCACACCACCGCCAAGGGCGCUCGCCGCGGCAGCGAGUGACCUGCGCCCGCCCGGCCACUCAAGACACUGGUAGCACCGCACCUCCGCUCCGCCUCAAGCACUGGCGACUGCGCCAGAUCGCCGCAGCCCCACACCGUCUCCUUGCGCCCGCCCGCCCGCUCAAGGGCCCGCGUGGCACCACAACUCCUCUCCGCCUCGUCCACCAGCGACAGCGCCAGAUCCACGCAGCCCCGUGCCCGCCAUGGCGCCAGAACCUCGCGAGCUCGCCCCACUCACGCUCCUCAGUGCACCUCGCUGUGCCAAGCUUCCAUCCCCGCCAGAUUGAGCCGCCCGCGCCACUCGAGCCCGAGAAGAAGGGAACAACGGCCCUGCCGCCGCCACCGCUGCACAAGCUUUGCCCGGCUGCGCACACUGGCAACGGCGAGGGGAGCAGGUGUGGUGGGUGGUCUCCCGGCGGUGGCUAGAUUUUCCUCUCCCGAGCUGCCCGCGAGAGUGGCCUUAAACUACUACAAAUCCCAGAGCCCCGUCCAUUUUUGUUGUCUUUGGGGUCUUAUGCUUGAGGUAUGAAUUAACUACGAGUAACGCGUACAAAUGAGUUACAAGCUUUUACAAAGAGGGUAUGUAGAUCUCCUACCAUUGUAACCGACUCUAUGUAACCCUAACCCUAUCCGGUGUCUAUAUAAACCGGAGGGUUUUAGUCCGUAGGACAACGUACACAUCAACAAUAAUCAUACCAUAGGCUAGCUUCUAGGGUUUAGCCUCCUCGAUCUCGUGGUAGAUCUACUCUUGUACUACCCAUAUCAUCAAUAUUAAUCAAGCAGGACGUAGGGUUUUACCUCCAUCGAGAGGGCCCGAACCUGGGUAAACUUCGUGUCCCCUGCCUCCUGUUACCAUCCGGCCUAGACGCACAGUUCGGGACCCCCUACCCGAGAUCCGCCGGUUUUGACACCGACAUUGGUGCUUUCAUUGAGAGUUCCUCUGUGUCAUCGCCGUCAGGCUCGAUGGCUCCUACGAUCAUCGAUAGCGAUGUAGUCCAGGGUGAAACCUUCCUCCCCGGACAGAUCUUCGUCUUCGGUGGCUUCGCACUGCGGGCCAAUUCGCUUGGCCGUCUGGAGCAGAUCGAAAGCUACGCCCCUGGCCGUCAGGUCAGAUUUGGAAGUUUAAACUACACGGCUGACAUCCGCGGGGACUUGAUCUUCGACGGAUUCGAGCCACUGCCGAGCGCGUCGCACCUUCAUGACGAGCAUGAUCUAGCUCUGCCACCGAACAGUGCCCUGGAGGCCGCACCCGCAUCGGCUCUGACCCUUAAUUUGGAGCCAACUGCGCCGAUCGAGGAUGGGCGGUUGGACCUGCGACCCCAACGGCGAUUGAGCCGAACACCAGCCCAUACUCUGCGAGACUCGUGACUCCAAGGAGCCGGACUCCUCUCCGGACUCCGAACCCUCCACACCCCUGCCAAUCGAAUCCGAUCGGGCGCCGAUUAUGGAGUUCACUGCCGCGGACAUCUUUCAGCACUCGCCUUUCGGCGAUAUCCUGAAGUCACUGAAGUCUCUCUCUUUAUCAGGAGAGCCCUGGCCGGACUAUGGUCAGCAAGGUUGGGGUACGGAUGAUGAAGAAAUUCAAAGCCCACCCACCACCCACUUUGUAGCCACUGUUGACGACUUAACCGACAUGCUCGACUUCGACUCCGAAGACAUCGACGGUAUGGACGCCGAUGAAGGAGAUGAAGAACCAGCGCCUACUAGGCCCUGGAAAGCCACCUCGUCAUAUGACAUAUACAUGGUGGACACCCCAAAAGAGGGAGAUGGCGACGGAACAGCGGAGGAUGACCCCUCCAAGAAACAGCCUAAGCGCCGGCGUCAUCGGCGCCGCUCAAAAUCCCGCCAAAACAAAUACGGCAAUUCCAGCACGGGAGAUAAUAAUACUCCGGAAAGUGCUGAAGAAAACCCCCUCCAGCAAGACUUAGCACAGGAGGAUGGAGAAACCAGCCCUCAUGAGAGAGCGGCAGACAGAGAGGUCGAGGACGAUAAUUAUAUGCCUCCCUCCGAAGACGACGCAAGCCUCGACGACGACGAAUUCGUCGUGCCAGAGGAUCCUAUCGAGCAAGAGCGUUUUCAACGCAGGCUUAUGGCCACGGCAAGAAGCCUCAAGAAAAAACAGCAACAACUUAGAGCUGAUCAAGAUUUGCUGGUCGACAGAUGGACUGAAGUCCUUGCGGCCGAAGAGCAUAAACUCGAACGUCCCUCCAAGAGCUACCCAAAGCGCAGGUUGCUACCCCGAUUAGAGGAUGAAACACUUGAUGCGGCCGACCGGCCACCUCGUGGCCGCGACAGAGAGGCCUCCCGACCCUCCACUCAAGCCGCACCCCGUACCAAGGCACGGGAAUAUGCGCCGGACUUACGAGACAUGUUGGAGGACAAGGCAAGGCAAACAGGAUCGAUCUACGGAUCGCGUGUGCGCCCCAUGGCUCGAGACGGUAACCGUCACGCCGGCCACAAAUUCGGCAGGGCCGAACACAGCUCAUUGGAGCUACAUCAUGAUAUCGCCCAGUACAGAGGUUUCAAACCCCCGAGGGUUUCAAACCCGUAAACAUCGAAUCAUACGUGUCACACCCUAGCUAGUCAUGCAUUAGAGUGUUGCAUCAUGUUUACUCUUUCAUCAGAAACUUGAAAUGGGGAUCUGUGAAACCCUCAGAAUCAUUUUGAAAAUGAUCCAAAUAAAAAUUUCUCCAAAAGGGUCCAAGAAAAUGCUCAUGUUGCUCUCUGAAAAUAUUGGACAGAGAUAAAAAUCAAACCAAUAUUUUUAGUGGCUCAUGGACAUUUAUUUUGGGCAUUUGGAAUUAAGGCAUAAAUAUUUGCAUUGGAAAUAUAUUUCUAUAUAUAUGAAAUAUGGUCCAAAUAUUAUGCCAUUUCUAAAGGAGCUCUGGAAUAAUAUAUCUAGCCCCUGCAAAAAUUGGCAUAAGUUAAAUAAAUUAAUAUAUUAUUUAAAUCAAAACAAAUGUCAGAAAUUAGAAAACAGAAAAGAAAUAAAAGGGAGAAGCUUACCUGGGCUCCUCCCUGUGCAGCCCAUCCAGCUGGCCGGCCCAGCCAGCAGGCGGCCCAGCCCGCCUCCCUCCUCUGUCGUCUUCGUCCCGACAGAGGGAGGGGAGUGUGGCCGGCGCGCGCGCCCGCCACCGCGCCACGCCACCUCUCUCCCUGCUUGCCUGCCCUCCCCUCCUCGCUCGUUGCCCUGGACGACGCCACGCCUCCCCCCUGCUCUCUCUCACUCUCCCCCGGCUCUCCCCUCCUCUCCCUCGCUCUCUCUCUCACACGGCCGAACACCACCGUCGCCGCCGUUCGCCAUAGCAGCCAUCUCCGGCCACCCCUCACUCCCCCGACUAGCUCAGGAGCUCCGCCUCGACCUCCUCUUCCUCCCCACCGCUCCACGGGUCUCCGGAAGCUCUGCAUCGCCGUCACGCCGCCGUUCCCCUCUUCGGGCUCCGACCACCGUCGCCGACGAAUUUGCCGUCUCCAGCGCGUCCCCGAGCCCGCUUCGACGCCCACUGCAACCGCGGUGAGCCCCCGAGUCGUUUCCCCCUUCUUCGCGGGUCUCUUUCGACCUCUAGGCCUUAGCCCCACCUUGGCCGAGAGCUCCACGCCGCCGGCGAUGUCGCCGUCGUGGCCACGGUCACCGUAGCGCCCAACCGAGCACACUAUCGUGCUCCACGCCUCACUAGGAGCACGCAGCACGCACCAACGCCUCCCCAAACACCCUGCAACGCCGACUCCGACCGCACCCGAACUCCGGCCGCCGCUCACGAGCUCGCCGUCGACGACUCCGGCCACCUCAGGCCCGGCCACCACCACCGUUCGACGCGCGGGAGCAAGGGCUCUCCAACGAGCCCAAGCACAGCCUCGCCCGUGCCCUGUAGCGCGAUCCCGCAUCGCGCCGCCGUCUCGGGCCUCGCCGGCGUCACGUCGCCGGUGGGUUUGACCCACUUUGACCACGGCAGGACCCCCCCUGAGUCCCUGACAGGUGGGCCCAGCCCUGUAGCUAAUUAGGAUUAGCGCUAACCACUGUUAGUUAACCCCCUGACACUGACCAGUGGGCCCCAGCGCCCCUAAUUAGUAAUUAGGAUUAAUUUAACUCUGUUUAACCCCCCUGUCACUGACGUGUGGGCCCCACACGUCAGGUUUGACCUCAGCCAGCCGCAGUUGACCACUGACGUCAUGCUGACGUCAUGCUGGCGCAAUAAUCAUAUUUCUGGAUUUAAAUUAAAUCAGGAAAUUCCAGAAUAUUAUUUAAACUUCAAAAAUUCAUAACUUUUAUUCUGUAACUCCAAAUUGGACAAAUUAUAUAUGAAAAAUGAUCAGAAAAAUCCAAUCUAUCCAUCUGUACUAUUUUCAUGCAUGAUCAAACAAGUUAAAUUGAUGUUUUAAGCAGAACAAGGAAAAGCACUUUAAAAGGCCAUAUUUGAAUUUGAAAUUUGAAUCCUUGAUUCAAAUUUGUUCAAACCCUCCUGGUUUUAGUUGCAUUAGCCCAAUACACUCAUUUUGCCAUGUCUCAUGCAUGCAUCAUAUUGUUGCAUACUGUUUGGUAAUGUUUGUGAAUCGGUGCUCUCUGCGGCAGGUUCUGUCCCCGAAGAGUACCGUGAUUACCCUAACGAAGAACCGUAUCAGUGCAUCGAACCAUCAGGCAAGCAACCAACCAUUUGAUCAUAUCGAUACAAUCCCAUGUUCUCGCUCCUGCUCUCUUUUACUGCAUUAAGACAACGCGUUUCAAACUGCUGUGUGCUACGGUAGUUGAACCCAUUUCCUCUGCAUGACCUGUCAUUGCCACAGUAACUAGAUGAAACCCACUAGCAUGUGUAGGAGUUGUUUGAGCCAUAUGUAUGUGUUGUUCCUACCUUGCUAUGCCUGCUAUGCUUAGAGUCGUGUCAGGUCUGGUUCAUCUGGGUGAUGGGCUAGAGUGAAAUGUUUAUGUCGGUAAUGAGAGUGGUGUGGUGAACACGAUUUGGUAAAGGUAUCGAUGAGAGGCCAUGUAGGAGUACAUGGUGGGUUGUUUCAUUGAAGCCGACCUUAAGCACUGAGAUCUGUAUGUGUGAUUUAAGAAUCAGCUACUACCAUGCAUUGGGCCCGAAACCAAUGGACCGUCUCGGCUUCUUAUUCACCCUAGUUCUCCGUCCAGGAGUUGCAAGUAGUUUCUGGUGUUUGUAGCCUACUGGAGGCCGUGGACAGCGCUGACCGUAGGGGUGGGCUGUGAUGCGGUAGGUACGUGGCACGGUGUACCGAAUACCCGUUAGGUAUCUCAGGAACCCUGUUCACAUCGUUCGGGGCCGUAUGGGAAACCUCGGCCGGACUCCCUGCGGAUGGAACCUGGAUAGGCGAUAAACCUGGACUGGAGGCUUAGGUGAUUAGGUAGGUCGUGGCCGACACCCACGUUGGGCUUCCGCUUGAAGGUUGCCGAGUACAUGUCGUGUAAACGACGGUAAGUGGUGAGAGCGUGUAUGAAGAAGUACACCCCUGCAGGGUUAACAUGAUCUAUUCGAAUAGCCGCGUCCGCGGUAAAGGACUACUUGGUUACCUAUACAGUUCAUAGACAAGUAAAUGGAAACUGUUAAAAGCCUCAAGAUAAGUGUGAGUGCCGAGGAUGGCUCUUCCGUAGGAAGACAGAGGUGGAUCCUCGGUAGUGUAUUGAAGUGGUGAGUAGUGGACUCGUGUGCGCAAAACCAUUUCAAGUUGGAGUAUCGUAGGAUAGUCUAGCCAAGAGUCAAAGCUGGCUUGCUGCAAUAACUCCACCAACCCUUCUUGAUAAUAUGCAUGUAUGUAGGAUCUGAUGUAAGUCUUGCUGAGUACCUUUGUACUCAUGUUGCUAUAAUCUACAUUUUACAGAAGACGCUGCAACCCCUUCUGAUGGGUUCUAUGUAGACGUUGACAUCAACGAGUAGGCUAAAGACCCAGGUGGUGACCCUGAGCUUGUGAAGGACCACGUAGUAUAGUUAGGCUUUCCAAGCCUCUUUUAUUUUACUAGUUGUCUGUACUCAGACAAGUUACUUCCGCUGCCGGUUUGUAUGACUGUAUGACUUGUAUGUUGGGUCGUGAGACCCGUACCUUUGUGUAUGUUAUGUAUGGCUCCCUGAGCCUUAAAUAAAGUACUUGAGUCAUAGAGUCAUGUUGUGAUGCUUCGUUGUAUUUGCACAUAUCGAGCAUAUUGUGUGUAUGAUUGAAAUGCUUGGUAUGUGUGGGAUCUGACCAUCUAGUUGUUUAUCUUUAGUAGCCUCUCUUACCGGGAAAUGUCUCCUAGUGUUACCGCUGAGCCAUGGUAGCUUGCUACUGCUCUGGAACACUUAGGCUGGCCGGCAUGUGUCCUUCUUCGUUCCUGUGUCUGUCCCUUCGUGGAAAUGUCACGCUUUGAGUACCGGAGUCCUGUUAGCCCGCUACAGCCCGGUUUACCGGAGUCCUGCUAGCCCAGUGCUACAGCCCGGACCCACUUGCUGAUGACCGACACGUUCAAAGCUGGGUCAUGGAUGCCUGUCCUUGUAAGUCUGUGCCACUUUGGGUUUACGACUAGUCAUGUCAGUCCGGGCUCCUUAUCAUAUGGAUGCUAGCGACACUAUCAUAUACGUGAGCCAAAAGGCGCAAACGGUUCCGGGCAAAGGUAAGGCGACACCCGUGGGGAUACCGUGCGUGAGGCCGCAAAGUGAUAUGAGGUGUUACCGGCUAGAUCGAUGUGACAUUGAGUCGGGGUCCUGACAAUACGAUGGCACAACAGAUCCUGCGGUAUGGAUCGAGGAUUAUCUCCUUCAUAUCCACAUGGCCCGCAACGACGAUUUCCACGCCAUCAAAUACCUCCCACUCAAGCUUAAAGGACCAGCUCGGCAUUGGCUUAACAGCUUGCCAACAGGAUUAAUCAGUUGUUGGGAGGACCUGGAAGCCGCAUUCCUCGACAAUUUCCAGGGCACUUAUGUGCGACCCCUAGACGCCGAUGACCUAAGUCACGUAAUUCAGCAGCCAGAGGAAUCGGCCAGGCAAUUCUGGACACGGUUCCUAACAAAGAAAAAUCAAAUAGUCGAUUGUCCGAACACUGAGGCCCUAGCAGCCUUCAAGCACAAUAUCCGUGACGAGUGGCUGGCCCGGCACCUUGGAUAGGAAAAGCCGAAAUCUAUGGCAGCACUCACGACACUCAUGACCCGCUUUUGUGCGGGAGAAGACAGCUGGCUUGCUCGUAGCAACAAUAUGACCAAGAACCCUAGUAAUUCGGACACCAGGGACAGUAGUGGCAGGUCGCGUCGCAACAAGCAGAAGCGCCUCAUUAACGGCGACAAUGCUGACGAUACGACAGUUAAUGUCGGAUUCAGAGGCUCUAAAUCUGGUCAGCGGAAAAAGCCAUUCAAAAGGAAUCCUAGGGGCCCGUCUAGUUUGGACCGAAUACUCGACCGUUUGUGCCAGAUACAUGGCACCCCCGAAAAGCCGGCCAAUCACACCAACAGGGAUUGUUGUGUGUUCAAGCAGGCAGGCAAGUUAAACGCCGAAAAUGAAGACAAGGGGCUGCAUAGCGAUGACGACGAGGAGCCUCGGCCGCCGAACAGUAGUGGACAGAAGGGUUUUCCCCCACAAGUGCGGACGGUGAACAUGAUAUACGCAGCCCACGUCCCCAAAAGGGAGCGGAAGCGCGCGUUAAGGGACGUAUACGUGGGAGAGCCAGUCGCCCCAAAGUUCAACCCAUGGUCCUCCUGCCCGAUCACCUUUGAUCGAAGGGACCACCCCACUAGCAUCCGUCAUGGAGGAUUCGCCGCAUUGGUCCUAGACCCAGUUAUUGACGGAUUUCAUCUCACUAGAGUCCUCAUGGACGGCGGCAGUAGCCUGAACCUGCUUUACCAGGACACAGUGCGGAAAAUGGGCAUAGAUCCCUUGAGGAUUAAGCCCACCAAAACGACCUUUAAAGGCGUAAUACCAGGUGUAGAGGCCAACUGUACAGGCUCAGUCACACUUGAAGCAGUCUUCGGAUCUCCGGAUAAUUUCCGAAGCGAGGAGUUAAUCUUCGACAUAGUCCCGUUUCGCAGUGGUUAUCACGCACUGCUCGGGCGAAACGCAUUCGCUAAGUUCAACGCGGUACCGCACUACGCAUACCUCAAGCUCAAUAUGCCAGGCCCUCGAGGAGUAAUUAUGGUCAAUGGAAACACCAAACGCUCCCUCCGAACGGAGGAGCACACGGCGGCCCUUGAAGCGGAAGUACAAAGCAGCCUCUCCAGGCAGUUCUCCAGUCCGGCCACUAAACGACCGGACACCGUCAAGCGCGCCCGGAGUAACCUACAACAAGACCGCCUGGCACGACCCGAGCAGGCAUAGCAAUGCGGCCCCAACCCCAACCCUCGCAAAAAGGCGAUGCCAGUACUUUGCGUACAUAACUACGCUCUAGAGAUACCAUGGGUACAGGGGGAGGGGCACCAUCACGGCACGCCCAAAAAUACGGCUUAAACCAGGGGCUGCCGAUUUUUUUAAUUUUCUCUUACUUUCAGGACUCCAUCCUUCGGAAGGCCUGUCGGCAGUUCAAUUGCCGCACAAACGAUGCAAGAACCAGGGAAGCAGACAAGCCACGCCGCAGCACAGAACUCCCAGGUGGUCUCUAUCAUGAGCAGUAUACCUAUUCCGCAUACUAUUCCGCAGCUUGCCCCUGGAACGGACAUGUUAACUAGUCCAACCUCCCACUUAUCGCAUUAUUUGUAUCGUUCUGCUUUAAUCGCAACCCUUUUUAAUAAACAAUGCAUAGCUUUCGUCUAUUUUUGCAUUACAUUUUUUCCUUAUAUAUGUUCCUUAACGACAUGUUACACCCGUACACGUUGGUACGGCCAAAAUACGCCAUGGGCUUUAGUACCCCUCAAUAUGGUGUGAGAAGUCCGAACACUUUAACAAGUGUGGCACCCCGGACUUAUAGCAUUAUAUGCAUCGGCUCCGAAUCAUGUCUUGGGUCAAUAGUUGGGUUUGCCCGGCUCCUAUGUUUUGGUGCCUUACGUUCCGCUAUAUCGGCUAAGGUAGCACUAGGAGAACCACUGGGAUUGUGCCCCAGUUGAGCUGGGUCGAGCACCUCAGUGGAGAAAGCUAAAACUGACUGUCAUGAUGAAGCGAGAGCUGGUCGCUGUUCGAGAGGUUUUUCGAGUCCCUAAAGACUUAUGCCGCUUCGGGCGAGGAGCCGGCUCUGUCCGGCCAAGGCGUGGAUAGCGCCCCGAACUCAGUCUUCCGAAUACUAGGGGCUUCGCCGAAAUUUAAAAUUAUAGAAUUCUAUGGCUAAGUGAGAGUGUUCACGCAUUAUAGUCCGAUUGCCUUGUUCGUUGGGCUGAGCGCCUCCCUCGAAGGACCCAACCAUGGGAAAAAGAGCGCUCAGGUUUAUCCCCGAACACCCCAGCACUAGCGGCACGGGGGCAGAAGCCGACGACUCGCCAUCUCUCAGAAUUGAUAAACAGCCGCACAGAAGGUAAUAUUUUAAAUCCCAACAGCAUUUCUUAGCGCAUAUAAACAAGUUUUCAGCACACAGGACAAAACGAGCAAGUUUCACUCAAAAAUUACAUCCCUAGAACAUUCAUCCGGCACCAGGCAUGCACCCUUCAGAACAUCCUUAUAGUAAUUCUCGGGCUUGCGAUGCUCUUUCCCCGGCGUUGCCCGUGCUUCACCAGCUUCUCAGCAUCCAGCUUGCCCCAGUGCACCUUAGCACGUGCAAGGGCCCUAUGGGCACCUUCAAUGCAGACGGAGCGCUUGAUGACUUCGAGCCUUGGACAGGCCUCCACCAACCGCCGCACCAGCCCGAAAUAGCUGCUAGGCAGAGCCCCUCCAGGCCACAGCCGAACAAUGAGGCCCUUCAUGGCCUGUUCGGCCGCCUUGUGGAGCUCGACCAGUUGCUUCAGCUGGUCGCUCAGGGGAACGGGGUGUCCGGCCUCAGCAUACUGAGACCAGAACUCCUUCUCUGUCGAGCUGCCCUCCUCGGCUCGAUAGAAUGCGGCAGCAUCGGACACACUCCGGGGAAGAUAUGCGAACGCUCCUGGAGAGCUCCGGAUUUGGGUAAGUAACAAGUAACUCACGUUUAUGUGUCUGCUUUGCAUAAAGAAUGCCUUACCCGCCGCUAUCUUCUUCACCUCAUCCAACUCCUGGAGGGUCUUCUGGGAUUCGGCCUUGGCAGACUUAGCAUUUUCAAUAGCCACUGCAAGCUCGGACGCUCGCGUCUAUGAGUCAAGCUCCAAACUCUCAUGUUUUUCCAUGAGAGCCUGGAGCUCUUGCUGCACCUUGCCAACCUCGGCCUCAUACUUCUCCCGCUCGGUGCGCUCCGAGGCCGCCCUCUUCUCGGCCUCGACCAGCGCUUUCUUAAGGGUCGCCACUUCAGACGUGGCCCCUAAAAUAGCCACGAUAAUCCUGUCAUUCUUUGCAAUUACACCUUUUUCUAUAUAUUUAAAAACAAGGUAUUUCUUACCUUCAUUGUCCUCGAGCUGCUUCUUGGCACGACCGAGCUCUUGCUCGGACCGCUCGAGGUUCUGCUUUAGCGCGUCCACUUCCGCAGUCAGUGCGGCGGACGCAAGCAGGCAAGCCUGCAUAUGCAUAUUGACUCAUUUUUGUUAGACUCCUGUGAAUUCUAUUUGAUCCUCUAUUCGGCUUUUCUUCCCAAACGCCUCCUCCCGGCUUGGAACCUGUUGGGAAAACACUUCGGUGUCGUUCGUAGGGCGGGGGGAGGAACCCGUCGGAAGCGAGUUCACAUCCGACGAGUCCAGUGAGCCACUCGACGACGCGUCGAGCCGGUCUUUGGGUGGGCUGCAUAAACAUAUUCGACGUAAGGGAAAGCUGUGCAAUAAAUGAAUACUAUGAAUUACUCUGGUAUCCGGAUACUUACGAUUUCGCCAGGGGCUUGGCCCUGGGCUGCCAUUCCUCUCUGCCGUCGGCAUCGGUGGAGUAUUCCGGAGGAAGGGUUUUCCCCUUCUUGGACCCUUCGGCCUCCCCAGAGAGGGUGGCCUUCCUUUUCUUCUCUCCUCCCGCUGGAGGGGGAGAGUUCUCCUCUUCUUCCUCGUCUUCACGGGAGGAAUGCGCCUCGGAACCAUCGGAUGAUGGAUCCGACGCCUCCUGGCGCCGGACACUCUUUCGAGUCCGCACGGCCUUUUUCGCGGCCUUCUUCUCUGGCACCACAUAGGGUGCCGGAACCAGCAGCUUCGCCAAGCGAGCGUCCGCUGGGCCUUCAGGCAAGGGAGCCGGACAGUUGAUCUGUCCGGACGUCACCUGCCAAUCCUGUCAAAGGUAAGGGAGCUUAAAUCCCGCAUGGAGUCAAACUAUGAAAAACUGAUGCCCUGUAAAAGGAAAAUAACAGCUUACUGCGAGAGCGUGACGCUGCGCACUAAAUCCGCGAUCCUUGGUAGCGGACGCGGGAGCCUCGACGCCUUUGAAAAGCAUCUUCCAGGCAUUUUCAUACGUCAUGUCGAAGAGCCUGCUCAGAGUUUGGUGCCGCGCCGGGUCGAACUCCCAUAGGUUGAAAGCCCGUUGUUGACACGGGAGGAUCAGGCGGAUGAGCAUAACCUGGACUAUGUUGACAAGUUUGAGCUUCUUGUCCGCCAGGGUUUGGAUGCAUGUUUGGAGUCUGGUCAGCUCUCCUUUUUUACCCCAAGACAGGUCCGUCUCCUUCCAAGAGGUGAGCCGCGUGGGGGGUCCGGAUCGAAACUCAGGGGGUGCGACCCAUUCAGCUUCGCGCGGUUCGGUGAUGUAAAACCAUCCCGCUUGCCACCCCUUUAGGGUCUCCACAAAGGAGCCCUCGAGCCAUAGGACGUAGGCCAUCUUGCCCACCAUGGCGCCUCCACACUCCACCUGGUUGCCGCGCACCACCUUCGGCUUGACGUUGAAAGUCUUGAGCCAUAGGCCGAAAUGGGGGCGGAUGCGGAGGAAGGCCUCGCACACGACGAUAAACGCCGAGAUGUUGAGGACGAAGUUCGGGGCCAGAUCGUGGAAAUCUAGGCCAUAGUAGAACAUGAGCCCCCGGACAAAUGUGUGAUAGCCUGGCUUAUUAGGGAUGAUAGACUACUCAUAUCAAUAAGGAAUUCAUUCUUUUCCGGGAGCCAAUUCGGACAGAACUCCAAAGUUAAGCGUGCUCAGCUUGGAGUAGUGUCAGGAUGGAUGACUGACCGGGAAGUUGCUCCCGGGUGCGCACGAGUGAGUACAAAGUGCGCAGAAAAGACUAGUAUUGAUCUGUGGGGCCAGUCUAGAUCCUGCCAGGAGUAACGAUAACCGGCGGGUGUGUCCGGGGCGUUAUAAGUUGGUAUCAGAGCCGACCCUCGCGGUUACACGGAUGGUUGCGGACAGGUGCGUGGUCAUGUUGUUCAUGACGUUUGUGACCCGUCGUGGCACCCGGCAUGGCACAUGUACCAGACUGGAAGCACAGACGUUUGUGCCAAGAGGGACGUUCCUGUGGCCCGACGAGGACGUCGGUUCCUCUGAGUGGGGGUGUAUGUGAUAGCCUGGCUUAUUAGGGAUGAUAGACUACUCAUAUCAAUAAGGAAUUCCUUCUUUUCCGGGAGCCCAUUCGGACAGAACUCCAAAGUUAAGCGUGCUCAGCUUGGAGUAGUGUCAGGAUGGGUGACCGACCGGGAAGUUGCUCCCGGGUGCGCACGAGUGAGGACAAAGUGCACAGAAAAGACUAGUAUUGAUUUGUGGGGCCAGUCUAGAUCCUGCCAGGAGUAACGACCACCGGCGGGUGUGUCCGGGGCAUUACAAAAUGGGUGGAGAGGGAAGCCCAGUCCGUGGAGGAAAUGGGGGAGGAACACCACCCUCUCAUGGGGCCUAGGGGUGGGGAUGAGCUGCCCCUUUUCGGGGAGCCGGUACGCGAUGCCAUUAGACAGGUAUCCGGCCUUCCUCAGCUUUUUGAUAUGUCCCUCCGUGACGGAGGAGACCAUCCACUUGCCUCCCGCUCCGGACAUGGCUGGAGAAGGUUGAGGUGGGGAGUGCGGACUUGGGCGCUGGAGCGCGAGUGCGCAAGAAUGGAUAGGCGAAGGAGGAAGAAGGCGUAGGUGAAAAGGUGGAUCCUUAUCCCCUUAUAUGGGUGGACACAACUACAUGUCCCCACCAGUCUGGUAAAACUCGCUUAUCUCCAAGCGCCGUAAUCAAUGGCGCGGUUGGGUUACCCACACCCGUAUUGAUGAGAAUCCCGGAAUAAGGGGACAUGAUCUCUGCUUUAACAAGACGUGCUGAAGAAACCGCCUCGCAUAACGCGCUGAGGUGGGAUAAUGAAACGACUCGGAUAAAGGCUUGGCCGUGGUGUGACACGCUACGGAAUACGCCAGCAGAUUAGAUUGGUGUAAAUAUUAUUCUCUCUAUGGCAAUAUGUGGAAACUUAUUUUGCAGAGCCGGACACUACCUUUGUGUUCAAAAUCUUCUACGAAGUACUUGGAGGAGGAACCCGCCUUGCAAUGCCGAAGACAAUCUACACGCUGGACUUGUCGUCAUUGAAGCCUGGUUCAGGGGCUACUGAGGGAGUCCUGGAUUAGGGGGUGUUCGGAUAGCCGGACUAUACCUUCAGCCGGACUCCUGGACUAUGAAGAUACAAGAUUGAAGACUUCAUCCCGUGUCCGGGAGGGACUUUCCUUGGCGUGGAAGGCAAGCUUGGCGAUACGGAUAUGUAGAUCUCCUACCAUUGUAACCGACUCUAUGUAACCCUAACCCUAUCCGGUGUCUAUAUAAACCGGAGGGUUUUAGUCCGUAGGACAACGUACACAUCAACAAUAAUCAUACCAUAGGCUAGCUUCUAGGGUUUAGCCUCCUCGAUCUCGUGGUAGAUCUACUCUUGUACUACCCAUAUCAUCAAUAUUAAUCAAGCAGGACGUAGGGUUUUACCUCCAUCGAGAGGGCCCGAACCUUGGUAAAACUUCAUGUCCCCUGCCUCUUGUUACCAUCCGGUCUAGACGCACAGUUCAGGACCCCCUACCUGAGAUCCUCCGGUUUUGACACCGACAGCCCCCUUCUCCUAUCACUGGGCCGACGCUGCAGGAGGCAGGCCCAGUCUUUGGAGGGGGCUUGGGGCGGUUGGCCUCGGGGUCCUCUCCUCCUUCCGCGCCUAGGGGGACCGCCCCACCGUUGGCGCCGGUGAACACUCCUGGCCUAUAGUCCGGGGUGGGCGGGGAGCGGGGGCAGGAGGCCCUUGGUUCCCCAUCAGCUGUCUCAAAGCCCUCUCCUGAUCAUGGAGACCGGUUGAGUGUUCGGGGGGAGACAGGAGGUCAGUCCCCGGGCAACUUCACUCGGGAGGAGGUUAUUCAGUUCGACGGGAUUUCGGACCAGGCGUCUGAGGGCCGACGGUUGAGCUGUCAUCUUCAAGGUCGUCCGAAGGUGGACGACAUGCAGCAGCGGUGCGCCGUGAGGGUGGCCAAGCUUCGUGACGUCUAGGUCACUACUGGUAUGUCAGUGAACACUUCUAAUUCCAUCUUGCAUUUUUCGAACGAUGAGAUUAUUGAUAAUGCAAACCAACUAGGAAUUUCUCUAGGUAGUAACGAUGGUGAAAUUUCUAAUUCCAUCAAUGAUUUGCUAGAUCUAGAAGCUGAGAGGGCUUUAGAUAUGAUUCGAAACUUAGCUGCCAUCAAACCCAUGAAUGAUUCCGAGAUUGAUGCUUUGGGAAUCCGGGUGCUCGCUGAUUUUUGUGCCAAUCUCGUGCCUCCCCUCCCUGAGCCGGAGGAGGAGGAUGAGAGUGUCGAGAUGGAUGCUGUUAGACCCCCUGAAACGGGGAGAGUGGACCGGGCGGACGCGCGGACCAGCCCUAAGCGCAAAUGGAAGCACAAGAUUUACCCAAUGUCGGCAGUGCGUAGGAGUGCUAGGAUCCACACGGCUAAAAAUUCCAUGACGAGAUAUGAGAGGAAUCUUUUGGAAUAGCAGAGGUCUUAAGGACUUGGCUAAAGGAAGGUUUCUUGCAGAUGCAUCCAUCGAACAGCGUCUGGAUUUUAUUGCACUGUCGGAAACUGGUAGAGCGAAUUUCUCGCCAUAAUUUCUUAACACUCUUUCGGGGGGUAUUGAGUUUGACUGGCAUUGUCUGCCACCGAGAGGGAGAUCAGGAGGAAUCUUACUUGGUGUUCGAUGCGAUUCUCUCGAAGUUCGAAGUGUGCUCAUGGGAGAUUUUGCUGUAAAGUUCAGGGUGCGGUCUAAGGUUGACGGUUUUGACUGGGCUCUGGUGGCGGUGUAUGGGGCCGCAUAGGUAGAACUAAAACCGGAUUUCUUGGCCAACCUAGUUAGAGUUUGCGGUUCUGAGCAGCUCCCCAUUCUCGUUGGGGGAGACUUUAACAUUAUUAGGAGACGUGAUGAGAAGAACAAUGAUAAUUUUGAUGGGAGAUGGUCGUUCAUGUUCAACACUAUCAUUGAAAGCUUGGAUUUGAGAGAGAUUGAGCUUUCAGGUAGGAAGUUCACUUGGGCUAACGCCUUGCCAAAUCCAAUGUUUGAAAAGUUGGAUCGGAUACUCGCUAGUGUCAAAUGGGAAUAGAAGUUUCCCUGUGUAACAAUCCAGGCUCUCUCUCGCGGGAUUUCUAAUCACACGCCUCUUUUUCUUGACUCUGGUGGGGCUAACUACUUGGGCAAGAAGAAUUUGUUCUCGUUCGAGCUUGCGUGGUUUGAAAGAGAAGGCUUCCUGGAUCUCGUAGCCAGAGAAUGGGCUAAGGAUGUAGGUGGUAGGAAUGCACUUGAGCGUUGGCAGAAUAAGAUUAGGCAUCUGCGAAGUUUCCUACGUGGAUGGGCUAAACAUCUUAGUGGGAUCUAUAAGGUUGAAAAGGAACGGCUCCUUGCCCUUAUUCAGUCCUUAGAUGUUAAAGCAGAAACCACGGUGUUGCUUGCCACCGAGCUUCAUACCAAGCUUGACGCUGAGAUGAGGCUGAAAGAACUCCUUCGUGAAGAAGAAUUAAAGUGGGCUCUGCGGGCCAAGGUACGAAGAGUGGUCCAGGGGGACGUGAACACUCAAUUCUUCCACAUGAUUGCCAAUGGCAAACAUAGGAAGAAGAGAAUCUUCUAGCUAGAAUAAGAUGAGGGUACGAUUAUAGGUCAGGAAAAUUUGAAGCUUUACAUUACUGAGUAUUACAAACGAUUGUUUGGACCACCAGAGGAGAACUGUGUGUCUCUGGAUGAGUCUAGAGUCGGCGAUAUACCUCAACUUACGGCUGUGGAGAACGAUAUAUUAACCACCCCUUUUUCGGAAAAGGAGGUGUUCGAGGCCGUAGCCCAGAUGAAGAAUAAUAAGGCACCUGGUCCGGAUGGUUUCCCGACUGAGUUUUAUAAGAAGUGCUGGCACAUUAUUAAAGGGGACCUAUUGCCGAUGUUCCAUGAUUUGUUCUCGGGACAUUUGCAGCUUUUCCAGCUAAAUUUUGGAACAAUAACCCUGCUCCCUAAGAAAACAGAGGCCGUGAGAAUCGAGCAAUUUCGGCCUAUCUGUCUUCUGAAUGUCAGUUUCAAGAUUUUAACCAAGGUUGGGACGAUUAGGCUAACACAGAUUGCGCACGCUGUGGUGCAGCCUACUCAAACAGCCUUCAUGCCGGACAGGAACAUCCUGGAAGGGGUUGUGGUCCUUCAUGAAACGCUCCAUGAGAUCCACACGAAAAAACUUGAUGGAGUUAUUUUCAAAGUGGAUUUCGAGAAGGCAUAUGAUAAAGUCAAAUGGCCAUUCCUUCAACAGGCCUUACACAUGAAGGGCUUUGAUGAAGCUUGGCGACGUCAGGUGGAAGCAUUCACGCAAAAAGGGAGUGUUGGUAUUAAAGUGAAUGACGAUAUAGGCCAUUAUUUCCAAACGCAUAAGGGGUUGAGAUAAGGCGAUCCUAUGUCCCCAAUAUUAUUCAAUAUUGUGGUUGACAUGUUGGCGAUCCUGAUAGGGAGGGCAAAAGAAGCCGGUCAGGUGGGUGGCUUGGUGCCUCAUCUGGUCGUUGGUGGUGUGUCCAUCCUGCAGUACGCUGAUGAUACAAUCAUCUUCAUGGAACACGAUUUGGCUAAAGCGAGAAACAUGAAGUUAUUGUUAUGCUUAUUUGAACAAUUGACGGGGCUUAAGAUUAAUUUCCAUAAAAGUGAGCUGUUCUGCUUUGGUAGAGCCAAAGACGAACAAGAGACAUAUAGACAAUUGUUUGGUUGUGAAGUGGGAGCUUUACCUUUUACGUAUCUAGGUAUUCCCAUUCACCAUCGUAAGCUAACAAACAGCGAGUGGAAGUGCAUAGAGGAUCGGUUUGAGAAGAAACUGAGUUGCUGGAAAGGAAAACUCAUGUCUUAUGGAGGCCGGUUGAUUCUUAUUAACUCGGUGCUCACGAGUUUACCUAUGUUCCUAUUAUCUUUAUUUGAGGUCCCAGUUGGGGUUAGGAAAAGACUGGACUUCUAUCGAUCCAGAUUUUUUUGGCAGAGUGAUGAACUUAAGAGAAAAUACCGACUACCAACGCUGAUAUUAUCUGUCGACCAAAGGACCAGGGGGGCCUUGGUAUUGAAAAUUUAGAGGUCAAGAACAGAUGCCUGCUUAGUAAAUGGCUGUAUAAGUUGUCACUUGAGACGGAGGCAACAUGGGCGCAGAUUUUACGUAGUAAAUAUCUGCAGUCCAAGACCCUAUCCUGGGUCACUGUCAGACCAACUAAUUCGCCGUUCUGGAAGGGGAUCAUGAGAGUCAAAGCUACCUUCUUUAACAGAACUAGGUUUAUUAUCGGUACUGGCAACAACACUCGAUUAUGGGAAGAUAUGUGGCUUGGUGACGCGCCUUUGGCGACCCAGUAUCCGUCCCUUUAUCGUAUUGUUCAGCGUCGUGAGGCUCUUGUUGCUACGGUCAUGCAGUCCAUUCCACUUAACAUUCAGUUUAGGAGAGUGCUUGUGGGUGAUUGGUGGGAAGCAUGGCUUCACUUGGUUCAUCGACUGAUGGAGGUUCAGUUAACUCCUCAGCCUGAUCAGUUGUGGUGGAAACUUACUAGAUAUGGGGAGUUCAUAGUUAAAUAGAUGUAUAUCGAUAUUAUUAACUCUAGUGUUAUUCCUAGUUCCAAAGAGGUUUGGAAAGUCAAGGUCCCUUUGAAGAUCAAAGUGUUUAUGUGGUUUGUUCAUAAACAAGUAAUUUUAACAAAGGACAAUCUAGUUAAGCGAAACUGGACAGGCUCUACUAGGUGUAGCUUCUGUGAUCCGGAAGAGACUAUCAAGCACCUCUUCUUUGACUGCCCGUUGGCACGAGGGUUGUGGCGCUUUGUGCAAAUUGCCUUUAACAUUACUCCUCCGACUUCGGUCAACACGUUAUUUGGGACGUGGCUUGCUGGGAUAGAGCCAGAAACAGCUAGACACAUUCGUGUAGGAGUUUGUGCGUUGUUAUGGGCAAUUUGGAAUUGCAGAAAUGAUUUGGCAUUUAACAGAACACCAACUACUCAUUUUUGCAGGUUUUAUUCCGGGCUACUGCGCUGAUCCGUAUGUGGUCCUUACUCACUCCGACGGAGGCCAGGGAGCGUUUGGUUACUGGAUCUGUCCGGUGGGGGAUGGUAGCGCGGGAUAUCUUCAACCGGUUUGGAUGGCGGUCAUGUAAUAGGAUAGGCGAUUAGUUUACCAAUCUGUUAUUCUGCCAGCCGGUUGUGGCUUGUCAGGUUUUCUGUUUUGGCGUUGACGCUCUGUGUGAGCUAGCCGAUCUUUUUUGUUCGCAGACUUAAAGACCUUGUUGAACCUUUUUACUUGCUAAUAAAUGUGGCCGUAUGCAUCGUUCUGAUGCAGAGACCGGGGAGUCCCCCUUUUCGAAAAAAAUAAGAUUUGACUAAAGUCAAGCCUCGUAAAGUUUGACCAACUUUAUAGAAAAAAGUAUCAACAUUCACAAUCUGAAAUCAAUACCAAUAGAUGUGUCAUGACUUAAAGUUUCAUAUUGUAUAACUUUAGCAUGGCAGAUGUUGAUAUUAUUUCAUAUAAAUACGGUCAAACUUUGUGAAGUUUGACUUUAGAGAAUUCUAAUAUGCAGAGUAAAAAGGACUGGAGGGAGUACUGUAUGAUUAAACUGUAGCAGUUUGUAGCAUGAACCAUAUUCCUACAGGAUAUAUUUGAUGUUGUUUGUAGGUGUGCCUUCUGCAGUUACUAUGACCUGGACAUAUGAUAUGCCAUUCUCUUUAUACUCAACAGUGUAUCCAACAGAUGAGAAUGGAUGGUCACCAGACAGUGGGUUAGUGGUAUGUUGAGGCUUGGGAUCCCGUUUAAAAGUUAUAAACAGUGGGUCUUUUGUGCUCUUCAUCUUUGCAAUGGCAUAUGUGUAUUUCUUCUAAGCUUUUCUUAUUGAACCAGUGGUAGAACAUGGAAAAUAAUUGUUUGCAGAAUUAGGUGGUAUCAUUAGAGAAGAUGGGUGUAUGUUGUCAACCAGGGUAAGAAGUGAAAUGAAAUAUAGAUCAAACCAAUUACAGCAGCAGUACCUGCUACUUUGGUUGUCCAUUUGUACUUGUUAUCGACCCGAGAUUGAAAAGAUAAGUGGUAAGCUAAAAAUGUGACAGGAUUAUGUUAUAUAAAUAUGUACUGCUGUAGUAGUAAGCUAUUAUGCUACUUAACAAAUGAGGAUAAAUCCGGGCCCAUAUCAUCAGUCAACUCGGCCGCUACCCUUGCUUCCUCGCUCAAAAAAUCAUGGGCCGGCAUAAAAAAAUGGGCACGUUCACGUAUCCCUAUUCCUCUUCGUGAAUCUCGUUGCAAAUCUGCAAUCGCCGCCUUAGACCACGCUGAAGAAUCAAGGGCUCUCUCCCAGCCAGAACUCCUCACUCGCAAGAUUAUCAUCUCAAUCCUCAAAUGCACAAUCCAAGCAAAAAUGACUUACUGGAGAUGGCGUGCUAAAGUGUCAUGGGCCAUCCACGGCGGGGAAAACACAAAAUUCUUCCACAUGUGUGCCUCCCAACGUUUGAGAAAGAACAAAAUCUUUACACUCACACGCGACGGUAAUGACUUCACUUCUCACCACCACAAAGCCGAGAUUCUAAGGGAUUUCUUUGUUUCCCUCAUCGGUACUCUAGCCAAUACAUCAUAGGCUUUUGAUCUGAACGCUAUAUACCCACAGCCUGUGGCCGGCCUCCACGUCCUUGAUGAGCACUUCUUUGAAGAGAAAAUCAAGCUUGCCUUCUUCCAAAUGAACCCCAAGCCAGCCCUAGGCCAGACGGUUUCGGGCCAUCCUUUUAUAGAACUUACCGGCCCUUUGUCAAACAAGUCGUUCUAUCUUCCUUCUCCCAAUUUCACCAAGGCGUGGCAGAUACAGAACAUUUAAACCAUGCUCACAUCAUCCUCCUUCCAAAGAAGGAUACGCCAACCUCACCCGACACCUUCAGACCAAUCUCUCUACAGAACUGCCCAAUCAAAGUUGUUGCUAAAGUCCUCACCUCUCGUCUCAACCGGUCAUACCUAUGCUGGUUCAUGGUAAUCAGACUGGGUUCAUCUCCGGUAGGAAUAUUGCUAAGAACUACAUUUUUGCAGCUGACCUCAUUAGCUCUUGUCACACUCGCAAACGACCAACCAUGGUUUUUAAGCUAGACUUCCGAAAAGCCUUCGACUCCAUGGCUUAGCCUGCCCUUGACAGGAUUCUAUCUGUUUGUGGUUUCUCCCAAACCUUCCGCAACUGGAUCCAAAACAUUCUUCACACGGGCGAAGCUGCCAUCCUCCUGAAUGGUGUCCCAAGCAACUGGAUACAAUGCAAGAAUGGCUUGCGGCAAGGUGACCCGGCCUCCCCCUACCUUUUUCUCAUCGUCGAUGAGCUGCUCUAAUAGCUCAUCUUCCAGAACUCAGAGCAUGCCCUCCACCACCCCAUCGUCUCCCACCUACCUCCCAUCGUUCUCCAAUACGCCGAUGAUAUGCUCAUCAUUGCAGCCGCCUCUCCUGUCGCCACCGCAACCCUCAAAGUAACCCUAAACAACUUCGCACAGGCUACGGGCCUCACCAUCAACUUCUCAAAAAACCACUCUAGCCACUCUUCAUACAGAUGAUACCAUGCCCAAUGCCACUGCCCUUGCCAUGGGCUGCUCCUGUGCACCCUUCCCUCAAACGUACCUCGGCCUACCCCUGGCCCCAACUAAACCUCCUUCCAAUGCCUUCACGUCGUUGAUAGAACGAUCUUGCAAAUUAUUGACAGGCUCGCGUGCUAAAUUGCUUGACAAAGGUGAUAGCCUCAUUCUCAUCUCUGCGGUCCUAGACUCCCUCCUUACCUACUUCAUGACGGUGUUUCGCAUUCCAAAAAAACCCUCAAAACCAUCGACUCCCUAAGAAAGGCCUUCUUUUGGGCGGGGGACGAUGCUUGCUCAGGAGCUCAAUGCCUCAUUGCAUGGAAAAAUGUUUGCUUACCUAAAAAAUUUGGUGGUUUAGGGCUAAAAAACCUGCAUGUCCAAAACAAUUGUUUACUCAUGAAAUUUGUAGCCAAAGCCGUCUCUUCUGCACGGGCACCUUGGCUAGAAUGGCUAGACCUUCAACACCCAAACGCUCUAGUCUCCUCGUCCCCUCAAACCUAUUUUCUUUGCCGCACAAUUUCUCAGCAAAUCCCCACCCUCGAGACAAUUUCCUUUGUUCUAACAAACAAUGUCUCUCAUACGUAUUUCUGGCUUGGCACCUGGUUGACCACAAAACCUCUAGCCACCACCUUCCCCCACCUCUUCUCACACUCCAACCUAGAGCUGGUUAACAUGGCUAGUAUCUUGCGUUUCGGUAUCGAAGCUGACCUCCGUAAUCGUCUUUCUCUUAUGGCAGAACAAGAGCUUGUUUCGCUUUUGUCUAUUUUGCAGGACUUCGUGCCUUCGGCGGAGGAAGAUCAAAGGUUCCUACAUCGAGGUCAUGACUUCUCCACCAAGCAUGCGUACGAUGCCCUCAUGGCUAGGCCAGACAAUGAUCCCAUUGCCCCUCUCAUCUAGGGCACCAAGGCACCUCGCAAGCUAAAUUUUUUUGCUUGGCUACUCUUCAAGGACCGCCUCAACACUAGGGUUAACCUUGCCCACAAGCAUAUCAUCUCCUCAGGCAUAUGCCCCCGGUGUGCUAGGUUACCCAAAGACUCCAUGCACCUCUUCGUCACAUGCCCGCUUGCCAACAGGAUAUGGCAACGAAUCGGUGUCCUGCCACAGACCGACGACAUCGCAGAGCUUUGGGAUACUCCUUGGCCUCAUCACCCCCCACAAAAAACAUGGUCCUUGGUCCUCAUAUCACUACUACGGAAGAUAUGGAUGGCACAUAAUGAUAUGUUGUUUAGGAGUGUUGAUCAAUGUUCUGUAAUAACCCUCAGUGGCCUUAUUGUUGAUUUGGAUCUUUGGUCACACUGUCUCAUGGAGACAUGUGACAAGGAGGACGUCUUCUGGUGGCGUUCGUACCUCUCUGCACGCUGCAUCGUGCCUAUGUAAUUCUAUACUUACUCCUUUGGCAACCUUUGAGUAAUAUAUUCAGGUGGNNNNNNNNNNNNNNNNNNNNNNNNNNNNNNNNNNNNNNNNNNNNNNNNNNNNNNNNNNNNNNNNNNNNNNNNNNNNNNNNNNNNNNNNNNNNNNNNNNNNNNNNNNNNNNNNNNNNNNNNNNNNNNNNNNNNNNNNNNNNNNNNNNNNNNNNNNNNNNNNNNNNNNNNNNNNNNNNNNNNNNNNNNNNNNNNNNNNNNNNNNNNNNNNNNNNNNNNNNNNNNNNNNNNNNNAACAAAUGAGGCUAAAUAAAAUGCACUCUUACUGAUUACCAAACAAAGCUAAAUAAAGCGCACACUUACUUUGUUGUUGGCCACUACAAAUUAAAUUAUAAAUGUGUGUGUAGUAGUCGUAAGGUAUUCUGCUACUUACCAAAUGAGGCCAAAUAAAAUGCACUCUUGCUGCUUACCAAACAAAGGUAAAUAAAGCACACACUUACUUGGUUCUAGCUGCUACAAAUUAAACAGAUGGUGUACCUCCACGAUUUUCUAUACGAUAGAGAGGAACAGUUUAAUACAUCGACAAAACAGAAAAUAGUGUUAAUGCCAGAAUAAUUAAGAAAGAUUUUCAAAUAUACGGUAGUACUAAAAUUUCACAACCUCCUUGCGUCGCUCCAAGUAUGUGUUUUCAGUACACCAAACUACUCACAAAAUAGGAAGUAGGAGAAGUUUUAAUACACCAGAGUCUACAUUUUCUUGAUGGAACCAAAUUAAGGGGACUGAUUAUGUUGAAUAAUUAUUUUAUUUUCCCAUCCUAGCCACCUGGGCAUCAGGCAUCAGGCAGUGUAACACAUGUUUAUGCUUUAGUACUAAUAUUAUUAUCAUAUGUCACUGGAACCCUUCUAAAGGUGACUGUAUACGUCUUGCAAAAUGUAAAUAAGUUCCAUGAGCCAAGCAAUUUAAGCCCAAGUUUUCUCCUAGCUAUAUCGGUGGUUGUGUAUCUUUUCCCUCUUUUACACAUCUAUUUUUAUGAGUUCACUUAUCUAACGUUUAUAAUAAACUAUUAUACCAUAUGGAUAAUUCAUACUAUUAGAGACAAAGCUUGAAGCAACAACACAUGUAGACCUGUCAAGUGUAUUAUUUCCAAUAGAUACAAUAUUCUAGGCUAGCAAAACGUAUACAUGUCUAUUUGUUGCAUGUAAUUAUAUUUGAUAUAUUGAUAUGGAUAAUAAUUCCUCUCUGUCUCCAAAUUAUCGAUGUAGUUCCUAAUGUUCGUCAGACAUGAAAAAAAGCUGCUAGUCUGCAACUUAAAUAAACUGCAUCAUUUAUUUGUUGUCGAGUAUGUGACAUGGCUCAACUGAUAGAUAAAUAUACAGGGAAAAUCAACUAACUGACACAAUUUGAGGGCAUAUUUGAACAUGGAAAAUUGAAGAGCAAAAUUUCGUUAUGUUUCUGUAUAGCAGCCAGAUUGCAUCAAGCUUUCAUCAGCCAAGACAUGAAAUUUCCAAGAUAAAUGGGGGAGAUGACAAACUGGUGUAGGAGGAUGUACUGCAGCUGGAAUAUUUUUGGCUCGAUCAGUCAAUGGGUUAUGGUUGCAACAGUAGCCAAGCGAGGGAUGAGCACAGAUAGGUUCUGUACUCUGUUCUCAUGAAAAAAGUUCAAUGAACAGAGUACAGAACCUAUCGUGCUCAAAAAGUCUCUACCCUUACCGCAAUCCCAUGACGAACAUACAGGAGCAAAUAAAAAAUCAAUCACUCAUCACGGAAUCAAUGAUCCAACCAAUGAUCUAUGGUUGAUGAAUUUUGUCGGAGUAAUGGGCCACUAGUAGGCCGACCCGAGGCCCAGAACCUUUCAAGACAUCGGGGCAGGCUGCGCCCCUCAAGACCCCAGGACGAAGAGCCGCCUUCAAGAAGUCGACGGCAAGAUGGCCGACUGGCCACUCACGGCCGAGUCCCAGGGACGACUUGAGGGAAAGCUGACUCCUGACUGGCGACUUCGAGAGAAGCCGGCUUUUGGGAAUCAGCCUGCGACUCCAACAAACCCCAUGACCUCAUCAAGUGGGACAUGGCAGGGGAGUGGCUACAGUGAAGCCCACUCCCGCCCCUUACCAAGGGCAGGCAUGGCCACAGCACGCCGUACCCCGGAAGAUCUCCGUGCGGCGUGGCCCUGUUGCCAUGCCGGCUCUGACAUCAGCACCGCAUGACCGAAUCCUGCACCCACGACGGCUUGUCUGUACGGCCUAGAGGCUGCGGGUCCCACUAGUCAGUGAGACCCCAGGAGACGGCAAGAGGACCACGCACCAUUAAUCAAGAUGUGAUGGAGAGUGGCAAUAGUGAUCGCCCGCCAGGCAGCGGGGCUGUUGCCACGACCCCAUGAUCAAGCCCGCGUCAUCAGAAGCACGGCUACAGUAAUCAGCAGUCGGCAAGACCCGCCCGUGGUGGACGCGGCCUGUCGGCUCCGUACUAGGCCAGUCGGCAGGGCCCACCAGUCGGCGGGCCCCAGCGGUCGGCAGGAAAGACGGAGGCCAGAGGCGCUGACGGCUGGGCCCGUGUCCAGCCGGAUUACCAUUAUACCCCUGGGGGUAGGCCUAUAUAAACCCCCCAGGGCACCCAUGCAAGGGGUUGGAACCCAUUAGCUCUAGGCCAGAUCAUAUAAGAGGGAGAGAGCUAGCCUUGCCCUCUCCUACCUCCAGGAAACAGCUCAAGGAGCAACCGUAUAAACACUUUGCCAUAGUGAUCAUGCGGAGACCCCGCAGAGCAGCAGUAGGGGUAUUAUCUCCUCGGAGAGCCCUGAAGCUGGGUAAGAUUCGCCGGCGUGCAUGUCUUUGCCUCAUCCCGUUUCCAGGCACCGGCGACGUUCUACUCGCCCCCACCAUGAUAAGCCAUCCUUUGGCAUAUGUCGCACCUAACCCCCAACAUUUGGCACCCACCGUGGGGCAUGGUGCACCGCCGUCCGGAGACCUGUUCUGGACGGGAACCCUUUUCCUCCCUGGCGAGCGCAGCCAGCCAGGCACGCCAGACGGGUUUUGCGUCGACGUGCUGCGUGGCGUUGAGAUCGCCUGCGCAGCCAGCUGCCUGGCCGAACUUGUCGGCGAGGUUCGCCUCUCCGACGAACCUGCAUCCAACGCAGGCACGGGCGGUUCUGAGAGCCUCCUCGAUCAACUCCAUGUUUCCGGCGAGCCAGCCGUAGACUUGGAGUCUGCAGGCUCCACCGACCCGAUGCUGGUCGACUCCGACACCGCGUCGCUCGACGCGUUCCCCACUAAUGUGGUGGUCUACGACGAACCUCUCCCUCACGCGGAGAGCGACGGAAGCACCGUCACCGAGGUGCUCGUCAUCAGUCAUGAUGAGCUCCCCGGCGGAGGAGCGCACGACUCACUCGGCGCGGCGCUACAAGACCUAACUGCGCCCAUUCCGGAAGACGCUGACGCAGAGACGUUGGAGGUGCUCCGCCUUCAGCUCGUUGAAGGCGCGAAGAAGCUGGCCAGCAUGAGACGCUUGUCAGAAGCCUACCGGCGAGAGAUGGAUCGCGCCGUCGGCGGCUCGCCGGCCCCGGCGGGGCCCAGCCGCCUUGGCGCGGUCCAGUAGCCCGGCGUAGCCAUCACCAACCUGUUUAGGGCAAGCCGCCCUGUGUACGCUACACCAGCGGAGAACAUCCGAGCCGCCCAGGCAGCGGCGGACGAGCUGGACAAUUUCGAGGGCGAAGAACGCCGCCUCAUGAUGGAGCGAGUCCAGCGGCUCCUCGACGUGGUUGCCACGCAGAACAAGGCCGGCUGCCGCACGGAGGAGCCACAGCGGCAAAACGACGACCUUCGCCGAGAUCAAGGCACGAUGUCUCGGACGCCGACUGGCGGCGCCCGAGGAAGAAGAGACAAGGAUCCGGCUGUCAGCCACAGUCGGACUCGCAUUACCAUAGAGCGCGACCGAGACGGCCGCCCGAGAGCAGUGGAACGACGGGACGACUGUCCGCCUCCUCCUCCUCGCAAGGAGAGGCGAGUCUCCCCACCGUCUGUUGACCAUCCGAUUCUCGGCGACCGCCUUGGCCGCCGAGAGGGAGUUGGAGAGAAUGACGCCCGCCAUCGGAUCGACUGACUUCACCGAUCCCUAGCGCUGGAAGAAGAAGACGAACUGGGUCCGCCUUGUUUCGAGCCCCGCAUUCGAGACGAGCCCUUUCCCAGAGGGUUCACGCUCCCAAGAGACACACUCAAGUAUAACAGCUCCAUGAAGCCAGAAGACUGGCUAGUCAACUACUCCAUGGCUGUCAGCAUAGCAAACGGCAACAAGCGUGUUGCCGUAAAGUACGUUCCGCUCAUGCUCCAGGGCACGGCCCAGACAUGGCUAAAUAGCCUGAAGCCCCGCAGCAUCAACAGCUGGGUGGACUUCACCGAAGCAUUCGUCCACAACUUCACCAGCACGUACAAGCGUCCUCCCAAACCUCGUCAGCUCUCCUUGUGCGUGCAAGGCCCCGACGAGUCGACUCGUGAUUACCUCACGCGUUGGGCUGAGCUUCGGAACUCCUGCGAGGGCGUGCACGAGGUGCAGGCCAUCGAGUACUUCACAGCCGGGUGCAGAGAAGGCACCCUCCUCAAGCACAAGCUCCUCUGCGACGAGCCAGAAACCCUCGACGAGCUGCUGAUCAUAGCAGACAAGUACGCCACGGCCAACUCCUCCAUGAAGGCGGAGAUUCAAAUCAGCACAACUAGCAAAGUGGCCCCUCAAGCUCCAAGAACUCCGGCGGGAGACGCCAACCGGCGACAACAGCAAGGCAACCACAAGCGCAAGGCCCCGAGCCGGCUUCCAGCAGCCGGCAGGUCAUGACCGUUGAAGCCCAGCAGCCGGAUGGGCAGCCUCCACCCAAGCGACAGAAAGGCGGCAAGCCAAACUGGUUACCGACCUUCUCCUACGAACAGACCCUGGAUGGACCUUGCAAGUUCCAUAGCGGUGCGAAGCCGUCGAAUCACACCACCCGGAAGUGUCACUGGCUCGCCAGAAUCGCCAAGGGAGACGGCCUCCUGCCACCCCCGCCUGCUGGGCAGCCGCCUCUGCCUCCGCCCCAGCAGCUGGCUGUCAGGCCAGUCGGCGCAGUACAAGACGAAUACCAUGAAGAACAUGGAGCCUACAUGGUGUUUACCAGUAUGGAUGAUGAUCGACGCAGCAGGCGGCUGCAGCGACAAGAGGUGAAUGCGGUAGCAUCAGAGACGCCAGAGUUCACGCACUGGUCCGAGAAGCCCAUCAGCUGGAGCAGGGCUGACCACCCAGAGGUGAUGCCAAGUCCGGGCUCCUAUGCCUUGGUCUUGGACGCCACCUUUGCUACGGAUAGACGAGCCGCGCGUUUCUCGCAUGUUCUGAUAGACGGAGGCAGCAGCAUCAAUAUCCUGUACAAGGACACCAUGGAGAAGUUAGGAAUCAAGCAAAGACAGCUUCAGAACAGCCGGACUGUGUUCCACGGCAUUGUUCCUAGGCUUUCCUGCUCACCAAUCGGCAAGAUCCUGAUGGACGUCCUCUUUGGAGACAAAGAUCACUUCCGCCAAGAGUCUGUUUGGUUUGAGGUGGUGGACCUCGAGAGCCCAUACCAUGCGCUACUCGGCCGACCCGCCUUGGCCAAGUUCAUGGCGGUCCCCCACUACGCCUACCUCAAGAUGAAGAUGCCCAGUUCCAGGGGAAUCCUGACUGUGGCCGGCGACUACCGGAAGUCGUCUACCUGCGCGACUGAGAGCAGUCGGCUGGCCGAGUCCCUGGUAAUCGCGGCCGAGAAGCGGCUCCUUGAGCGAGUCGUGGCGAUGGCCGGCAAGUAGCCAGAGGUAUCGCCCAACCCGAAGGAGUCGGAGGCUGAAGGUUCGUUCAAACCGGCCAAAGAGACAAAGAAGAUACCCUUGGAUCCGGAGCACCCAGAGAGGUACGCUGUCAUAGGUACAAACCUCGACAGCAAAUAGGAAGGCGAGCUUGUCGAUUUUCUUCAUGAGAAUCGGGACAUCUUCGCAUGGUCCCCCAGAGACAUGCCAGGUGUACCGACGGAAUUCGCCGAGCACAAGUUACAUGUCCGAUCUGAUGCAAAGCCGGUCAGGCAGCCCCUGCGCCGCCUAUCAGAAGAGAAGAGAAGAGUUGUCGGAGAAGAGAUAGACCGACUCCUAGCAGCCGGCUUCAUUAUGGAAGUGUUCUUUCCAGAAUGGCUAGCAAAUCCGGUCCUGGUACUGAAGAAGAACAAGCAGUGGCGAAUGUGUAUUGACUACACGAGCCUCAACAAGGCCUGCCCCAAGGACCCAUUUGCUCUACCAAGAAUCGAUCAGGUGAUAGACUCCAUAGCCGGAUGCGAGCUGUUGAGUUUUUUGGAUGCAUACUCAGGAUAUCACCAGAUCAAGCUGAACCCGGCUGACAGACUGAAGACCGCCUUCAUCAUGCCGUUUGGAGCCUUCUGCUACCUCACCAUGACGUUCGGCUUAAGGAAUGCCGGCACCACGUUUCAGCGUUGCAUGCAGAAGUGCCUUCUCAAGCAGCUCGGCAGGAACGCCCACGUCUACAUGGACGAUGUAGUGGUAAAGACGGAAAAGCAUGGAACACUGCUGGAAGACCUCAAGGAGACCUUUGAGAACUUGCGCCGAUUCCAAAUCAAGCUCAAUCCCGAGAAGUGUGUCUUCAGAGUACCAGCCAGCCAGCUCCUUGGAUUCCUGGUCUCUGAACGCGGCAUAGAAUGCAACCCUGUAAAGAUCAAGGCCAUUGAGAGAAUGGAGGUACCCAGCCGACUCCUGGAUGUGCAAAAGUUCACCGGCUGCUUGGCGUCCAUCAGCCGAUUCAUCAGUGGGCUGGGCGAGAAAGCUCUCCCCUUAUACCAACUCAUGAAGAAUACCACUUUUUUCGAGUGGAACCAUAAGGCGGACGAAGCUUUUCUCCAGUUGAAGAAGAUGCUAACUACUCCACCCGUCCUGGCGGCUCCGACUCCCAAGGAACCUAUGCUCCUGUACAUUGCCGCCACCAGCUGGGUAGUCAGCACGGUCAUUGUAGUGGAACGCAAGGAGGACGGCAAGGCACUACCUAUCCAGAGACCGGUAUAUUACCUAAGCGAAGUACUGUCGACCUCCAAGCAGGACUACCCCCACUACCAGAAGAUGUGCUAUGGCAUACACUUUACUGCCAAGAAAUUGAAGCCUUACUUUCAAGAGCAGACAAUCACGGUGGUCUGCACAGCCCCGCUUGCCGAGAUCAUUGGUAGCCGAGAUGCUUCUGGCCGAGUGGCCAAGUGGGCCAUAGAGCUGGCUCCCUACACAAUCCACUACCAGCCCCGCACCGCUAUAAAGUCACAAGCACUGGCCGACUUCCUCGUCGACUGGGCCGAGACCCAGUACCUACCUCCAGCGCCUGAUUCCACCCAUUGGCGGAUGCAUUUCGACGGCUCCAAGAUGUGCACUGGCUUGGGAGCCGGCAUCGUCCUCACCUCUCCUAAAGGCGACAAGCUCAAAUACGCACUGCAAAUCCAUUUUGCCGCCUCCAAAAACGUCGCCGAGUACAAGGCGCUCAUGCAUGGGCUUCGGCCUGCCAAAGAACUUGGCAUCCCCCGGAUCUUGUGUUAUGGCGACUCGGACUUAGUGGUCCAGCAGUCAUCUGGCGACUGGGACGCGAAAUAUGCAAACAUGGCGAGUUGUCGUUUCCUCGUGCAGCAACUCAGCGGGUAUUUCGAAGGGUGCGAGUUCCUCCAUGUGCCAAGAAACGACAACGACCAAGCAGAUGCCUUGGCACGAAUCGGCUCUACCCGCCAAGCAAUACCAUCCGGCGUCGCCCUUCAACGCCUCCUCAAGCCGUUUGUCAAGCCUUCACCAGAAUCAGACUCCAUUUUUGUGCCGGCUCCUCCCGAGGACAUCGGAUCCGACUCCAGAGGUUCGGCAGACGGUACGGGGAUUUUGGCAGAUGGCUCCAAAGCCGCCACAGUCGAACCCGGCCCGGAGACUGCGGCAGCGGACUCGAAGACUCCAGAACUCGACCCAAGGGCCGCGCCAGUCGGCCUGGGGACUUCAUUAACCCAACAAGCGGUUGUUGACUCCGACCCGCCGCCUCCCAGCCCAACCGCCCUCGUCCAAGUCGCAGUUCUGGCAGUCGAAGAAAUAGCAGCACCCUCAUGGGCCCAGCCCAUCCUCAAAUUCCUGGUGAGCAAAGAGCUGCCGACUGAUGAGACCUCAGCUCGGCAAAUACAACGCCGAGCGGCAGCCUACACCAUAAUCAACAGAGAGCUGGUCAGGCGCAGCGUCACUGGUGUCCACCAGCGCUGCGUAGAGCCAGAGCAAGGCCAAGCAAUUCUCAAAGACAUCCAUCAAGGCGAGUGCGGCCACCAUGCGGCUUCAAGAGCACUCGUCGCCAAAGCCUUUCGACACGGUUUCUUCUGGUUGACUGCCCUAGAGGAGGCCAAGGAGUUGGUCCAAAAAUGCAAAGGGUGCCAGAAGUUCAGCUCCAAGCCGCACCAGCCGACUUCUACACUCAAGACCAUCCCCAUUGCCUGGCCUUUCGCAGUUUGGGGUCUAGACAUGGUGGGACCAUUCAAGACAGCACGAGGUGGCUUAACUCACUUACUUGUCGCAGUGGACAAGUUCACCAAGUGGAUAGAUGCGAAGCCAAUCAAGAAGCUGAACGGUCCGACUGUCGUGACUUUCAUCUCCGAUAUCGCAAUUCGGUACGGCAUACCACACAGCAUCAUCACCGACAACGGCACAAAUUUUGCCAAAGGCGCCUUGGCCCGUUUUUGCGCAACACAGGGCAUCCGACUGGACCUAGCGUCCGUCGCCCAUCCGCAGUCAAACGGCUAGGUGGAGCGAGCAAACGGCCUCAUCCUGUCCGGCAUCAAAUCCCGGCUGAUCGAGCCUCUGGAGCGCUCGGCUGGCUGCUGGCUCGACGAGCUACCAGCCGUCCUCUAGAGUCUGCGCACGACUCCAAACAAGUCAAUCGGCUUCACGCCUUUCUUCCUCGUCUACGGUGCCGAAGCCGUCAUCCCAACGGACAUAGAGUUCGACUCCCCACGAGUCACCAUGUACACCGAGGAGGAAGCAGAAGAAGCACGACAAGACGGCGUCGAUCUGCUGGAAGAGGGCCGGCUGUUGGCACUCAGCCGGUCCAGCAUCUACCAGUAGAGCCUGCACCGAUACCACAACAGGAAGGUCAAGCCAAGAUCUUUCCAAGAAGGCGACCUUGUGCUCCGCCUGAUCCAGCGAACAGCCGGCCAGCACAAGCUGUCGGCGCCUUGGGAAGGCCCUUUCAUCAUCAGCAAAGUACUGGGCAACGACUCCUACUACCUGAUUGAUGCUCAGAAGCCCCGAGCACGCAAGAGGGACGACUCCGGCAAGGAGACAGAGCGGCCAUGGAAUGCAAAUCUCCUCCGAAGAUUUUACAGUUGAUGCAGUAUGUACCACGCUACCUUUUGUAUUAAAGCACCAAGACUUCGGGCCCCCCGAGACGAGCUCGGGGACUGCCCUCUUUUGUCUAUAUGAUAAAAAUUAUGCCUACAAGUAUGUUACUCUUUGUUAUGCCGCUUGGCACUGGGCUCGACAAGUCGGCCCAGGGACUUGCCGCCUUGCACUGUGAAAAUGCUUCCUGCAGCCGGACAAGUAGUGUGUAAUACCUAAACCGUCUCAUGUCAGAAGCCGCAGCUCACAGAAGCGACUGUACGGUGGGCAGAAGUAAGGUAGAAUGGGCGUUCGCAUGAAAAAUGGCUAAGGACUCAAAGCAUAAAACAUAGCUCAAGAUGGCUUCUAGCCUUUUUUCACAAACCGACUCUUGAAUAGUCAGAUUGUCGCCUUCUAUUCAACUUGCUCAAAAACUCUCAAAAACGGCUAAGUACUUGCCUUCCCAAAGUAGCCAAGCAUUUGAUCCAGCGGCAGUCCGCAGAGCGGCUGUCCGAUUGGCAAGGCAGGCAACUAAGAGAAAGCGGCAAAGGAAAAAAGCCAAAAGAGCAAUGAGCAAGAAAAGAUAGAACUUGGAUAAAUAUAUUUACAUAACGUAGGCUCUUGGCCGAAUCUUCGAGCAGAAGUUCAAAAUACACCCCGUGGGUGGAAUUGUGCGAAUUAACAAGUUCUUCAAAGACUACUGAAGCAGAUAAAAUAAAGGUAAAGCGACAGCUUAGGAAGCAGCGGACGGAUUCGGAGGGUCGGAGGAGGCGGCAGUGUCAGGCGUCGGGGCGGCCGGCUGGGUAGUCUCGGCUUGAUCGCCUCCGGUGGCAGUCGGGUUGAUCGCACGCGGCUCAUUGCUGGAGGCGCGGUCGAGCCGAGGCUGGCCGUCUGCUCCGUCUUCUGGUGCCUCUGUCUCGCCUCCGUCCUCCGCCUCGCCUUUCUCCUCGACGCUAGAGCCAAUCACCUUCGCCGAGUCCUCGCCGUAGUCUGGGUUCAUCCCAAACCACUCCGGCGAUACCUCCUCGCCGUCUUCAGACCGCUCGGGGACGAAGAUGCUGGUGUCGGUGUACUCGGCGAUCGCCGCAGCACGCUUGACGAGGGUGUCUUUCACAGCUGCCAGCUCCGGCUGGGCCUCCGACCGAAGCGUGGCCAGCCGGUCUAGAUUCAGCCCUGGAUACCACGCCUUGACAAACUUCAAGGCCCGGCGCGCUCCAGCUUGGGCCGAAGAACCCUUCCAGGCCUCAAGACGACCAGCCGCGACCUCUAGCCAGUUGGCCGUCAGGCUGGGGGUGCGUGGAGCCUGCAUGUCCGGCCACAGGGCAGCAAUCGCCUGGGUACAGACACGCUGAAGCCGGCGCAGCAUCCGGUGAGUCGGCCGAAGGCGAGCCUCGAUGCUCAGGAUGUUCUCGUCAAGGGUUCGGGGGGCGUCAACAGCGAUCUCUGCGCCCUCCGCCCUCCGACCUUCACGGUCAGCCUCAAUGGCCUGGAUGGCGGCCUGCGAGUGCCCAGGAAAGAAGUCUGCCAAGACGGAAGAAACGAAGAAGCAAGUCAAAAACCAGGAGUCGGCACGACUUAUAAUCGGCAGCUCAAAGAAAGAAAGUAAAGAAACUCACCAUCAACGAUGUCUUCAAUCUCAUGGAAGCCGGAGGCCAGCAUCGCCUCCUUGUCAGACCAGGAGGAGCGCUCGCUCGCGAACUCGGCCAGGAGGGCGGUUUCCGUCUCUUCCGCCUCCCUCUGCGUCUUCGCAAGCAGCUCCUUCUGCUCUGCCAACUGAGUGGCCAGCAGAUCGCGCUCCGUGGCGAGCUUGCUGCACUCCUCCCCUUUGGCGCGCAAUGCGGAGUUGGCUUCGCUCAGCUACUAUUGAAGAGCAGCGUUGGCUCCUGAAAAGAAGGAAGAAAGAAGGCGUUAAGUCAUCAAUAAAGAAGAUCGUCAGGGAGAUCCGGCCCGACUGCUCAGCAGUCGGCCCGAAUCUCGGGGACUACAGCCCGCAGGUGCGCCAGCGAGCCCCCGCAAAGAAGAAAAAGGACUUACUCCGGCUCUCCGACAAAUUGGCGGUCCGCUUGCCCAGUUCUUCAACGUUACGGUUGAAGGCAGUGACGCAGAGGUUGUGGUAAUACUGCGUCAAGCGUUUCAGACAAAAAGUUAAUACCCAGAGUUCAUCAGUUGGAGUUCCGGGCCGCCUGCUCAGCAGCCAGCCCGAAACUCGGGGACUACACCCAAUGGGUGCGCUGGCGCGCCCCCACAGAGAGGAACAAGGAAACAAGGACCAAAGGAAAAAACAUACCCGGACGACUGCCCGCGACGCCAGGUACGCCUUGGUGCAAUUAUGGAGAGCGUCGCCCUCAGCACGAAGCUUCGCCUGGACGUCCAGAAGCGCCUGGUUCAGCGUCCGUGUGCCGCCUCCUCGCACCCACCCAAUGGGUGCGGCGCUCGUCGCUUUGGCGUCUGCGAUCGCCGAGCUGGCGGUGCCGGCCUCCAGGGGGUGGGGUGCCGAAUUCGCCUUCUCCAGACGGCGGCGCGUCGGCGAGCCGACUUGGAGGAGUAACCUCACCACGGCCUUGUCUUCGGUCGCGGCACCAGAGGGUCUGCUGGCUGCUUGUCUUGCGCACUCUCAGAUGGCGGCGGAGGCGGCGGCGGAACGAUCACGUCCUGCGUAGAGGGGUCGCCACCUUCCCUUUCCACGACGGGGUUCUCGCCGCCGGCUUCCCCAGUCUACCCCGUGAACUCCGGAGGCGGCGGCGCAGAGUUUAGCGGGGUGAUGAACACCGCCGAUUGGCAGCGUGCGGCCUCCUCAGCCUGCCGCUUCGUCGCGGCGGCGGCUUCGGCCUCCGCUAGUUUUUUCUUGGCGGAGGCCUCUGCCCUAUCGGCCUCCGCCUUCUCCAGGCAAACAGCCUCUUCUUCGUUGCGCUUCUCUUGCGCAUUCCGCUCUGUCGCCUCCCGGAGGUCAGCAGCGGGGUCAAUCCGCCGAGUGGUGGAAGACGUCUCCGCUGACCCCAUGACGGAGGCGGCGGUGACCCUCUCAAGAGUGAGGGGAGCCCUGAAGCAAGGGAAGCAAGCAAAAGACUCAGGAAAAGACACAAAGAAAGAAUAAAUCAUUGAGACAGAAUACUCAUGCGGAGACCAAUGGCGGCUUCUUCACUUCCUUACGGAAGCGGAUGGCCUUCGCAGCCGCCUCGUCCCGCCGAGUCACCGCAGCCGAACCCUUGGGUUUCUUCGGCCGACUGCCGAACAAGGUCGGCACGGCCCUGCGCUUCUUCCCGCCGCCUGGAGCACCCGGUGCGGCAGAAGAGCCCGUGCCAGGAUGGCUGGCUCCUGGCCGAUGGCGGGGGGCGACUUCUCCCUCGGCGUCGUCGUCAAGCCAGUCGGCGAAAGUGGCCGAAGGCCUGAAGUCGCCUGCUGCUACUCCUCCUCCCUCGGCGUCGUCCUCCAGAGCCGCCGCCCCCAGAUCGGGGUUGUCAACGUCGCUCUCCGCCCGGUCGGCGAGGAACUCGCGGGCCGGCCCCGAGGUGCCAGCUGGCGGGUGGAGGAGGGGAUUCUGACCAAAGCCAACUGGCCAAAACAAACUCGGCGAGAAAGAAGACAAUCCAAAGAAAGAAAGGAAAGGCAACUCACCACGGGCGAGGGGUUGGCGCCGGAGUACGGCUCCUUGCCGAACUGCCAAUCCUCCAGGAGCUUGCUGUCCGAGAGGUAGUUCACCAUGAAGGCCACCUCCUCGUGAGGCAUGUCCUUGGUGCACAUCCGACUCGGGUCGCGGUGCCCGCUCAUUUGGCAUAUCAUAUGGGGGCGGCCUUGGAGCGCGAGAACUCGGCGCACCAUGAAGGCGGCCAGCAGGUCUGGACCAGUCAAGCCCUCCGACUGCAUUACCACUCGGAGUCGCGCGAUGGCGCCGGCUCCCACAGGCAUCAGCGACUUGGCCCGGUACGACCAGUUGGGCAGUCUCCCAGCCGGCGGGACGGCUUCGAAAGCCGGCAGGUUGACCCAGUCGCCCCUCGCGGAGACGCUCCUAACAUAGAAGUACAAUCUCUGCCACAUCUUCAACGACUUUAUCAGCGAGAUGGAGGGGAAGGGGUUGUCGGCCCCCGACCUUCGCACGGCGAUGAAAGCGCCGCAUUGAGCCGGCACGCCUGCAGCCUGGAUGCCGAGCUUGGAGAAGAAGAACUCCCCCCAGAGCUCGAGGGUGGGGAGGACUCCGAGGAAGCCUUCGCACAGGGCCACGAAGGCGGACACCAGCACCAUCGUGUUGGGCGUGAGGUGGUGCGGCUGGAGGCCGUAGAACUCCAGGAAGGAGCGGAAGAAGCCGCUCGCCGGCAGCCCCAACCCGCGCAGGUAGUGCGAGUGGAAGAUGACCCGCUCGCCCUCCUGCGGCACAGGGGAAAUCUCCCCCCUCGGCGCAAGACGCACCCGCACGUGAUCCUCGCCGGGGAGCCGAUGAGUCCUGCGGAGGAACUCGAUGUGGUCGUCGUGAACUUCGGAGCCGUCCCCGGUGCCGGAGCGCACCGGGGAAGGCGCGGCGACAAAGGAAGAGCUCAUCGCGAGCUAAUCGCCGCGGCGUUAGUCGAAGCUUGGGCACGCGGUGGCAUGAAGAAGAAGAAGGAGGAGAGCGAGGAGCAGUGAGAAGGAGGAGAGCGAUCAGCAGUGAGAAGGAGGAGAGCGAGGAGUGGUAGGAAGGAGGGGUGCGCAUGCACCCCUCUUUCCCCUACUUAUAGCCUCGUGGGCUGCGAAGCCGAGGGGGCAGUCGUGGGAUUUACUGCGCCCACGGCCCCACGACCCCCACGUUCCACGACAAAGUUACUGCGCGCAGUAACUCCACGGGAAUCCCAACCGUCCGCCGGGGCCGUGGCGGAUCCGCUCGGGCACCGAUGUGCGGUAGUGGCGGACCUCGCCUAUGGGCCUGUCCCGUCGCACGCGUAGGCUAGCAGAAUGGCCCAGCCACGUGUCAUCGCAUGACAGGCCUAAAAUGGGCGGCGGCCCGGAGGCUUAGCAAGCACGCUACUUGGAUGCCGCCGCGACGUUCGAAAUAUUGUGAGAGUCAGAGUUGGGCGAGUCCGACUCCUUCUAGCCAUCCCGGUGGAAGUCAACCAAGAGCCACGUGUUGAGCACCCGGAGAGAGAAACUGCUGAGGCUUCUUGGCCGAUCGUCCGUGGCGCCUCAUCAGCUUCGGGGACUACUGUCGGAGUAAUGGGCCACGGGGAGGCCGACCCGAGGCCCAGAACCUUUCAAGACAUCGGGGCAGGCUGCGCCCCUCAAGACCCCAGGACGAAGAGCCGCCUUAAAGAAGUCGACGGCAAGAUGGCCGACUGACCACUCACGGCCGAGUCCUAGGGACGACUUCAGGGAAAGCCGACUCCUGACUUGCGACUUCUAGAGAAGCCGGCUUUGGGGAAUCAGCCUGCGACUCCAACAAACCCCAUGACCUCAUCAAGUGGGACGGGGCAGGGGAGUGGCUACAGUGAAGCCCACUCCCGCCCCUUACCAAGGGCAGGCAUGGCCACAGCACGCCGUACCGCGGAAGAUCUCUGUGUGGCGUGGCCCUGUUGCCAUGCCGGCCCUGACAUCAGCACCGCAGGACCGAAUCUUGCACCCACGAUGGCUUGUCUGUACGGCCUAGAGGCUGCGGGUCCCACCAGUCAGUGAGAUCCCAGGAGACGGCAAGAGGACCACCAGUCGGACCCGUCGGGAGUCGGCCCCGGGAAGUCGGCCGAGCCCUCCCCCGGGGCCCACACGCCAUUAAUCAAGAUGUGAUGGAGAGUGGCAAUAGUGAUCGCCCGCUAGGCGGCGGGGCUGUUGCCACGACCCCAUGAUCAAGCCCGCGUCAUCAGAAGCACGGCUACAGUAAUCAGCAGCCGGCAAGACCCGCCCGCGGCGGACGCGGCCUAUCGACUCCGUACCAGGCCAGUCGGCGGGCCCCAGUGGUCGGCAGGAGAGACGGAGGCCAGAGGCGCUGACGGCCGGGCCCGCGUCUAGCCAGAUUACCAUUGUACCCCUGGGGGGUAGGCCUAUAUAAACCCCCCAGGGCACCCAUGCAAGGGGUUGGAACCCAUUAGCUCUAGGCCAGAUCAUAUAAGUGGGAGAGAGCUAGCCUUGCCCUCUCCUACCUCCAGGAAACAGCUCAAGGAGCAACCGUGUAAACACUUUGCCAUAGUGAUCAUGCGGAGACCCCGCAGAGCAGUAGUAGGGGUAUUAUCUCCCCGGAGAGCCCUGAAGCUGGGUAAGAUUCACCGGCGUGCAUGUCUUCGCCUCAUCCGGUUUCCAGGCACCGGUGACGUUCUACUCGCCCCCACCAUGAUAAGCCAUCCUUUGGCAUAUGUCGCACCUAACCCCCGACAAAUUUACUCUUUGUGGCACCGAAUAACGGCGAUGUACCAGCUACUCGUGGUACCGCUGGACAACGUUGCUGUCGAGACAGAGGAACUUGACGCCGAAGCUGACCUUGGCGAGGAAGUUGGAGGUGGAUUUGCGACGGACUUACAUCUCGUCUAGGGUGAAGACGUGAAGACUUGCAGCCUUGUCAUCGCUGCCGUGAGUAGCGUCUGUGAAACAUCCUCCAAGGAGAGCAGCCGCAUCUUCUUCACCACACGCCGCCGCCACACCGUCCCGGCCUAGGAUGCACCUGUUGGAAUUUUGCUAGUAGGCCUUUGGCUCAAAGUCUAACUAAAAUUCUAAAAUUCUCUUGAUCUAUUCAUGCACACAUGUGAGUGAAGUGAGUGAGACUAAAGUUUAGUCUCAUCACGAAAGUUGAGUGAGACUUGCACCUCUUUAUAAGAUAAGCUGUUCUACCACUUCUAUAAGCAUGAGAAGAGGAGACCUACACGCGCGCUCCUCCUCCUCGUCAUGCCGCGCCGCGGGUCACGAGGACAGAGCUAUGCAUGUAGUCUAUAUUUUUGCUGCUUGGGAAAAAUUAAUGAGUUAUUAAUUAAUUAACGGAUGCGUUAAUUACUGAACCGUUUCCGAUUCUUUUGGAUCGUAACUCAGACAUGAUGUUUACUCCCACGACCUACUCGGCCUGCAAUAUAUAGUCAGACAGACGUCUACCCUAGCUGCCGCCGUAUUGUAAGGUUUCGCACCACCGUUCUAGAUCAUUGCGCCGCCAAGCAAGUCAUCUCCAUCCCUCCUUUCGGCGUGCACCCCGAGAAGGGACAACAGGCCUCCGGAACCCCUCCUCUCGUGAUCCUUUACGGGAGAGGGGCGAUCAGAUUUUUAGGGAGCGCACUCGCGCGACUGCUGGCAGUGACGACUUCGCCAACGACGACUUCUUCCCCGACCUCGGCAAUCUCAUCCUCGACGACAUGGACGACAACGUCAACACCGGCGGUGCUGCUCCCGCUGCACCAUAUGUGAUUCUAUCCUUCCUGUUCGAGAUCGUCGUAAAAUUCAUGUUUCUAGUAUGUGCCCUAGGGUGCCCAAGGUAGCUCCCCUCCCCUCCCUGGCCGCUCCCGUGAGCACCGCCAGGGCGGGCUCGGGCCCCUCCUCGAUUCUCCCUCCCCUCGCCGCCGCCCCAGCGUGCUGGCGGGCAAAGCCCGGCCAGCUCGGGCGGCGGCGAGGCCUCUUCCUCCCCCACGUGGCGCUGGAUGGCGCGGGCCAUCCUUGUUGGGAGGCGGCGCGGCGCUGGCUCAGGGCGCAGCGACAGUGGCUCGCGACGGGGGCGCGGCUUGCUUGCGGCGGCGUGGGUGGCUGGGAAGGGCUGGGGGCGUGCCCUGCUCCCGGCGGCGGCGACGUUUGGGCGCGGCCCAGAUCCGUCACGGCUGCGGCUCGGGUGCUCUUGGCCCUUGUGGUGGCGAGGCUCCGGCUCACCGCAGGUGGUGGCCUGCUCCGGUGGCCACCCCUGCUGCAAUGCUCCCUGGUGGUGGACCUGUCGGUCCCCAGCCGAUCCGGCGAUGGCAGGUGCCGUGGGCUGCGCUCGGCGGAGGUGUGGGCUACCACGGCGUGGUGGUGGCUCAUGGCGGUGGUCAGGAUCGUCUCACGGCGGUGGCUGGACUUCUUCGGCGUCGGCCCGUUGGUGAGUGCCAUGUGAAGAGCUUCGACCCCUCUUCUCGAUGCCCGGGCGCAAUCUUCGUCGGUAGGAUGGUCCUCUCCUUGCUGCGACCCAUCGCUAGUCCCUUGCUCGGGCAGCAGGACCACGCUCGUCUCGCGCCCGGCAGCAGGACCUCCUCGUCUCGCGCCCGACAGCAGGACCGAGCUCGUCUCGUGCCCGGUAGUAGGACCGAGCUCGUCUCGCGCCCGGCAGUAGGACCAAGCUCAUCUCGCACCUGGCAGUAGGACCAAGCUCGUCUCGCGCCCGGAGCUUUAUGACGAAUCGAUGGACUUGUGUGCCCCGGGAUCCGAUCAUCUCUUCCGAUGGGGUAGCGGCGGGUGUAAAUUGAGGUGGUUCCUAGGUCUUGGAUUCCAGGGCGAUGGCCCUGGUGGUGGUUGCGCGGUGCUCACGGGCAAAGACCGUCGCUUGGUGUUGCCCGGUGGCCAUGGCCGUGUGGGCGGCGUGGUUGUCGGGGUGCGGCGUUCGAUGGCAGUGAGUAUUGGCCGGCAUGAAAACCUGCUCUAUCUUCGGACAGACCGGCGGCGGCGUAGCUCGUUCCCUUCUUGAAGGCGUCGUCGUGGCUCUCAUUGUCUGUCGUGUGGUUCUGGGGGAAACCUUGAUCCUCGGAUCGGGCGGUGCGGCGCUCCCGUGUUGUACCCUUCUUGAAGGCACCGUUUUGGAGCCCAUGGUUCGUCGUAUGCGGCUGCAUCUCUUCAUGGCGGGGUCUUCCCUGGUGGAGCCCCGGUUGCUUGAGUAGUGUUGGGGUCGUGUUGCUGCGCUCAGCGCCUAUGUAUCUUGCAUUGGGUGUGUGCGUGUGUUGUGGUGGUGUGCGUCUGUACCUGGAUGUUAUUGGUCAUUGCUUUAUUUAUAAAGCGGGGCGAAAGCCUGUUUCGGCAGUAUGUGCCCUAGAUGUGAUCUGUUCAUCUACUAUGCUAGUUUGCAUGAUUAGUUUAAUCUCUGCUAGUGCUAUCAUGAUUUAUCUUCUGUUUACUCGAACUAAAUCUCAUAGUAAUUUACUCAUAUUUUCUAUAGCACCUCCUGCUCCAUUUUCUCAUAGCGGCGGCCACCGCCCGUCCUAAAGAACGCGAGAAGGCCCAUGAAUGCAGAGCAGCAGCUUAGGAGGACCUUGAAACCACGGAUGCAGGCACCGUGCUGAGAAGGGGAACAUAGCCCAAGCGAAUCCCGGAGAAUCACAUACGCGAGCGAAGCCGGCGGUCCUACCGGAGUGCAGUGAGAUGAUCUCGGCCACGAUGCCAGACUGUAGGGGAAGGGGGAUAGACGACCAUUCUGUACUCUGUUUGUAUAGGAUGGGCAACCUUUGGUGGGCCUCUACUGUAUUAAGGUGGUAGCUGAAGCAUUUAAAAAAGAGGUGGUAGCCGAAGCAUCAAAACUGAACGGUGAAGGAUUAAAGGCAAUUGAACUCAAAUAUGGAAGGAGAGCGGUCAUGAAAAGUGGGUGGCUUAGCUGGAUGUGACAUUUUUGUUUUCAGAGAGAGAUUGGUCGAUCUUUGCAAACUGAACGCUGACAUGGCAUGACGAUGAUAUGGACAAUGCGCAUGUUGAAAGAAUUAAUAGAAGUGUGGAUCAACUUCUUAAGAAUGUAAGAGGGGAUCAACUUCUUUAGAAUGUAAGAUUUCUGCAACAAUGCUCUUGUUGCAAAAAGCUCCUCUUAUUUAUUUAUUUUUCUAAUUUUCUGCAACAAGACCCCUAUUGCAGCACCUCUUCUUCUCUAAUUUUCUGCAACAAGACUCUUGUCGCAAAUAUUGCAAAAGCAUGUCCAGUCGCAUCAUGCACUAGCACCGUCAUCGUUUGUUGUCGCCGUUCCGUAACAACGUUGGUGUUGCUCAAACUUGCCUUGAAGGUGAUGUUGGGCCGAGCGCGUGGUGGGCGUGGACGUACGACGCGGUGCUAUGGCGUGCCGGAUCCGUCGAUUCGGUCGACCAGGAGGCAUUUGUUGGCAGAAAGCUUGCAGUAGCUAAGCUUCAUAGGGGCCAAAGGGGGCCAUUGCCCCUCUACUGUUGGAAAAUCCAUAAGUGUACAUGUUAUAUUAUUAGGCUUGAAUAUCAAAGAUUUCUCAGAGUUCAUGCAUAACUUUAUCUUCUUCGCCCCCUCAAUUCUGAUUGGCCCCCUCAACAAUCAUCAUCAAUCUCCAUCACUGCGUGGAUGUGCUCGGUAAUGACGACCUACAGACGGCGGAGCUCGGUUGUUCGGACCACAUCCUCCAUGCCAGUAGCACGCCGACGACGACACCGCUACACUCCCUAGCCUAUAGGGAUGUAAACAGUGCUACCGGAUUCUUACCUGGCAGUGUAGUCUAUCGGUAACAGCUGCUGAGUUGCAGAAACGCUUCUGAAACAGGGGUAAAGUUGCAAGAACAUUAAGUAGGUGAGGGUUGCUCUUGACCGUCCGAUCAACAACAGAUCGGACGCCCAUGGAGGUGGUGGACGCGUACGGAAAGAUCAGUCGGAUGAAGACAAACGUUUCCCCUUCGGAAAUGUUACGUUAACAAAGGGUCCACCCGUCAUCACGCUGGAUACCCCCUUUCCUGACGUGUAUUUUAAUAAAGAGUCCACCCGCCAGGGCUGACGUCCAUUCUAAUAAGACGUGCAUUUUAUCGAGCAUGUUGUGUGCAGUGACAGGCCAUUGUUCUCCCCCGCCCUGUCGUCCGCCGGCAAGAACGUCCAGUGCCACCACGCUCGCUCGUUCCUAGUGCACACGUGUGUGCCACCCGCCACCGUCCGGUGAAGGUCUCUGGCGAGCCGAGCGCUCUCCUUCAAGACUGUAAAGUACAUGUUUCCGAGAACCAUUGUCCCAAAUAUUAAUAUUCGUUAAAUUUUGAAUGAAUUGUAUCAUUCCUUAAAUUCUGUUUCGGAUAUGCGGUCUAUAUGCAGCAACAUUGUCCCAACUAUUAACAUUUUGAAUCUUUUUGUCUCAACUGCCACGCCUUUAUGGCUGCAAACUGCACUUUUAAUCGCUCUUCCAAAGUGAGUAUAUAGAUGACUAGAGUAUAUUUUUUUCUUAGUGACUGUAAGAAAAACUGCAAAAUGUACUUUUAAUCCUAUUAGUAGGAUUGCCACCAAUGUAUGUUUCCAUGCUUUGCUCUGCUUCUUUGAUCUUUUUGCUUCUCAUCAUCUGAUUUUCUUUUCCUUUAGUCUAGUCCCUAUAUGCAGCUGUAGGUGACUUUGCUAAUGUGAGUAAAAGAACGGACAUUGCCGAAUUCAUACAGCCUUAUAUCGAAGCAGCCCUUGUCAUAGUAGCACCAGUGAGAAAAGCAAAUUCAAAUGCCUGGGCUUUCUUUAAACCUUUCAUUUUUGCGGGAGUGGUUGUUUGGAUUCUUGAAAAUCGAACUAAUGAAGAGUUCCGAAUUUCGAGGCUCUCCAUGGUGACAAGUCCUGGCAAUAUUUUGGUAAAUUUCCUUUGCUACACCAAGGAUCUGUUUAUCUUAGGUUUCCAAUCUGGUUUGAGUAGAAGUUCAGAAAUAUUAACAGAGGCAAAGUGAUAUUUUUUUGUCCCUUUGUUCUUAACAAUUGUUUUAUAACUGUCUGAUUUUUGUAUCUUCGCAUUUUUGUAUCUCCGUGAUUUUUCUAUAUGUUAGCUUUGAGAAGUCAACAGAUAGUUCAUGCUUCUCUUUCAGGUUCAGUUUCUUUAUGAUGUUCUUUGCACAUGCUAAGUCCACUAAAUGCAUCACAUGAUAUUAUGUUUACCUCUUCUGUUUUGUAUUCGUUUCCCAUCUGGAUGAAAACUUCUUACUGAUCAUAUGGUUGUUUGCCAUGCUGAUCAUAAAUUCAACUUACACGCUUAGCCUGACAUCGAUCCUCACAGUACAGCAGCUAGCAACUUGAAUAAUUGGACUUGACAAGUUGGUUGCUAGCGCUUUACCUAUCAGAUACCCGACUAGAAAUUUUGUCAGAAAUUAUCUGAUUGACGAACUGAAUAUUCCUGAAUCCUGGUUAGUACCAUUGAGCACAGUCGAGGAGUAUGCCAAUGCCCUUAAUCGCGGGCCAAAGACGGCGGUAUUGCUGCAGUUGCUGAUGAGAUGUCAUGUGUGGAGAUCUUCCUGUCGACCCACUGCAACUUCAGAAUUGUGGGUCAGGAGUUCACGAAGGACGGAUGGGGAUUUGUAUGUUCAGCAUCUGUUAAAUCGUUAUGUAUUUACAGUUACACUUUUGUGGGCCUCUUGUAAAGGAGAGAAAGUCUCCUCUUGUUCCUCAUGAGCUUCUACAGCCUACACGAGAAUCUGCACCAUGAGAUCGCCAAAAUCCAGUCUCGCUUUUAUUGGGCAGGCGACAAUAAUAAGCAGAAAUACCAUAUGGUUAGCUGGCCUGACAUGUGCAAGCCUCGGGAACAGGGAGGCCUCGGGAUCAUGUGCUCCAAGCGCAUGAAUAUCGCCCUCCUAUCCCGCUGGCUUUGGCACAUCUCGCAAGGCCAAGGUGGCCUCUGGCUUGACAUCAUCCGGAACAAGUAUCUGCGUGGCCAGCCACUUGCCUUCUGUCAGUGAUCUGGUGGGUUGCAGUUCUGGCAGUCGGUCGCCCCGCUUCUCCUGGUCCUCCGCAUCGAGACUUCCAUCUCGGUGGGGUCCGGCUCGGCGACAUUGUUCUGAUUUGACAGAUGGGCUGGAGACUCCCCCUUCGCCGCGCGCUUUCCCGAUCUCUUCUCCAUCGCAGUUGAACCCCUGAUCUCGGUUGAGAGGGCCCUUAUUGAUCUAGGACGCAUUGCUUUCCGGAGGCCUUUCGGCCCUCCGGAAUCCGCCGCUUGGCGUAAGUUACUGGACUGUGUAGCACUUCACGAGCCGGUGGUGGACGAUGGCCCGAUCUGGUGAGAUGGCGGCUCGAACCUUCGGGCCAGUUUUCCACCAAAUCCCUUUACCAGGCCACCGCACCUUCCGUCGCCCCUCCUCCCUAUCGACGGUGUGGUCCGUUCACCUACCCCUGAAAAUUCGGAUCUUCAUGUGGAAGUGGAUUCACGGGCGACUCCCAUCGGGCGUUGAGGUGCGUAAGCGCAAUGGCCCGGGCUCUGGCAUGUGCCCGCUCUGCGACUUCCCUGAAGACUCAAAUCACAUCUUCUUCUCCUGCGUGACCGCGCAAUUCGUUUGGAGCUGCUUCUGUGAGGUGGUGGGUGGAUCUUGGUGUCACACCAACUUCCCCGACUUGUACGACGAGCUCCAGUCCUCCCCUUUGACUUCUCGCCACAUUAGGUGGCUUGAGAUCACUACUAGGGAAAAGGCUUGCAGCAGCGUGGGUUUUAGGUGUAUCAGUAGUGCGGGGACUGGCGCUACUAAUAAGGUGCUACAGCUAACACGUAGCAGUAGCGCGUGCUCACCAGCGCUACUGCUACACAAGUGUAGCAGCAGGGCGCUUAAUGGAAGCUCUCUACUGCUAAUAGCUAUAGCGCGCUUCUCAUGUGCGCGCUACUGCUACUACCGCGCUGCUGCUAACUUUUCUCCACUCGCUACUGCUAAUUUUAGUAGUUUUUUGUUUUUUCGGCAUAUUUGUUUUGUAUUUGAACAGGCUUUAUAGAAGAAUCUUUAGCACAUACACAUGUCAUCAUGAUACACAUACAAAUGCCUGCGAGACCACAAAUGUAAUCAUAGCAUAUACAUACAAAUAGUCUCAUCAUAAUCAUCAUCCAACACAAAGUGGUAUCUUGUCAUCAUCUCGAAAAUAGCGAUACAUGCAAGUCUCGAAUACUUGCAACUACAACGUUAUCCAUCUAAACAAAGGUAUACGCGAGAAGAGCUAUCACUAUGAGUGAGAGCGGAACUAUGCAGUACAUGAGGUGGCGGUUACGAGUCCUCUCUCGCGCUAGCAUGAACCUCAAGUAACUAGCUUCUCCUUCUUGUCUUCUUUUGAAGCCUUUAUGGCUGGCCCGAGAACCCAUUCACUUGCGCCUGACACUCAUGCCACUCGUUGUACACCCCUGGAACCUUCCCUUUGUACACGACAUAGCACUUCCAUCUCGCCAUCAAGAAACUAGGUACCUGUUAGAGAUGCAUGUUCAUGAAGAGGAUGUACAAUCAUAUAUAUGCAACAAAAUAUACUAGAGCAACAGCCAAAAAGAAAGGGUUAGCAACUAGAUGCAACAUACAGUAUGCAAAUUAAUUAACUAAAGGUACGUAGGUCAUCGUACGCAAACUAACAAAGUAGCGUUACGCAAGUUCGGCAGGGACCAUGGACAUCACAAAGUUUCAUCGCUACAAAAAGUAUACAAGUUCAACCGACACAUAUCAUCAUCAUCGGCAUCAUAAAUCACUAGAAGUUCCAUCCUUCCAUAUCAUUGAGGAUGGACCCUAGCUUCUUGAAAGGCGUGAGGUCUAGAUGUUGCAUGCCUAUGUGCAUCAGCUCGCGAUAUAGGGCCGUGGUGGAACAUCCCCUUCUCAUCGAUGACUUCUUUCAUGAUGAUCGUCGCAAUGUCGCUUUGGAUGCGAAAGAAGUCAUCUCUAAGUUUUUGCAGUUUUGGAACUGACUUACUUUGGAUGAUAAGGCACGAGGACAAUUUCCCGGUCCUUAUUCUAUACCAUGAAGUUUUGGAGGUACUCCCUAGCAGCUUCACGCUCAAAGUCGCCGAGACUCAAGAAAGACUCGUGCAUGUAGUACGGAACCGCCACACAGAUUUGCAAGACUUCUUCACUCUUCAUGACGGAGCUCAUAUGUAGCGCAAAAAGGCGGACGAUUGUAAAAUCGAGCCGCCUUGUCAGAAAUAUCUCAAAGAUAUGGUCAAACCGUAGGAAGGACACCUCCGCGGGCCGUGUGUCGACAUAGCACUUCCCCUCAGGCACAUGAGCCGCGUAUAUCGGAUAUCCUGGAUCCUUUAAGGCUAGUAGGAUUUUCUCAGUCGACAGCACAUGGUCGUGCAGUCUCCUGAGAUCCCCUCAUAGUGCCUCCAGCGGUUUCGCCGGUAGCAUCAGCUCGCCCGUGAGAUGGAACAUGGCCGCACCUUUCACGGGUACACGCUCUUCAGAAUGCAUCAUCUGGCUGCUUUGUGCUCUGGCUUGUUUGGAGGCAGUUAUCUUCCCCGAUCUCUUCCUCUCCUUUUUCUUGGGCACACCUUCUAGACCCUUCUUAUGCUAGUUCAUGGUAAUCAGAACUGCCCAAUCAAAGUUGUUGUUAAAGUCCUCACCUCUCGUCUCAAACCGGUCAUACCUAUGCUAGUUCAUGGUAAUCAGACUAGGUUCAUCUCCGGUAGGAAUAUUGCUGAGAACUACGUUUUUGCAGCUGACCUCAUUAGCUCUUGUCACACUCGCAAACGACCAACCAUGGUUUUUAAGCUAGACUUCCGAAAAGCCUUCGACUCCAUGGCUUAGCCUGCCCUUGAUAGGAUUCUAGCCGUUCGUGGUUUCUCCCAAACCUUCCGCAACUGGAUCCAAAACAUUCUUCACACGGGCGAAGCUGCCAUCCUCCUGAAUGGUGUCCCAGGCAACUGGAUACAAUGCAAGAAUGGCUUGCGGCAAGGUGACCGGCCUCCCCCUACCUUUUUCUCAUCGUCGAUGGCCUGCUCCAAUAGCUCAUCUUCCAGAACUCAGAGCCUGCCCUCCACCACCCCAUCUUCUCCCACCUACCUCCCACCGUUCUCCAAUACGCCGAUGAUAUGCUCAUCAUUGCAGCCGCCUCUCCUGUCGCCGCUGCAACCCUCAAAGUAACCCUAAACAACUUCGCGCAGGCUACGGGCCUCACCAUCAACUUCUCAAAAAACCACUCUAGCCACUCUUCAUACAGAUGAUACCAUGCCCACUGCCACUGCCCUUGCCAUGGGCUGCUGCUGUGCACCCUUCCCUCAAACGUACCUCGGCCUACCCCUGGCCCCAACUAAACCUCAUUCCAAUGCCUUCACGUCGUUGAUAGAACAAUCUUGCAAAUUAUUGACAGGCUCGCGUGCUAAACUGCUUGACAAAGGUGAUAGCCUCAUUCUCAUCUCUGCGGUCCUAGACUCCCUCCUUACCUACUUCAUGUCGGUGUUUCGCAUUCCGAAAAAAAACCCUCAAAACCAUCGAAUCCCUAAUAAGGGCCUUCUUUUGGGCGGGGGACGAUGCUUGCUCAGGAGCUCAAUGCCUCAUUGCAUGGAAAAAUGUUUGCUUACCUAAAAAAUUUGGUGGUUUAGGCCUAAAAAACCUGCAUGUCCAAAACAAUUGUUUACUCAUGAAAUUUGUAGCCAAAGCCGUCUCUUCUGCACAGGCACCUUGGCUAGAAUGGCUAGACCUUCAACACCCAAAUGCUCUAGUCUCCUCGUCCCCUCAAACCUAUUUUCUUUGCAGCACAAUUUCUCAGCAAAUCCCCACCCUCCAAACAAUUUCCUUUGUUGUAACAAACAGUGGCUCUCAUAUGUAUUUCUGGCUUGGCACCUGGUUGACCACAAAACCUCUAGCCACCACCUUCCCCCACCUCUUCUCACACUCCAACCUAGAGCUGGUUAACGUGGCUAGUAUCUUGCGUUUCGGUAUCGAAGAUGACCUCCGUAAUCGUCUUUCUCUUACGGCAGAACAAGAGCUUGUUUCGCCUUUGUCUAUUUUGUAGGACUUCGUGCCUUCGGCGGAGGAAGAUCAAAGGUUCCUACAUCGAGGUCAUGACUUCUCCACCAAGCAUGCGUACGACGCCCUCAUGGCUAGGCCAGACAACGAUCCCAUUGCCCCUCUCAUCUAGGGCACCAUGGCACCUCGCAAGCUAAUUUUUUUUGCUUGGCUACUCUUCAAGGACCGCCUCAACACUAGGGUUAACCUUGCCCACAAGCAUAUCAUCUCCUCAGGCAUACGCCCCCGGUGUGCUAGGUUACCCGAAGACUCCAUGCACCUCUUCGUCACAUGCCCACUUGCCAACAGGAUAUGGCAACGAAUCGGUGUCCUGCCACAGACCGACGACAUCGCAGAGCUUUGGGAUACUCCUUGGCCUCAUCACCCCCCCCCCCCACAAAAAGCAUGGUCCUUGGUCCUCAUAUCACUACUACGGAAGAUAUGGAUGGCACAUAAUGAUAUGUUGUUUAGGAGUGUUGAUCAAUGUUCUAUAAUAAUCCUCAGUGCCCUUAUUGUUGAUUUGGAUCUUUGGUCACACUGUCUCAUGGAGACAUGUGACAAGGAGGACGNNNNNNNNNNNNNNNNNNNNNNNNNNNNNNNNNNNNNNNNNNNNNNNNNNNNNNNNNNNNNNNNNNNNNNNNNNNNNNNNNNNNNNNNNNNNNNNNNNNNNNNNNNNNNNNNNNNNNNNNNNNNNNNNNNNNNNNNNNNNNNNNNNNNNNNNNNNNNNNNNNNNNNNNNNNNNNNNNNNNNNNNNNNNNNNNNNNNNNNNNNNNNNNNNNNNNNNNNNNNNNNNNNNNNNNNNNNNNNNNNNNNNNNNNNNNNNNNNNNNNNNNNNNNNNNNNNNNNNNNNNNNNNNNNAACGUAGUAAUUUCAAAAAAAUUCCUACGCACACGCAAGAUCAUGGUGAUGCAUAGCAACGAGAGGGGAGAGUGUGAUCUAUGUACCCUUGUAGAUCAACAACGGAAGCGUUAACUUGGUUGAUGUAGUCGUACGUCUCCACGGCCCGACCGAUCAAGCACCGAAACCACGACACCUCCGAGUUCUAGCACAUGUUCAGCUCGAUGACGAUCCCCGGACUCCGAUCUAGCAAAGUGUCAGGGAAGAGUUCUGUCAGCACGACGGCGUAGUGACAAUCUUGAUGUACUACCGUCGCAGGGCUUUGCCUAAGCACCGCUACAAUAUUAUCGAGGACUAUGGUGGAAGGGGGCACCGCACACGGCUAAGAAUAUGAUCACGUGAUCAACUUGUGUCUAGGGGUGCCCCCUGCCCCCGUAUAUAAAGGAGCAAGGGGAGGAGGCCGGCCGGCCCUAUAGGCGCGCCAAGGAGGAGUCCUCCUCCUAGUAGGAGUAGGACUCCUACUAGGAGGGGGAAGGAAGUGGGGAGGAAGAGGGAAAGGGGGGCGCCCCCCCCCCUCUCCUAGUCCAAUUCGGACCAGGGGGGAGGAGGCGCANNNNNNNNNNNNNNNNNNNNNNNNNNNNNNNNNNNNNNNNNNNNNNNNNNNNNNNNNNNNNNNNNNNNNNNNNNNNNNNNNNNNNNNNNNNNNNNNNNNNNNNNNNNNNNNNNNNNNNNNNNNNNNNNNNNNNNNNNNNNNCUCCGGCUCUCCGGUUUUCUCCGAAAUCACCCGGAACACUUCCGGUGUCCGAAUAUAGCCGUCCAAUAUAUCAAUCUUUAUGUCUCGACCAUUUCGAGACUCCUCGUCAUGUUCGUGAUCACAUCCGGGACUCUGAACUAACUUCGGUACAUCAAAACUCAUAAACUCAUAAUAUAACUGUCAUCAAAACCUUAAGCGUGCGGACCCUAUGGGUUCGAGAACAAUGUAGACAUGACCGAGACACGUCUCCGAUCAAUAACCAAUAGCGGAACCUGGAUGCUCAUAUUGGCUCCUACAUAUUCUAUGAAGAUCUUUAUCGGUCAGACCGCAUAACAACAUACGUCGUUCCCUUUGUCAUCGGUAUGUUACUUGCCCGAGAUUCGAUCGUCGGUAUCUCAAUACCUAGUUCAAUCUCGUUAACGGCAAGUCUCUUUACUCGUUCUGUAAUACAUCAUCCUGCAACUAACUCAUUAGUUGCAAUGCUUGCAAGGCUUAAGUGAUGUGCAUUACCGAGAGGGCCCAGAGAUACCUCUCCGACAAUCGGAGUGACAAAUCCUAAUCUCGAAAUACGCCAACCCAACAUGUACCUUUGGAGACACCUGUAGAGCUCCUUUAUAAUCACCCAGUUAUGUUGUGACGUUUGGUAGCACACAAAGUGUUCCUCUGGCAAACGGGAGUUGCAUAAUCUCAUAGUCAUAGGAACAUGUAUAAGUCAUGAAGAAAGCAAUAGCAACAUACUAAACGAUCGGGUGCUAAGCUAAUGGAAUGGGUCAUGUCAAUCAGAUCAUUCAAGUAAUGAUGUGAUCCCAUUAAUCAAAUAACAACUCUUUGUCCAUGGUUAGGAAAUAUAACCAUCUUUGAUUAACGAGCUAGUCAAGUAGAGGCAUACUAGUGACACUCAGUUUGUCUAUGUAUUCACACAUGUAUUAUGUUUUUGGUUAAUACAAUUCUAGCAUGAAUAAUAAACUUUUAUCAUGAUAUAAGGAAAUAAAUAAUAACUUUAUUAUUGCCUCUAGGGCAUAUUUCCUUCACCCCGCGCGGUGAUUCUAAAACAAAUGAGGCUAAAUAAAAUGCACUCUUGCUGGUUACCAAACAAAGCUAAAUAAAGCGCACACUUAAUUUGUUGCUGGCCGCUACAAAUUAAAUUAUAAAUGUGUGUGUAGUAGUCGUAAGGUAUUCUGCUACUGACCAAAUGAGGCCAAAUAAAAUGCACUCUUGCUGCUUACCAAACAAAGGUAAAUAAAUCACACACUUACUUGGUUCUAGCUGCUACAAAUUAAACAGAUGGUGUACCUCCACGAUUUUCUAUACGAUAGAGAGGAACAGUUUAAUACAUCGACAAAACAGAAAAUAGUGUUAAUGCCAGAAUAAUUAAGAAAGAUUUUCAAAUAUACGGUAGUACUAAAAUUUCACAACCUCCUUGCGUCGCUCCAAGUCUGUGUUUUCAGUACACCAAACCACUCACAAAAUAGGAAGUAGGAGAAGUUUUAAUACACCAGAGUCUACAUUUUCUUAAUGGAACCAAAUUAAGGGGACUGAUUAUGUUGAAUAAUUAUUUUAUUUUCCCAUCCUAGCCACCUGGGCAUCAGGCAUCAGGCAGUGUAACACAUGUUUAUGCUUUAGUACUAAUAUUAUUAUUAUACGUCACUGGAACCCUUCUAAAGGUGACUGUAUACGUCUUGCAAAAUGUAAAUAAGUUCCAUGAGCCAAGCAAUUUAAGCCCAAGUUUUCUCCUGGCUAUAUCGGUGGUUGUGUAUCUUUUCCCUCUUUUACACAUCUAUUUUUAUCAGUUCACUUAUCUAAUGUUUAUAGUAAACUAUUAUACCAUAUGGAUAAUUCAUACUGUUAGAGACAAAGCUUGAAGCAACAACACAUGUAGACCUGUCAAGUGUAUUAUUUCCAAUAGAUACAAUAUUCUAGGCUAGCAAAACGUAUACAUGUCUAUUUGUUGCAUGUAAUUAUAUUUGAUAUAUUGAUAUGGAUAAUAAUUCCUCUCUGUCUCCAAAUUACUGAUGUAGUUCCUAAUGUUCGUCAGACAUGAAAAAAAGCUGCUAGUCUGCAACUUAAAUAAACUGCAUCAUUUAUUUGUUCUUGAGUAUGUGACAUGGCUCAACUGAUAGAUAAAUAUACAGGGAAAAUCAACUAACUGACACAAUUUGAGGGCAUGUUUGAACAUGGAAAAUUGAAGAGCAAAAUUUUGUUAUGUUUCUGUAUAGCAGCCAGAUUGCAUCAAGCUUUCAUCAGCCAAGACAUGAAAUUUCCAAGAUAAAUGGGGGAGAUGACAAACUGGUGUAGGAGGAUGUACUGCAGCAGGAAUAUUUUUGGCUCGAUCAGUUAAUGGGUUAUGGCUGCAACAGUAGCCAAGCAAGGGAUGAGCACAGACAGGUUCUGUACUCUGUUCUCAUGAAAAAAGUUCAAUGAACAGAGUACAGAACCUGUCGUGCUCAGAAAGUCGCUACCCUUACCGCAAACCCAUGACGAACAUACAGGAGCAAACAAAAAAUCAAUCACUCAUCACGGAAUCAAUGAUCCAACCAACGAUCUAUGGUUGAUGAAUUUACUCUUUGUGGCACCGAAUAAUGGCGACGUACCAGCUACUCGUGGUGCCGCUGGACAACGUUGCUGUCGAGACAGAGGAACUUGACGCCGAAGCUGACCUUGGCGUGGAAGUUGGAGGUGGAUCUGCGACGGACUUACAUCUCGUCUAGGGUGAAGACGUGAAGGCUUGCAGCCUUGUCAUCGCUGCCGUGAGUGGCGUCCGUGAAACAUCCUCCAAGGAGAGCAGCCGCAUCUUCUUCACCAGACGCCGCCGCCACACCGGCCCGGCCUAGGAUGCACCUGUUGGAAUUUUGCUAAUAGGCCUUUGGCUCAAAGUCUAACUAAAAUUCUAAAAUUCUCUUGAUCUAUUUAUGCACACAUGUGAGUGAAGUGAGUGAGACUAAAGUUUAGUCUCAUCACGAAAGUUGAGUGGGACUUGCACCUCUUUAUAAGAUGAGUUGUUCUACCACUUGUAUAAGCAUGAGAAGAGAAGACCUACACGCGUGCUCCUCCUCCUCGUCAUGCCGCGCCGCGGGUCACGAGGACAGAGCUAUGCAUGUAGUCUAUAUUUUUGCUGCUCGGGAAAAAUUAAUGAGUUAUUAAUUAAUUAACGGAUGUGUUAAUUACUGAACCGUUUCCGAUUCUUUCGGAUCGUAACUCAGACAUGAGGUUUACUCCCACAACCUACUCGGCCCGCAAUAUAUAGUCAGACAGACGUCUACCCUAGCUGCCGCCGUAUUGUAAGGUUUCGCACCACCGUUCCAGAUUAUUGCGCCGCCAAACAAGUCAUCUCCAUCCCUCCUUUUGGUGUGCACCCCGAGAAGGGACAGCAGGCCUCCGGAACCCCUCCUCUCGUGAUCCUGUACGGGAGAGGGGCGAUCAGAUUUUUGGGGAGCGCACUCGCGCGACUGCUGGCAGUGACGACUUCGCCAACGACGACUUCUUCCCCGACCUCGCCAAUCUCAUCCUCGACGACAUGGACGACAACGUCAACGCCGGCGGUGCUGCUCCCGCUGCACCAUAUGUGAUUCUAUCCUUCCUGUUCGAGAUCGUCGUAAAAUUCAUGUUUCUAGUAUGUGCCCUAGGGUGCCCAAGGUAGCUCCCCUCCCCUCCCUGGCCGCUCCCGUGAGCACCGCCAGGGCGGGCUCGGCCCCCUCCUCGAUUCUCCCUCCCCUCGCCGCCGCCCCAGCGUGCUGGCGGGCAAAGCCCGGCUAGCUCGGGCGGCGGCGGGGCCUCUUCCUCCCCCGCGUGGCGCUGGAUGGCGCGGGCCAUCCUUGUUGGGCGGCGGCGCGUCGCUGGCUCAGGGCGCGGCAACGGCGGCUCGUGACGGGGGGCGGCUUGCUGGCGGCAGCGUGGGUGGCUGGGACGGGCUGGGGGCGUGCCCUGCUCCCGGCGGCGACGACGUUUGGGCGCGGCCCAGAUCCGUCACGGCUGCGGCUCGGGUGCUCUUGGCCCUUGUGGUGGCGGGGCUCCGGCUCACCGCAGGUGGUGGCCUGCUCCGGUGGCCGCCCCUGCUGCAACGCUCCCUGGUGGUGGACCUGGCGGUCCCCAGCCGAUCCGGCGAUGGCAGGUGCCGUGGGCUGCGCUCGGCGGAGGUGUGGGCUACCACGGCGUGGUGGUGGCUCAUGGCGGUGGUCAGGAUCGUCUCACGGCGGCUGGACUUCUUCGGCGUCGGCCCAUUGGUGAGUGCCAUGUGAAGAGCUUCGACCCCUCUUCUCGAUGCCCGGGCGCAAUCUUCGUCGGUGGGAUGGUCCUAUCCUUGCUGCGACCCAUCGCUAGUCCCUUGCUCGGGCAGCAGGACCGCGCUCGUCUCGCGCCCGGUAGCAGGACCUCCUCAUCUCGCGCCCGACAGCAGGAUCGAGCUCGUCUCGUGCCCGGCAGCAGGACCGAGCUCGUCUCGCGCCCGGAGCUGUAGGACGAAUCGACGGACUUGUGUGCCCCGGGAUCCGAUCGUCUCUUCCGAUGGGGUAGCGGCGGGUGUAAAUUGAGGUGGUUCCUAGGUCUUGGAUUCCAGGGCGAUGGCCCUGGUGGUGGUUGCGCGGUGCUCACGGGCAGAGCCCGUCGCUUGGUGCUGCCCAGUGGCCAUGGCCGUGUGGGCGGCGUGGUUGUCGGGGUGCGGCAUUCGAUGGCAGUGCGUAUUGGCCGGGGUGAAAACCUGCUCUAUCUUCGGACAGACCGGCGGCGACGUAGCUCGUUCCCUUCUUGAAGGCAUCGUCGUGGCUCUCGUUGUCUGUCGUGUGGUUCCGGGGGAAACCUUGAUCCUCAGAUCGGGUGGUGCGGCGCUACCGUGUCGUACCCUUCUUGAAGGCACCGUUUUGAAGCCCAUGGUUCGUCGUAUGCGGCUGCAUCUCUUCGUGGCGGGGUGUUCACUGGUGGAGCCCCGGUUGCUCGAGUAGUGUUGGGGUCAUGUUGCUGCGCUCAGCACCUAUGUAUCUUGCCUUGGGUGUGUGCGUGUGUUGUGGUGGUGUGCGUCUGUACCUGGAUGUUGUUGGUCAUUGCUUUAUUUAUAAAACGGGGCGAAAGCCUGUUUCGGCAGUAUGUGCCCUAGAUGUGAUAUGUUCAUCCACUAUACUAGUUCGCAUGAUUAGUUUAAUCUCUGCUAGUGCUAUCAUGAUUUAUCUUCUGUUUACUUGAAUUAAAUUCCAUAGUAAUUUACUCAUAUUUUCUACAGCACCUCCUGCUCCAUUUUCUCAUAGCGGCGGCCACCGCCCGUCCUAAAGGACGCGAGAAGGCCCAUGAAUGCAGAGCAGCAGCUUAGGAGGACCUUGAAACCAUGGAUGCAGGCAUCGUGCUAAGAAGGGGAACAUAGCCCAAGCGAACCCCGGAGAAUCACAGACGCGAGCGAAGCCGGCGGUCCUACCGGAGUGCGGUGAGAUGAUCUCGGCCACGAUGCCAGACUGUAGGGGAAGGGGGAUAGACGACCAUUCUGUACUCUGUUUGUAUAGGAUGGGCAACCUUUGGUGGGCCUCUACUGUAUUAAGGCGGUAGCUGAAGCAUUUAAAAAAGAGGUGGUAGCCGAAGCAUCAAAACUGAACGGUGAAGGAUUAAAGGCAAUUGAACUCAAAUAUGGAAGGAGAGCAGUCAUGAAAAGUGGGUGGCUUAGCUGGAUGUGACAUUUUUGUUUUCAGAGAGAGAUUGGUCGAUCUUUGCAAAUUGAACGCUGACAUGGCAUGACGAUGAUAUGGACAAUGCGCAUGUUGAAAGAAUUAAUAGAAGUGUGGAUCAACUUCUUAAGAAUGUAAGAGGGGAUCAACUUCUUUAGAAUGUAAGAUUUCUGCAACAAUGCUCUUGUUGCAAAAAGCUCCUCUUUUUAAUUUUUUUUUAAUUUUCUGCAACAAGACCCCUAUUGCAGCACCUCUUCUUCUCUAAUUUUCUUCAACAAGACUCUUGUCACAAAUAUUGCAAAAGCAUGUCCAGCCGCAUCACGCACUAGCACCGUCGUCGUUUGUUGUCACCGUUCCGUAACAACGUUGGUGUUGCUCAAACUUGCCUUGAAGGUGAUGUUGGGCUGAGCGCGUGGUGGGCGUGGACGUACGGCGCGGUGCUAUGGCGUGCCGGAUCCGUCGAUUCGGUCGACCAGGAGGCAUUUGUUGGCAGAAAGCUUGCAGUAGCUGAGCUUCAUAGGGGCCAAAGGGGGCCAUUGCCCCUCUACUGUUGGAAAAUCCAUAAGUGUACAUGUUAUAUUAUUAGGCUUGAAUAUCAAAGAUUUCUCAAAGUUCAUGCAUAACUUUAUCUUCUUCGCCCCCUCAACUCUGAUUGGCCCUCUCAACAAUCAUCAUCAAUCUCCAUCACUACGUGGAUGUGCUCGGUAAUGACGACCUACAGACGGCGGAGCUCGGUUGUUGGGACCACAUCCUCCAUGCCAGUAGCACGCCGACGACGAAACCGCUACACUCCCUAGCCUAUAGGGAUGUAAACAGUGCUACCGGAUUCUUACCUGGCAGUGUAGUCUAUCAGUAACAGCUGCUGAGUUGCAGAAACGCUUCUGAAACAGGGGUAAAGUUGCAAGAACAUUAAGUAGGUGAGGGUUGCUCUUGACCGUCCGAUCAACAACAGAUCGGGUGCCCAUGGAGGUGGUGGACGCGUACGGAAAGAUCAGUCGGAUGAAGACAAACGUUUCCCCUUCGGAAAUGUUACGUUAACAAAGGGUCCACCCGUCAUCACGCUGGAUACCCCCUGCCCUGACGUGUAUUUUAAUAAAGGGUCCACCCGCUAGGGCUGACGUCCAUUCUAAUAAGACGUGCAUUUUAUCGAGCAUGUUGUGUGCAGUGACCGGCCAUUGUUCUCCCCCGCCCUGUCGUCCGCCGACAAGAACGUCCAGUGCCCCCACGCUCGCUCGUUCCUAGUGCAUGCAUGUGUGCCACCCGCCGCCGUCCGGUGAAGGUCUCUGGCGAGCCGAGCGCUCUCCUUCAAGACUGUAAAGUACACGUUUCCGAGAACCAUUGUCCCAACUAUUAAUAUUCGUUAAAUUUUGAAUGAAUUGUAUCAUUCCUUAAAUUCUGUUUCGGAUAUGCGGUCUAUAUGCAGCAACAUUGUCCCAACUAUUAACAUUUUGAAUCUUUUUGUCUCAACUGCCACGCCUUUAUGACUGCAAACUGUACUUUUAAUCGCUCUUCCAAAGUGAGUAUAUAGAUGACUAGAGUAUAUUUUUUUCUUAGUGACUGUAAGAAAAACUGCAAAAUGUACUUUUAAUCCCAUUAGUAGGAUUGCCACCAAUGUAUGUUUCCAUGCUUUGCUCCGCUUCUUUGAUCUUUUUGCUUCUCAUCAUCUGAUUUUCUUUUCCUUUUGUCUAGUCCCUAUAUGCAGCUGUAGGUGACUUUGCCAAUGUGAGUAAAAGAACGGACAUUGCCGAAUUCAUACAGCCUUAUAUCGAAGCAGCCCUUGUCAUAGUAGCACCAGUGAGAAAAGCAAAUUCAAAUGCCUGGGCUUUCUUUAAACCUUUCAUUUUUGCGGGAGUGGUUGUUUGGAUUCUUGAACAUCGAACCAAUGAAGAGUUCCGAAUUUCGAGGCUCUCCAUGGUGACAAGUCCUGGCAAUAUUUUGGUAAAUUUCCUUUGCUACACCAAGGAUCUGUUUAUCUUAGGUUUCCAAUCUGGUUUGAAUAGAAGUUCAGAAAUAUUAACAGAGGCAAGGUGGUAUUUUUUGUCCCUUUGUUCUUAACAAUUGUUUUAUAACUGUCUGAUUUUUGUAUCUUCGCAUUUUUGUAUCUCCGUGAUUUUUCUAUAUGUUAGCUUUGAGAAGUCAACAGAUAGUUCAUGCUUCUCUUUCAGGUUCAGUUUCUUUACGAUGUUCUUUGCACACGCUAAGUCCACUAAAUGCAUCACAUGAUAUUAUGUUUACCUCUUCUGUUUUGUAUUUGUUUCCCAUCUGGAUGAAAACUUCUUACUGAUCAUAUGGUUGCUUGCCAUGCGGAUCAUAAAUUCAAGUUACACGCUUAGCCUGACAUCGAUCCUCACAGUAAAGCAGCUAGCAACUUGAAUAAUUGGACUCGACAAGUUGGUUGCUAGCGCUUUACCUAUCAGAUACCCGGCUAGAAAUUUUGUCAGAAAUUAUCUGAUUGACGAACUGAAUAUUCCCGAAUCCUGGUUUGUACCAUUGAGCACAGUUGAGGAGUAUGCCAAUGCCCUUAAUCGCGGGCCAAAAGAUGGCGGUAUUGCUGAAGUUGCUGAUGAGAUGUCAUGUGUGGAGAUCUUCCUGUCGACCCACUGCAACUUCAGAAUUGUGGGUCAGGAGUUGACGAAGGACGGAUGGGGAUUUGUAUGUUCAGCAUCUGUUAAAUCGUUAUGUAUUUACAGUUAGACUUUUGUGGGCCUCUUGUAAAGGAGAGAAAGUCUCCUCUUGUUCCUCAUGAGCUUCUACAGCCUACACGAGACUCUGCACCAUGAGAUCACCAAAAUCCAGUCUCGCUUUUAUUGGGAAGGCGACAAUAAUAAGCAGAAAUACCAUAUGGUUAGCUGGCCUGACAUGUGCAAGCCUCGGGGACAGGGAGGCCUCGGGAUCAUGUGCUCCAAGCGCAUGAAUAUCGCCCUCCUAUCCCGCUGGCUUUGGCACAUCUCGCAAGGCCAAGGUGGCCUCUGGCUUGACAUCAUCCCGAACAAGUAUCUGCGUGGCCAGCCACUUGCCUUCUGUCAGUGAUCUGGUGGCUCGCAGUUUUGGCAGUCGGUCGUCCAGCUUCUCCCGGUCCUCCGCAUCGGGACUUCCAUCUCGGUGGGGUCUGGCUCGGCGACAUUGUUCUGAUUUGAUAGAUGGGUUGGAGACUCCCCCUUCGCCGCGCGCUUUUCCCGAUCUCUUCUCCAUCGCAGUUGAACCCCUGAUCUCGGUUGAGAGGGCCCUUAUUGAUCUAGGACGCAUUGCUUUCCGGAGGCCUUUCAGCCCUCCGGAAUCCGCCGCUUGGCGUGAGUUACUGGACUGUGUAGCACUUCACGAGCCGGUGGUGGACGAUGGCCCGAACCUGGUGAGAUGGCGGCUCGAACCUUCGGGCCAGUUUUCCACCAAAUCAUAGAGUCGACUUAGUAAAGCGUCUUUGGAGCGUCUCCUCACGGACCGUCUCAAAACAUAGACACACUGGCUUAGCGUCUAUACAUGGCAUGAGACGUCUCUAGAUAUGACACGCUAUAUUUGGAUGUUCAAAAGCGUCUCUAGAUAUAUAGAGUUGUUUUGUUAGGCGCGCUCGUACGUCUCUACUAACAGGGCCAUUUAAUUCGUCAUAGGCCCUAGGCCCAUUCCUAUAGACACUAGGUACAGACGUUAUAUUCGUCUCUAAAUAUACAAAAGAUUUUUUAACCACGUAAUGUUUUACUUUAGAUAAUAUUUGAUUUAUUCCAAAUUUGUACUUCACCAUUUCAAAUCCAGUAACUUUAUCAUGUCAUAUGCUUAUGCAGAAUGAUCAACAGAUAUUGUUACAUAAAAGCAUCCAUCCAUAUCACCAAUCACAUUCAUCAAAUCAGAUCUUCGUAUAAAAUAUGCAAAUAAUUAAGAAGAGAUCAUACAAACUAGGACUAAGUUUUCCUAUAAAGCUAAAAGCUUUAUAUAAUACAUAAUAUUUGUCUAUCUAAAGACUAAUUCUUUUAUAGUUGCUCCUGGCUCCUGCAAUGCACUCCUUUUCUAAAUCUUGAGCUACCCUGAAAAAUAAUGAUAACCGAGAAAAUUUUAGAACAUGCCUUUAAGACUAGUUGGAGAAGAAAUGUACUUUGAUGAUGUACCAUACCAGUGUUUGGUGGCUUGUUUUGAGGUUGUAUAGGAGUCGUUAACUUUGGUUUUUUAACUCAAAAUCACAAAGAUACUUCAUAAAUAAAAAUCCUUAAGCACGCACAUUGGAGCAUACGAUGAUUGCAUGGAAGUGUACUUACAUGUGAUAGAGGCCAUGCAAUAACAUGACCAAUAGCAUCCCUUAAUGUUUGCAAUUGUUCAUAUGGUCUAACCAAUUUUUGAUCUCCAAGUGUUGAAACAGCACAAACAAAAACCGCUACAUAUUUCUCUCCAAGCAUGUUUCCUCCAACCACGUAUGUUUUAUCUCUACUCACUAAAGUUCCUUCGGCCACAAAUUUAUCUUUGCUUCUCGGGUUCAACGAAACCAAGAAAACUUUCAUUUUAUCCUAUUUUUUCAAAAAAUGUAACAUACAUUAUCACAAACCAUGGAAGAUUUCACUUUACACAGAAAGGGACAAUUGCACAUGGAAUUAGACCAACUAACUAUUCUAACCAUUGUCAUUCAGAUAUAAAGUUGUACACUUGGUUCAGGACCACCUUGCUUGGUGGCAUUGUUAUUUUUAGCACGACUAUUAUUUGCUUCAGGACCAUCAUGUGCUUUCUACAGUUUAGGUUCAGUUUAAUUGUAAGUAAACUUAUAGAAAACAUAGACAUUGUUUGAUAACAUAGCAGAAAUUUAUGCGCUCAUGCACACACACCUUAGCAACUCGGUGUUCAUGUGGUGAAGAUAAAUUGGUGCAACCCUCUUUGGUUCUUGCGCAAUUGCUAGGAUGCAAUUUCUGGUUAGUCUUGUCUGGCAAAGUUGAUUUUGCACACCCUUGAUUGACCCUAUGAUCAAUUUUUUCAAUGUGUGCUUUCUACAGUUGAGGUUUAGUUCAGUUGUAAGUAAACAUACAUAAAACAUAGACAUUGUUUGACAAUGAAUCAGAAGUUUAUGCAUACACACACACCUUAGCAACCAUGUGUGGUAAAGAUGAACUAGUGUAAUCCUCUUUGGUUCUCCAAGAAAACCUAGGAUGCAAUUCCUGGGCAGUAAUCUGCUUAUCUGGCAAAGUAAAUUCUGCACUUCCUUGAUUGGUGUAACCCUCUUUGGUUGAUUCUGCGCAGCCUUGAUUGUCCUUAUCAACCUUUUCAAUGCAUGCCUUCUACACUUGAGGUUCAAUUUAGUAUGACAUGAAUAUACACAAUCAUAGGCAUUGGUUGAUAAUGAAGUAAAAAAAUUAUGCGCGCACACCUUAGCAACCAUGUGUGGUAAAGAUAAACCAGUGUAAUCCUCUUUAGUUCUCAUAGAAAAACUAGGAUGCAAUUCCUGCGUAGUGAUAUGCUUGUCCGGCGAAGUUGAUUCUGCACUUCCUUCAUUGGCCCUAUCAAACUUCUCGAUGUGUGCUUUCUACAAUUGAGGUUUCAGUUUAGUUGUAAGUAAACUUAUACAAAAAAUAGGCAUUUUUUAAUAACAAAGCAGAAAUUUAUGCACACACCUUAGGGACCAUUUUUUCUUGUGGUAACGAUAAACCGGUGUAACACUCUUUGGUUACCGCACAAUCGCUAGGAUGUAGUUCCUGCAACUUAUGAUGAACAAUUGUUUCAGUAUGAGAAUGAAGUAGAACAUUUAUUAGUGAAGAAACUAUUACAUCACCAGCAUAGCAUUCAAUGGAGCAUAUUCUUUAGCUUCGUUAUGUGAUUCAUUUAAGAGGUCACUGCCAACAACUCUUUCAUUGAGAUCAACCUGAAACAAGAACAGGAUAAUAGUAUAUUAAUACUCAUAUCUUUAUCUUUGGGAGGUCACAGUACACUCCAGUUUAUCUUACAUCUGCUAGAUAACUAGCCUCUUUAUGCUUUACAAGUUUUUAAAGAGAAUCUACUUGUAGCAAAUGGUAUAUGUUAGACUCUAGUGGAAUAAGGUAAUUUUGCCGUAAAAUAUGACCCAUAAACACAUGUAACUGAAAAGGCGCCCAAAAAGCACUUCAGAAGUUACUGUAACGCACAUAGCAACAUACAAACCUAUAACAACAAUCUUUUAGUACAAAAUCUGAGGGCUGUUGAUUGAAACCUCCCUUCAACUAAGAUGCAAGAAUCAAAACUAACAAAAUAUUGGGACUGCACUAAGAUGAGGUAGGAAAUAGGACAGACUAAAAUUAGUACAAAAUAGCAUAGUACAUUGCAGCCUGUGCAACCAAACACUAUCAUGUUUUAUGCUCCAGCGUAAAUGGAAUGUGAGGUUAUUUGCACUGGCGGAGCCUCAUGGAGGNNNNNNNNNNNNNNNNNNNNNNNNNNNNNNNNNNNNNNNNNNNNNNNNNNNNNNNNNNNNNNNNNNNNNNNNNNNNNNNNNNNNNNNNNNNNNNNNNNNNNNNNNNNNNNNNNNNNNNNNNNNNNNNNNNNNNNNNNNNNNNNNNNNNNNNNNNNNNNNNNNNNNNNNNNNNNNNNNNNNNNNNNNNNNNNNNNNNNNNNNNNNNNNNNNNNNNNNNNNNNNNNNNNNNNNNNNNNNACUAGUAAGCAUUCAGGCAAGCCCAAUAUUACACAGCCCAAUGAAGCGACAACUCUCCCAUGCACAGACGCAUCGCUCGUCUCUCCUCCUUAUCCUUCCCCCAAAUGGACAAAAACAUCUCACUUUCCCCCAAAUCGCCAUGGAUGAAUCCUAGGUCUUGAACUCAACUGCCACUCGAGGAUGCAAUAGAAAGCUAGGUAUGUUUCAUGAAAAAAAUCAAUGAUGUUCAAUGUUCAGAGGCUUGCAUAAAUUCAGUGAUGUUCAAUGUUCAGAGACUUGCAUAAAUUCAGUGAUGUUCAAUGUUCAGAGACUUGAAUAAAUUCAGUGAUGUUCAAUGUUCAGAGACCUGCAUAAAGUUCAAUGUCGUUCGUGUAAUUGUGUUCUCAUGUUCAGAGAUCUGCAUAAGAUUCAGAUCAUCCAGGAUUUUUGUGAUAUGCUUUUUUAAUAGUGUACUAGUACUGGACAUGUUCUGAUUUAGAGAAUAGGUGACAGUGCUUUUUGAAAUUUUUAUCUCAGGUAACAAUGGUGAAACAGCAAGCAAUAUAUAUGUACGUAUAUAAGAUGUACAUCUUGUUCCAGUUUAUGUUGUGAGGAUGUGAGGCUGUGAGCUGCAUCUAUUUUUACACACAGUUUGAAAUUGCCCCCCCCCCCUUGGUCGCUCGUCACUCCGUUGGCCAAUCUAUCUAACACCACUUGUUCUACUUGAGUUUUAUCAUAUAAAGUUUGAUUGGACCAAAUAGUUGCUCACAUAUUUCCAAGAAAAUCUCUCAGAAUUGACUUCUAGGCGAGCAAGCAAUUCAACAAACACUUAGAGUGCAUUGCCUACAUGAAGGAAGGAGACGAAGGAGAAGAGGAUCAAGAUUUGAGAUGCAUAAAUGAAGGAGCCACUUUGGUUGAUUUAAUGCUAAAACUGUAGGGGCUAUGGGAUUCAAGGGAUCACCUGCUUGACGUGGUUGAGGCUGAAGAUGCUAGAUGGAGGCGAGAGCUGCUUGCUGGGUGGUGUACCGAUGGACAAACGGCGCAGCUUCGUGUGAAGGAUGAGAUCGGCUCGGAUGCGGCUUCGUGACGGUGAGGACGGAGUCGAGAGGAGCACCGCUUCGUGACGGUGAGGACGACGGACACCGACGAGGCUCCAACUGGUGACCUUGUUGAUGGAGGAAAAAGGGAGUCGUUAGCGGGCGGAGCUAGCGGCAGAGGGCAGCGCUUGAGGAUGAGGCUGCUACCGUGCGGUGUGCGGGAAUGGAGGCGCGCAAGGAAUUGGGAGGUUGGAUAAUGGAGAGGUGGGGAAGAUGGCGUGGAGGAAAAAUAGAAGGCGGUAAUAUAUGAAAACGAAAAUUUAGAGUCGCGGGAAGUCUUGCGAGCGGUAAAGAAAACAUCUGUAGCGUCAAAAUUUGUUAAGCGAAAAUAUUCCGGAAGGCCAAAUUUAAUUAACUGCGAAUAGUUUGGCAGCUCUAAGUAAUCACAUAUAUGUAUGUGUUAAAAACGCAUAUAUCGAUAAAUAAUUUUUUAGGUGUAUCCUUUAUUGGAUAAAUCCGUAUGCUUUGUUUUUUUUCAAAAAAAAUAUCAAACUUCAUUGAAUAAUAUACGUAUCCAAGUAACAUCGAUACAGCAUAAUAAAAAUAAUAAAGGCAGUGGUAGAUCGAAGUUGAGCUUGCCCCUCCUCCGUGCGCUGCCGUGUCGACUGCAGACGCCGCCCCGGCGUGCCAUCCCUUCACCUAGCCCUUGUCGGCGACGGGGACGGCGACUCGCAGCGACUCCUCCAAGCCGAUCUAGACCAGCUGGUCACUGGUGCGGUGUCGGUGUCGGUGUCCGAUGUGGCAAACGUGGACCGACCUUGCGCCACUCAUGUCACUCCUUCUCCUGUGCCACCCUCUUGGCCGACGAGAGGGUGCUACAUGGUGAUGUGUCGUUGCCAUGUCGAGGUAAUGGAGGAGGCGCCCAGGAGAACUCCUCCUCCUUCAUGACCUUGUCACACCGGUUGCGGCGCGGCGGUGAUGACAGUCGGUCAAAACGGUCAAACGUGAUGCGCGAGGGGGGUGGCUCCUCCUUGAGGCGGCAUCUGGUUUGGUCUCCACAGUUUCAUCAGAGGGGAGGCUUCUCAGUCCACAUGUUCAUUUAAGCUUCUAACAGUGGUCAAUGUAGUACCUCGCUUGAAGCACCGCACCGCCUCCCAUUUCAAGUAUCUCACACCGCCGGUCAUAGUCCACACCCAACUCCGGUUGGAGGAAAAAUGCAGUUGGUUCAAAAUAAACCUACCACACCGAUUCCAGCAAAUCGUGUGGCUGGCUCCAGUGUCUAGCAGGGCCACUGUCACCAUUUCGAGCUGGAGGCAUGGCCGGUUGCAACAUCUCACGCCAUGAUAUUUUUGUUAUCGUGAGGCGCUCCCGUUGCUUCCUUUGGUUUUAGAAACAUUACACAUCCAUUUCCCUUGAUACGUUAUAAAUGACCGGCCAACUAAGGAACAAGCAUGAACCUACCUCUUGCUCCUGGUUUUCAAGGCCCCCCAAAGCUUCCUUGGUCUGGUUAUAAGAAGCAUCCGGAAGCUUGUCAGGUUUUUAAGUCAGUUAUCUUUAUCUUGUUUAGGUUAAUUUCGGACAGGUUUUACUACGUUUUCCUGGAUUUUCCCUUUUUCCCUUUAUCUUUUUUUUUUACUUUUUGUUUCAAUUUCUUUUUUUCUUUUUCAAAUUGUUGACGUUCUUACAAAUUUGUGAACUUAUUUUUAAGAAUUCCCAAACUUUUUUAAUUAAUGAAUAUUUUUUUCAAACCGUGAACAUUUUUCAAAUUCACAAUAAUUUGAAGUUCACAAACAUCUCUUGAAUUGUUGAACUGUUCCCUAAUUUGUGAAAUUUUACAUGUUUUUGCAAAAAAAAGCUUUGAAACCAUAAACAUUUUUCAAAUUCGCAAAACUUUUUCAAAUACUCAAACUUUUUUGAGGUCAUGGAUAUUUUUUACAUUCAUUUUUUUAGUUUGUGAUUAUAGUUCUUUGAAUUGGUGAACUUUUUCAAAUUCACGAACAUUUUCAGAAGGCAUGAACCUUUUUCAAAUUCAUGUUUUUUUCAAGAAUGCAAACAUUUUCUUGAUUUCCCACCAAAAUUUUGAACUUUUAUAAAAGUCAACGGCCAUAUGUGGGUGUUCCAGGAUUUUAUGAUUUUCCACUUUCUCCAUUUUUGUUGACUAUAAUUUGUUCUGGUUAACUGGGAUGUCAACCAUGCAAAGUCGAUGCCAUGCACUUGCAAAAUACUCCCAAGUGAACUUCAAGCAUCCAAUCAGGACAAGUGAACCUGAAGCACACUUCAUUAGUACUCCCUCCGUUCCUAAAUAUUUGUCUUUCUAGAGAUUUCAACAAAUGACUUUAUACGGAACAAAAUGACUGAAUCUACAAUCUAAAAUAUGUCUAUAUACAUCCGUAUAUGUUAGUCCAUUUGAAAUCUUUAAAAAGACAAAUACUCCCUCCGUUCCGAAUUACUUGUCGCAGAAAUGGAUGUAUCUAGAUAUAUUUUAGUUUUAGAUACAUCUAUUUCUGCGGCGAGUAAUUUAGAAUGGAGAGAGUAUUUAGGAACGAAAAGAGUACAAAGUAGUCCACCGAAUUCCGAGUGCUCCUAGCUUUUUUUUUUUUGAGCCACCGAGUGCUCCUAGCUGACGCUCGCGUGUAUCAAAACGAGCAGCUUCCGCUGAAGGAUUAGCGCAAAACGGGCCGGCCCAUUCCCACGAGCGAACAAUGGCCCAUUCCUACGAGCGAACCUAUAAAGAGAAAUGCCACAAAAAAUGAGGCGUUCGAUGGACUCGAACCAACGACCCAUCGCGAUACAGCUGCUUUGUUCGCCACUGCACAAGUGACUCACCAUAUGUUAAAUUACAGAGCUCAAAGAUAGGCAUUAUGUAUAGAGGUAGGUCCGUCUUUUAAUCAUUCCUUCAAGAAAUGAAUAAUGUUUUCUCGAACAAAAUUUUAAAACGUGAUUUUACAAAAAAACGUGAAUAAUUAUUGACCAUGGAUGAAAAUCCAAACAUUUGUUGAAUUUUUAUAAGUUUCAAAUAUACAUUCAAUUUUUUUGUGAAUAUACGCCGAACAAUUUUUAACUACACAGUGUAAUUUUUUGUGAUAUACGAUGCACAAAUUUUAAAUAUACAUUGAACAUUUUUAUAAUAUACACUGAACUAUUUUUAACUACACGUUGAACAAUUUUGUUAUAUACACUAAACAAAUAUUAAAUACAUAUUGAACAUUUUGUGAUAUACGCUGAACAAUUUUUAAAUUUUGAACUUUUUUUUUAAAAAAAAGUGAACAAAAUUUGGAAUUCGAACCAUUUUAUUGAAAACAAAGUAUAAAAGUAAAACAAAAAAGGAUAAGAUGAAAGAAAAGAAACAGAAAAAGAAAACAAAAAGGUAAAAAAAUGAAACAGGAAAAAACGGAAAAACUACCAAAAGAAAAAAAAAACUGGUUCAGGGAACCUCCGAAAACCAGGUCUCGCUCGAAGUGGGCCGGCCUGUGCGCCUCGUUCGCUCGCUUCACUUCAGCGAAGCAACAACGAACGGACGCACACGGGCGUCAUAUAGGAUCUGCCCGGAAUUCCCAAGAAGAACCCCAGCUCCGCCAUUGCGUCAGGCGACGGGGGAGCUUGGGCUUUGGGGAGACCGGUGUCGGGUGGCAGGGGAGCUUGGGCUGGAGGGAGGAUAUCAGCAUAUGGCGGCUAGGGAACUUGGCUGGGAGGAGCAGCGGGGGCGGCGAGGGAGCUCUGGCCAGAGGGAACCAUCGUCGAGCGGCGGGGGAGCAAAGUGGAGCGAAGCAGGAGUUCAGGCUAGGGGCAAGUGGCGGCGGCAUUAGAUCUAUGACAGGUGGCGACCGUCGGCGGCUUGAGAGCUUUGGUUGGGGGCAAACGGCGACGGGAGUGAAGAGGUGCCGAGCAACGGCGGUGCUAAGGACUAACCAUCAUAGUAGAUCAAUUUGUUUAGUCCAGGAGUCGCGUAUAGUAGUACAAAGCAGAUUGCAAAAAUACCAAAGGGUAUAUAGGUCAUUCCAUCAGGAUUUAUCAAGUUAAAUAAAUUAAAAAUCAGAAAAACGCCACUCAGGGCAAAUAAUCAGUAAAUUAAUGUAAGUAUCUAUAUAAGUCUAAAUCAAAUGUUGCAAGUCAACAAGUGCCAAACUAAAAUAGGGCAAAUCAUCAAAUCCCUUGUAUCUUUGGGAUGAUUAAGGAUUUUUUUCCGGGGAGAUAUGAUUAAGGUUUUUGUUUUAACAUGAGAAUAUUACAGACGCAAUAUGAUAUUACUUAAGAGACUAGUAUGAAUGUGAUGAUUAAGGUCACAAUUAAAUAACAAAAUGCCUCUUGGUCAUUUUGUUCGUGCAAUUACUCGGGUCAUCUAUUCGAAUUUUACACAACUGCAAUUUAUUAGCCUUUUGAGUACAAAAAAAUUGAUUAUAGUCGCAUAUAAAGCGUCUCACAAAUUGUCUCUAAGUUAAUUAAAAUUAUAUACCUAUUUUCUAAAUGGCCAAUUAUAAGAAAAAGUUUGUGACGCCCUAUAAACAUCUUAAGAAGCGUUUUAGCUUGGUAGUGUUCAUGGGCAUAGAGACGAAUACUGUGACACCCUAAAAUUUUGACCUUAUUUUAAUAAAUUAAAAUUUUGCCAGGAGAUUAAAACUUUUAUUUUCUGGGGCCCCUUUUUAUUUUUGAACCAUUUUUCUCCCUUGUUAUUAUGGAGUUUUUUUCCAAAGUGAAAACUUUGCAAAAUAUGUUAUUGGACUUGUUUAACCUCUCAAGAAAAACUCUUCUUUUAUUAGUAGAACUAAUUACAUAAUUAAUUUGCCUGAUCUUUAUUUUCUUAAAAAUUGGUUUUCAAGGUUACAUGGCCAUAUUUGAACUACAACCAUUUGAUAAAUUCACUUAAAGUUCCAACCAAAAUUUGGAGAUGUCAUGUGAUGGUUUUAAAUCACUUUUAUGCCAAAAUAUCUUUUAUUCAUGUAAUAUUUUGAGCUCUGCAUCAAUUUUUCUUCUCUGGUCCAGAGUGCAAUUUUUCACUGCAACUCAUUUAAAUAUUUCUUUCUAGCCUCCACCAAAAUUAUAGGAUGUUGAUAGUAGCUUAUGAUUCAACUUUAUGCAAAAAACCCAAUGAUGUUAUUUGAAGUUUUUGAGCGAAUCAACCUCAUUUUCAUUCUGUUCCAACAAGUCCAACCCAUUUUUGGAUUUUAUUUCAUUUAUUCUAUUCCCCAAGACUUUUCUGUCAAUUAUUUUAAGCCUGGGUGAUUUGCAAAGCAAGUACCUAAUUUCUUUUGAGUUUUGAUCUCAAACCAACUCCUCUGGAUAGUCCUUAGCACCCACAACCUAGGACCAUCAAGAUCCACUCUUCUUAUUUUCAAAAUUUUCAAGUUUCAGCCUCUGCAAGUUUGGACCAGAUUUGUCAAAUUUGGUGAAAUUCAUAUAUUCUCUUCUCCAAAAAUUCUACCAAAAUUCAGGCAGCCUCCAGGUGCAAUGAGAGGCCACCCCACCAAAAAUCAGCUCAAGCAAAGUUCUCCACAUGCCAAAAUCAUUUCGUCGAACACCUGGCCGGCACUGUUACUGUGCACUUUCAGUAAAAUUCAGAGUUUUACAGUGUCAUUUUUCGUCAGGGACUUGUCAUCGAUCAACUGUGCGCCCUGGCGCGUUGCGCUCGGCCUCUCCUCCCUGGCCAGAGCACCGCACGCCCCCUUGGACGGGCACAGGUGUCGGUGGCGGCGAGCAUCGCCAGAGUUGGCAGCUUCUGCGGUGGCAAAGCCACCCGUGGCGGCCGACAGGAGACAGCGCCAGCUCGCAACGCCGUUCGGCGCCGCCCAACACUCCCCUGCCCUCCGCGUGGCCUCAUGCACGCCAGCGCACCCCGCAGCACCGUCGCCGUGGCCCGGCAGGCACAGGGCGCGCCCUCUGCCGCCGACGGGCCCGCGCCGCCCCGUUCCGUCGAAUCCACCCAGGGCUCCUAAUCCAAGCUCGUUUAGCGCCAAAACAGAACCAGUGGACCUCCAUGUUGUUGCCCAACCUCCUAAACUCCCCGACCAAUCACUGCGCCGCCGUAACCAUCGCCGGACUUAUCCCGUUCACGGCAACCGCCUCGGGCCGACUAUAUAUAGCGCCCCCAAGCUCACUCUUGCCCCCGCACACCUCCACCACCACACUGGACCCCGCCCAGCAACUGGAAGAGCCUCGAGGGGCCCUUCUUCCUUGACUCCGGCCGCCUCGUUCCGCCUCGGCCUUCGUCUUGAUUCACUCCGAUGAGACCAUCCCCGGCGCCCAAACUUCGUCAGUAACCUCCUCGAGCAUCCAGAGAGCUAAGCCCCACUUCGAUUCGAUCCUUGCAGCCCUCCUCGGCGAGCUCCAUCAACGCCCGAACCACCGUCCGCCGGAGCAAGGGCCGCCGUCGAUGUGGUGCUCACCGGCGACCACCACCACCACCCACCGACGUGGAAGGACACGGUGAACACGUUGGUAACCUUCGAUCCCCCUGCCUCGCCGUCGAUCGCCGCCGGCGACCACCGCGGCUCUCAGGCACCGUCGAGCUCUGCCGCCUCUUUUGAAAUUUCAAACCUGACGGGCGAGACCCGCCUGUCAGCCUCUCUGAUCUUUUAAACGAACCGUUUUCUGAAAACGUCUUCUGCCAAAAUGCAUCUCCCCUCUGGGCCAGCGUAUUCUCAAUCGAAGCGUUUUCUGUUUUUAUAAGUUAGCCCCUGGGCUGUUUCAUUACAGAUGAGUCCCUAGAUUAAAACUCUUAUAACUUUUAAACAGAAAAUGUUUUUUGAUUGAUUCUUUUUCUGUCAUCUUUAAAUUUUUGUCUAGUUUUUUAUCAUAUUUAUUUGAAAAAAAUUUCGAACAACUUUUUUGUGCUGUUUUGAAAUUGUGUGUUAAUUCAAAUUUAUUGAAAAUAGGAUUUUGGAGAGAGGAAGAAAACUUUCAAAAGUUUUGGAGAGCACCCCCACCUUUCCACACCAUGAAGGCAAGCAUCUUGAACCCUGGCAUAAUAUUUCUGGUGUGUUAGUUGAUACGAUUAUAGCACCACCUCAUUUCGGAGAUCUCGUUAUUUUAUGUGGUGAUACGAUCAUUUGCAUGAAUGCAUAUUAGUGAUUUUCCUUGUUGUUGCGAAUGUAUAUACUUGUGAUGGUAAUCAUCCUCAUGUGCCUUGCAUGCAUGCCGGAAAGGAAUCCGGGAAAGCCUCUGCCUUGGGUAGGAGUGAGCUUGUCGCCGGUCCCCGUCGGGACGGUUAUGUCCGGUAUGGCAUAGUAAGGUAUAAUGGGUGGUGAUUUCGUCGGUUGAAAUAUAUUUGAUAUACAUGUUAUGCAGGGAACUUAUAAGCCUCCUGAGUCGGCCAUAGAUCGAGUCUUGUUCCGGUAACCCCCAUACUUGUUUCGUACUGCCACUGGUCCCUACCGUAGGUGGGGUAUGGUUCAGUAAGUUGUUAACCCUUGUCUUGGCACACACCGUACAGAGAGGCCAUGGUGGAAGAUACCGGUUGUAGCCGGUAGGCAUGCCACCUGGUCCGGGGGCAUGGGUGUAUCCGGUUGGGACCGAGAGGGGGGCACUCCUUAGGGCGCGCGAUAGAAAUUUGAUCCCAUGCUACGCGAGGUUGUAGCCUCCCCACUUAGAGUUUUGCUUAAUAGGUGUCAUGGGUGAUUCCAGACACGAGUAAAAGCUGGUGUGUGCAAGUCAGGUGUGUUUCAAUUAAAAGACCGUUGACGGAAUUAGUCCGAUGGACUAAAGGAAUCCGUUACUCGUGGGUAAAGAGUACACCCUCUGCAGAGAUAUUAAACCUAUUCGAAUAGCCGUGUCCAUGGUUAAGGACUACAGUCUGGGAUGGGUCAAGUGUCGGUCGUAGUGUCGGUCUUCGGAGGAGAAACUACUAAACCCGAAUAUUGAUCAUGACUUGUGAUAUAUGAUGGUUAUGAUUAUUAUCAUUAUGGACUAACCGUUUGCAUUGUUUGAAAUAAUGAAUAUCCCUGGGACGGUACCACCCCCUGGAUAUUCACUAUGAUUAUGUUUAUAUAUAUAUAAGCCCUUUAUGUGGCGUCGCUCAUAUGCCCGACUGUGGCAGGUUCGUUAUUUUAUUUACUUCAUAAGCCCUUUAUGCGGUGUCGCUCAGACGCCCGACUGUGGCAUGCUUGUUAUUUUAUUUACUUCAUAAGCCCUUUAUGUGGUGUCGCNNNNNNNNNNNNNNNNNNNNNNNNNNNNNNNNNNNNNNNNNNNNNNNNNNNNNNNNNNNNNNNNNNNNNNNNCGUCGCUCAGAUGCCCGACUAUGGCAGGUUCGUUAUUUCAUUUUUAUAUAAGCCCUUUAUGCGGUGUGGCUCAGACGCCCGACUGUGGCAUGCUUGUUAUUUUAUUUACUUCAUAAGCCCUUUAUGUGGUGUCGCCCAGACGCCCGACUGUGGCAUGCUUGUUAUUUUAUUUACUUCAUAAGCCCUUUAUGCGGUGUCGCUCAGACGCCCGACUGUGGCAUACUUGUUAUUUUAUUUACUUCAUAAGCCCUUUAUGUGGUGUCGCUCAGACGCCCGAUUGUGGCAUGCUUGUUAUUUUAUUUACUUUAUAAGCCCCUUACGUGGUGUCGCUAAGACGCCCGACUGAGGCAUGCUCACUUUUACUAUCCUUUCGAGACGUCACUUCAGACAUCCGAUUGGUGUAUUUUAUUUCUNNNNNNNNNNUAUUUACUUCAUAAGCCCUUUAUGUGGUGUCGCCCAGACGCCCGACUGUGGCAUGCUUGUUAUUUUAUUUACUUCAUAAGCCCUUUAUGCGGUGUCGCUCAGACGCCCGACUGUGGCAUGCUUGUUAUUUUAUUUACUUCAUAAGCCCUUUAUGUGGUGUCGCUGAGACGCCCGACUGUGGCAUGCUUGUUAUUUAUUUACCUUAUAAGCCCUUUAUGUGGUGUCGCUAAGACGCCCGAUUGAGGCAUGCUCACUUUUACUAUCCUUUCGAGACGUCGCUUCAGACAUCUGAUCGGUGCAUUUUAUUACUAUUCUGUCAUUACCUAUUCCUGUUGCAUAUAAAUAACCUGCUUGCAUGCCUCGGGAUUUUAUUUUCAUGACUGAAGUUGUGAUUAUAGAAUAUUUUCAGAGCAUGAAUAUUGUUUGCUAUAUUAUACCCGUGUUCAUAAUGUUUGCGAGUACAUUCAAAAGUACUCACUGGCUUGUCCCUGGCUAUUGUCUUGGCCAGAUUGCUUGCUUGGAGAGGAGCAUUGCGAUGACAGUCUCGGAACCUAAGCACGGUGAUAGCAGCCUCGCGAAGAUAGGAGUUAACCUGGUCAGCUGUUCCUGUGGGAAAUGGAGUCCCAUAGACCGUGGUGAACCACAAACCGCUUCCGCCAUCGACCACUAGAAACCAAUUGUUGUACUCACAGACCCGAAUGGUCUUGUACUACACAUUUUGUAUUUUUGCUUGGAAUUUUUGUAUCAAGUUGGUGCCUCAUCAGCUAACAGUAAUCCUGGGGCUGGUGAGCACAACGGCCAUUUUCUGGAAGUUAAUACCCGGAAAACCGGUCACGAUAGAAUUGGUAUCAGAGCCAGGCUGACCAUUGGCUAAUCCUAUCUUAGCCAGGUCAAUAAACUUACGCAGACCAAUCCAUCAAGCCAUAACCAAACCAAGCUUCUCAUACAAGAUAGCCCCACAGUGACCCGACACCUUUUGGCAGUCGGUGCCCAACCUAUCAACCUAAGCAUGUUGAUCACGCGCCAGUAACCGGCCCCUAAAUAGUCCUUUCUCGCAAACGUGCGAAGGAAGACUCCGUCCCCUUUUCCUAUAAAAAGGGGCACGCUAGCCCCAACACAGCACAGCACAGCCUCUAUCCCAAACCAAGCUACAAUGCCUGGCCCUGUCGUGCACAAUGAGACCACAGCAACCAACCUUGGAGGCUUUGUGACCAUACUCGCAAACCUCACCCGUCGUGCCUAUGCGUUAGAAGAGCCCCCAGAAUAUGUUGUGUACCAAGGACCCAUGAGCGGUGAGAGCCGACAAUUCUGGGCCACUGUACACAUCUACGGUAGGGGUCUAGCGCCCGAGCGCCCCUACAGGUUCACCGGAAGGACAACUUCCUUUGAGCCUCAAGCCAUCCAACUAGCCGCUCGAGAGGCUAUAGUUCAUCUCCGGCACUUGUCGCCCAGAGUUAAUUGUCGCUCGUUCCACUACUACCCCGGACGUGAAGGGUAUGGUAGGCCACCCGAAGUUGCCAACGGAGAUCACGAGAUAGAUCCUGCAUUGUUGCAUCUAGUGCGCUAUGUAGGUGCACUAGAGGAACUGUUCGAUCAAAUCACCAUUGAUCUAAUCGCAGCUCGUGGAGAACUGGUUCGUCAAGCCCCGGCGAGAGAAGAGAACGAGCCCAACGCCAACAAUCCAGUCGUGCUGUUUGGACACCCGAUCGAGUCCCUGAGAUCUGCCCCAGCCAUCGGCCAAGGUGCUGCGAUAACCCCAGAAGUGCUUCGUCGCAUAUUGGGAGCACACUCCAAUGGGGUUGUGGCCAACAAUCCCCGAGAUGGUCCUCAUCGCUACCCCGAGCCUGUAGCCCCUCAACCCAAUCCAGCUAAUCCCGAUAGUGAGACCAGAGGAGAAGCCUCGACAUCCACAAGGCACGCCCGCUUGGAUAUAAACGAGGUAGACUAAGUCACUCGAGUAGUGUCGAGUCCCAGUGUAUCCUCACUUUGUAAUCGUGUGACCUUGUAAAUAAACGCCGCCUGUUGUUGUGCCUCUAUAGCCUUACAUGGAUAUGACAGCAUGCAGUAUAAAUUUCUAUCCAAGACACAGUUACCAAAAACCUCUCCGACAACCCCCACAGUAACACGUCACAUUAGUGUAUCUGUUGCUUGACCCCAACCCGUGGAGCAGAGCUGGAAAUUUCAUUGCCAUUCACCACGGUAAAAUGACCCAGCUCCGGUGCUAUAAAAAGGCCACCGCGUGACCUUGCCAAGCACCCCUCAUCUUGUGCACCAUCCUCACAACCAUUUCUUGCCAUGCCAAGCCCUAGUAUUUAUCUGAGAACCCCAGAUGCAACCCUGGGUAGUUUUGUCAAAAUAUUGUGGGAUUUUACCUGCAGUACCAUGGGCGCUACCCAGCCACCCCAGUACGAGCUGUUCAAAUCGAGAAUCACUCCUUCCACCUCGAGAUAUUGGGCAGCAGUACACAUCCCUCCCAUAAACUCAAACCAAGACCCAACGGAGGUCUCCUUCGUGGGGAAAUCUAUGCCGACCCCGUAUAUGGCCAUAGAAGCUGCUGCAUACGAAGCGCUUGCUCGCCUUCGAUUCGCGGUACCCUAUGCCAGCAAACGAGGGUAUUAUUACUUUCCGAGCCGUGCAGCACCCGGAGGAGUAACAUCUUUUCCCGGUGGACGAACUGAGAGAGACCCAGUCCUGGCCAACCUUGUCCAGUACACCAUCGCUCAAGAACGUUUAACCCAACGUGUGAUGGGUUAUCUCCAGAGCCUCGCAGAUUUAAAUCCUCAGAUUGCCAUCGGCAGAUCAGUAAGGCCUGACCAGGAGAGACGCGUUCAUCGGUUGAUCAAUUCGCUCUCCCCGAUAGAAGAGGAGUGUGUCCCAGUACCAGAGACGUUUUCUCGGGACCCCGUCCAGUUACCGUUUCCAUUUUAGACGUCGAUGUUGUGUUCAUUAUUGCGACAUUUAUUUAUGUGUUGUAAGUUAUGCGUGAUACCCUGAGUUUGUACGACGAGUCAAUUAUUUGUCUUCUACUAAUGUGUGUAGUUUUGUUGUGGUUUAUGCUCCUUUAAAUUAACCAUUUUCCCUCGUGAAAAAAAAAUCCCGGAAUAAGAUUUCUUUUCCCGGAGCUGCUGCAUCAUACACCUUCUCACGACGUGGAUUAUUUUACUUCACACAGUACCAUGACAGCAGACUCACAACCACAAUCGCUCGAACGCAUACCCUGCUUGCAAAAACACGUAACCGUGGAGUAUUUAUUUCUCAAAACAAAUCCUAACAAAUCUCGAGGACGAGAUUUUUUCUUAAGGGGGGUAGUGUUGUGACACCCCAAAAUUUUGACCUUGUUUUAAUAAAUUAAAAUUUUGCCAGGAGAUUAAAACUUUUAUUUUCUGGGCUCCCUUUUUAUUUUUGAACCAUUUUUCUCCCUUGUUAUUAUGGAGUUUUUUCUCCAAAGUGAAAACUUUGCAAAAUAUGUUAUUGGACUUGUUUAACCUCUCAAGAAAAACUCUUAUUUUAUUAGUAGAACUAAUUACAUAAUUAAUUUGCCUGAUCUUUAUUUUCUUAAAAAUUGGUUUUCAAGGUUACAUGGCCAUAUUUGAACUACAACCAUUUGAUAAAUUCACUUAAAGUUCCAACCAAAAUUUGGAGAUGUCAUGUGAUGUUUUUAAAUCACUUUUAUGCAAAAAUAUCUUUUAUUCAUGUAAUAUUUUGAGCGCUGCAUCAAUUUUUCUUCUCUGGUCCAGAGUGCAAUUUUUCACUACAACUCAUUUAAAUAUUUCUUUCUAGCCUCCACCAAAAUUAUAGGAUGUUGAUAGUAGCUUAUGAUUCAACUUUAUGCAAAAAAACCCAAUGAUGUUAUUUGAAGUUUUUGAGUGAAUCAACCUCAUUUUCAUUCUGUUCCAACAAGUCCAACCCAUUUUUGGAUUUUAUUUCAUUUAUUCUAUUCCCCAUGACUUUUCUGUCAAUUAUUUUAAGCCUAGGUGAUUUGCAAAGCAAGUACCUAAUUUCCUUUGAGUUUUGAUCUCAAACCAACUCCUCUGGAUAGUCCUUAGCACCCACAACCUAGAACCAUCAAGAUCCACUCUUCUUCUUUUCAAAAUUUUCAAGUUUCAGCCUCUGCAAGUUUGGACCAGAUAUGUCAAAUUUGGUGAAAUUCAUAUCUUCUCUUCUCCAAAAAUUCUACCAAAAUUCAGGCAGCCUCCAGGUGCAAUGAGAGGCCACCCCACCAAAAAUCAGCUCAAGGAAAGUUCUCCACAUGCCAAAAUCAUUUCGUCGAACACCUGGCCAGCACUGUUACUAUGCACUUUCAGUAAAAUUCAGAGUUUCAGAGUUUUACAGUGUCGUUUUUCGUCCGGGACUUGUCAUCGAUCAACUGUGCGCCCUGGCGCGUUGCGCUCGGCCUCUCCUCCCUGGCCAGAGCACCGCACGCCCCCUUGGACGGGCACAGGUGUCGGUGGCGGCGAGCAUCGCCGGAGUUGGCAGCUUCUGCGGUGGCAAAGCCACCCGUGGCGGCCGACAGGAGACAGCGCCAGCUCGCAACGCCGUUCGGCGCCGCCCAACGCUCCCCUGCCCUCCGCGUGGCCUCAUGCACGCCAGUGCACCCCGCAGCACCGUCGCCGUGGCCCGGCAGGCACAGGGCGCGCCCUCUGCCGCCGACGGGCCCGCGCCGCCCCAUUCCGUCGAAUCCACCCAGGGCUCCUAAUCCAAGCUCGUUUAGCGCCAAAACGGAACCAGUGGACCUCCACGUUGUUGCCCAACCUCCUAAACUCCCCGACCAAGCACUGCGCCGCCGUAACCAUCGCCGGACUUAUCCCGUUCACGGCAACCGCCUCAGGCCGGCUAUAUAUAGCGCCCCAAGCUCACUCUCGCCCCCGCACACCUCCACCACCACACUGGACCCCGCCCAGCAACUGGAAGAGCCUCGAGGGGCCCUUCUUCCUCGACUCCGGCCGCCUCGUUCUGCCUCGGCCUUCUUCUUGAUUCACUCCGGUGAGACCAUCCCCGGCGCCCAAACUUCGUCAGUAACCUCCUCGAGCAACCAGAGAGCUAACCCCCACUUCGAUUCGAUCCUUGCAGCCCUCCUCGUCAAGCUCCAUCAACGCCCGAACCACCGUCCACCGGAGCAAGGGCCGCCGUCGACGUGGUGCUCGCCGGCGACCACCACCACCACCCACCGACGCGGAAGGACACGGUGAACACGUUGGUAACCUCCGAUCCCCCUGCCUCGCCGUGGAUCGCCGCCAGCGACCACCGCGGCUCUCAGGCACCGUCGAGCUCUACCGCCUCUUUUGAAAUUUCAAACCUGAUGGGCGGGACCCGCCUGUCAGCCUCUCUGAUCUUUUAAACGAACCGUUUUCUGAAAACGUCUUCUGCCAAAAUGCGUCUCCCCUCUGGGCCGGCGUAUUCUCAACCGAAGUGUUUUCUGUUUUUAUAAGUUAGCCCCUGGGAACUUUCUGUUUCAUUACAGAUGAGUCCCUAGAUUAAAACUCUUAUAACUUUUAAACAGAAAAUGAUUUUUGAUUGAUUCUUUUUCUGUCCUCUUUAAAUUUUUGUCUAGUUGUUUAUCAUAUUUAUUUGAAAAAAUUUCGAACAACUUUUUUGUGCUGUUUUGAAAUUGUGUGUUAAUUCAAAUUUAUUGAAAAUAGGAUUUUGGAGAGAGGAAGAAAACUUUCAAAAGUUUUGGAGAGCACCCCCACCUUUCCACACCAUGAAGGCAAGCAUCUUGAACCCUGGAUUAAUAUUUCUGGUGUGUUAGUUGAUAUGAUUAUAGCACCACCUCAUUUCGGAGAUCUCGUUAUUUUAUGUGGUGAUACGAUCAUUUGCAUGAAUGCAUAUUAGUGAUUUUCCUUGCUGUUGCGAAUGUAUAUACUUGUGAUGGUAAUCAUCCUCAUGUGCCUUGCAUGCAUGCCGGAAAGGAAUCCGGGAAAGCCUCUGCCUUGGGUAGGAGUGAGCUUGUCGCCGGUCCCCGUCGGGACGGUUAUGUCCGGUAUGGCAUAGUAAGGUAUAAUGGGUGGUGAUUUCGUUGGUUGAAAUAUAAUUGAUAUACAUGUCAUGCAGGGAACUUAUAAGCCUCCUGAGUCGGCCAUAGAUCGAGUCUUGUUCCGGUAACCCCCAUACUUGUUUCGUACUGCCACUGGUCCCUACCGUAGGUGGGGUAUGGUUCAGUAAGUUGUUAACCCUUGUCUUGGCACACACCGUACAGAGAGGCCAUGGUGGAAGAUACUGGUUGUAGCCGGUAGGCAUGCCACCUGGUCCGGGGGCAUGGGUGUAUCCGGUUGGGACCGAGAGGGGGGCACCCCUUAGGGCGCGCGAUAGAAAUUUGAUCCCAUGCUACGCGAGGUUGUAGCCUCCCCACUUAGAGUUUUGCUUAACAGGUGUCAUGGUUGAUUCCAGACACGAGUAAAAGCUGGUGUGUGCAAGUCAGGUGUGUUUCAAUUAAAAGACCGUAGACGGAAUUAGUCCGAUGGACUAAAGGAAUCCGUUACUCGUGGGUAAAGAGUACACCCUCUGCAGAGAUAUUAAACCUAUUCGAAUAGCCGUGUCCAUGGUUAAGGACUACAGUCUGGGAUGGGUUAAGUGUCGGUCGUAGUGUCGGUCUUCGGAGGAGAAACUACUAAACCCGAAUAUUGAUCAUGACUUGUGAUAUAUGAUGGUUAUGAUUAUUAUCAUUAUGGACUAACCGUUUGCAUUGUUUGAAAUAAUGAAUAUCCCUGGGACGGUACCACCCCCUGGAUAUUCACUAUGAUUAUGUUUAUAUAUAAGCCCUUUAUGUGGCGUCGCUCAGACGCCCGACUGUGGCAGGUUCGUUAUUUUAUUUACUUCAUAAGCCCUUUAUGCGGUGUCGCUCAGACGCCCGACUGUGGCAUGCUUGUUAUUUUAUUUACUUCAUAAGCCCUUUAUGUGGUGUCGCCCAGACGCCCGACUGUGGCAUGCUUGUUAUUUUAUUUACUUCAUAAGCCCUUUAUGCGAUGUCGCUCAGACGCCCGACUGUGGCAUGCUUGUUAUUUUAUUUACUUCAUAAGCCCUUUAUGUGGUGUCGCUGAGACGCCCGACUGUGGCAUGCUUGUUAUUUAUUUACCUUAUAAGCCCUUUAUGUGGUGUCGCUAAGACGCCCGAUUGAGGCAUGCUCACUUUUACUAUCCUUUCGAGACGUCGCUUCAGACAUCCGAUCGGUGCAUUUUAUUACUAUUCUGUCAUUACCUAUUCCUGUUGCAUAUAAAUAAUCUGCUUGCAUGCAUCGGGAUUUUAUUUUCAUGACUGAAGUUGUGAUUAUAGAAUAUUUUCAGAGCAUGAAUAUUGUUCGCUAUAUUAUACCCGUGUUCACAAUGUUUGUGAGUACAUUCAAAAGUACUCACUGGCUUGUCCCUGGCUAUUGUCUUGGCCAGAUUGCUUGCUUGGAGAGGAGUGUUGCGAUGACAGCCUUGGAACCUAAGAAACAGUGGUAGCAGCCUCGCGAAGAUAGGAGUUAACCUGGUCAGCUGUUCCUGUCGGAAAUGGAGUCCCAUAGACCGUGGUGAACCACAAACCGCUUCCGCCAUCGACCACUAGAAACCAAUUGUUGUACUCACAGACCCGAAUGGUCUUGUACUACACAUUUUGUAUUUUUGCUUGGAAUUUCUGUAUCAAGUUGGUGCCUCAUCAGCUAACGGUAAUCCUGGGGCUGGUGAGCACAACGGCCAUUUUCUGGAAAUUAAUACCCGGAAAACCGGUCGCGACAAAUACAAAUAGCGUCUCAGAAAAAGCGACCAUACAAGCCGUUUUUGUUGUAGUGACGUCAGCUCGCGAUAUAGGGCCGUGGUGGAACAUCCCCUUCUCAUCGAUGACUUCUUUCAUGAUGAUCGUCGCCAUGUCGCUUUGGAUGCGAAAGAAGUCAUCUCUAAGUUUAUAAUCCGCUUCCCCAUGAGGUUCUAGCCACUUGUGGAUAUGAUCAUCAUUUCUGCUUUUCAUGCGAAGCUUUUGGUGAUCCGUGUUGAAUUGAAUCAUGAGAUGGAUGAUGUAGAAUCCAUCCUUCUUGCUUGGUUUUGGGACAUGGAUGCAGGAGAAGUUAGUUUUAUGCGCGAAACCCAUCUUCUUAUUCCUUUGUUUCCUGAUCUGCAUGUGGCCACCUCUAAUGCUGAACCCUUGGAGAGCAUCAUCUAGAAUAUUCAUUAUGUGGGUGUAGUCUUUUUUCUCGUAGUCUCUGGAAGGGUCAAAAUACAUGGCGUGGGAGACUUGCGGGUAAAGAACGAUAAGGACGACGCGCCCGUUGCUGCGGGGAAAAGACACCUCAAAUUAUUCCCCAUAUGAGAGAGAAGGAAUGAUUGAAAUGUACGAAAGGGUUGACCGGAACUGACUUACUUUGGAUGAUAAGGCACGAGGACAAUUUCCCGGUCCUUAUUCUGUACCAUGAAUUUUUGGAGGUACUCCCUAGCAGUUUCGCGCUCAAAGUCGCUGAGACUCAAGAAAGACUCAUGCAUGUAGUACGGAACCGCCACACAGAUUUGCGAGACUUCUUCACUCUUCAUGACGGAGCUCAUAUGUAGCGCAAAAAGGCGGACGAUUGUAAAAUUGAGCCGCCUUGUCAGAAACAUCUCAAAGAUAUGGUCAAACCGCAUGAAGAACACCUCCACGGGCCGUGUGUCGACAUAGCAUUUCCCCUCAGGCACACGAGCCGUGUAUAUCGGAUAUCUUGGAUCCUUUGAGGCUAGUAGGCUUUUCUCAGUCGACAACACAUGGUCGUGCAGUCUCCUGAGAUCCCCUGAUAGUGCCUCAGCAGUUUCGGCGGUAGCAUCAGCUCGCCCUUGAGAUGGAACAUGGCCGCACCUUUCACGGGUACACGCUCUUCAGAAUGCAUCCUCUGGCUGCUUUGUGCUCUGGCUUGUUUGGAGGCAGUUAUCUUCCCCGAUCUCUUCCUCUCCUUUUUCUUGGGCAUACCUUCCAGACACUUCCUUAACCCCUGCCCCAGGGUUCCCGGGCUAAGCACUGUACGACCCUCGGAUAGUUGAGCCUGUGUUGAGGCGACAUCUUCAGGCGUGUCCUGUGAGGUAUUCAUGAAGAGAGACUUUUUGCAAUCCUUCCAACGACCUUCCUGCCCGGGCAUAUCAUCCAUAUCCUCAUUAGCAUGCUGAUAGCCUGAUUCGUCAUAUGGUUGACUCAUCAGAUCUAUGUCACAGUCAUACGCGUUUGUAUUGAGGAAACCCAUAGGGUCGACCUUCGUCUCAUCAUCCAUCUGCUGUACAGGACUGAUUAUAUCAGCCAGUACUAUUGCACCCCCUUCAUCAUGUCGUCCGCCGCUCUCACUCGGCACUACAGGAGCUGGUAAUUGCGUAGGCGGGGUGGUGGUCUCCGCACAUGCUUGUUGAUGUGUGGUUAUUGGUGUGCUCUCAGCCGGCUCCAGACGAAUAAGAUUCUUCGGCCAUAGCAGCACCCAACCCUUGCAGUUUCCAAUCCGUGGCGGGGUCUCAUCGUCCUCUCCCACGGGAUACAUCGGAGGAGGCAAAUGCUCAUGCCCCGAUUUCACACUGGACAAGUUAACCCUGAAGUGCCCAGCGGGGAUCGGCUCGUUGUGGAACGUGGGUUGCAUGGGGUUCAUUAUCAUCCCCUUUACCACGUCCACCUUCUGGCCUUUGAUCAAGUAGAGUAUGGUGCACGGGGUUUCUUCGCGCUGCAAACACAUAUGUCUGUGGCGUAAAACAUCCGAAAGGCAACGAAAAUGGAAUAUUCUCUCUCUCUCUCUAUAUAUAUAUAUAUAUAUGUUGGUGUGACAUGUAAUUACCGUGACAGCGUCGAGCUCAGCCAAAGACGAAGGCCCACCUAGCGCGCCAGAGACUGAGGACGGGCUGCUAUGAGCGGGAGCGACCGCGAGAGGAGGCUCGGUUGCGUGACCAAGUGAUGGUGCGGUGUUGUUGUUGUUCAUGGAGUUGCUCCCGACGAAACUGGGCAUCGGGAAAUCAUGUACCGUCUUGUCUGGAUUUUCCUUCGUCCAGUUGAUGAUAGAUGGAACCAAGUUAGUAGCGAAAUCAUUUCUGCAGGCAGUUACAGCUGCAUUGACUGCAUGUUGUAGCAACUCAUUUUUCUCCUCGGCUGUUUUUUCCGCGUCCUCAGCUGCUUUUUUCUCGACCGCAAGAUUCACCUUUGCGUUGAUGUCCACCUGACUAAACUUCUUUUUCUUCUUCUUGGCCUCCGGGCCCUCGUUGUAAAACACCUUCCAUGUGGCACCUUCUCCAGCGUCGUGCACACGACCAUAUUGCGGCCGCUGGCCCAAAGGGAGUCCCUUAAGUUCGUUCAAGGCCCAGUUGAGAGGGGUGUCCCACUUGGGCCUCGUCGGAGAAGUAGGGCUUUUGGCUGCAAGCUGGUGAUGCUUCCCCAGUAGUCUAAUCAAUUUCCUCGUGAUCUGGUCCAUGUAAAAAACCUUUUUCUCCUUGUCCCACUUGUAGCGGGCCCUGAUGAAGUCACGCUCCAAGGGGUUGGUGAACUUCGCGAAGGGGUCUGGGAGACCCGCGGCUUCACGUUCCACAUCCUCCUUAUCCCAUAUGGGCCUUUUACCGAGGUAGCCACGGCUUCCGAGGCGAUGCUUCCCCGUGUUCCUUUGCUGAAGGCUCUUGAAUUUCGCAGCCUUAGCCUUGGCUGCCUCGGUAGCGCAAGUGUCCUUGAACUUUUCGAACUCCUCUUCCGUAAGUGUCGGGUUUUCCUCCAGAAUCUUGGACAGGGGUUCCUCAGCCUCAAUAGCUCGUUUCACCCUCCCUUUACAAGAGGCCAAAUCAUUGCUAAACAUGCCCAUGGCGUGAUUGUUAAUCUUUUUCAUCUUCGGAUCAUCCCACGGUUGUUCUAUGUUAUCAUCCCGGUCGGGGAACUUGAAUCUCUUGUGCAACUUCGUUAGGAGCAACUGCGUCAAAUGUUCUUUACUCCUUAAGUCAUCGUCGUUGGUGCUCGCGCAUUCCCGUAGGAUGCAUCCUAAUUGGUUCCCAUAGCACUUGUGAGGUUCUUCCGGCUCUAAUGGAUCAGACUUGCCAGGUGCCAUCUUUGUGAUCACAAGUCGCCCAAUCCCUAGUUUGUUAGGUUUUCGUAUCCUCUGCUUCUUAUGCUUCCUCUUUUAGGUAGUGGCAUCGGCGCCGGUACCUUCCCCGCCGGUAUCUUCCCCGCUGGUACCUUCCCCACCGGUCUCGGCGCCGCCAUCGGUGCCGGCGCCGUCGGUGUCGAUGUCGGCGUCAAUACCAUCAUCGAGGCCGACCUGCAAACCUUGCUUAGCAGUCAAAUAGUCGAGGUACUCUUGUUCACCCUCAUAAUCCAUCUCGUCUGCAUCUUGGUCAGAAGGCCCAGUUUCUUCGUUGUUCGACAUGUUUCCUAUGAUUAAGUGUCCUCGUUUAUUUCUAAAAGUAUGAAUAAAUGAGAAAUGACAUAAAAAAGAAAUCUAUGUGCCAGCACUCGAUAUGCCAACUAUGUAGCACAAAUCAUGCAUGUAUUCACGGCAAAUUUCGGCAUGACCUUUGCUAAAAAAUGGACAUAUCGAGCAUCUGAAAUUCACCGGAACGGAAAUGAAUCAACAUUCCGGCAUAACAUAGGCCACUCAGAUCAUUUACCAAAAUUGAACCAAAACAUCACAUGUCCAAAUGACAUGUUUAAAUUCCAAAUGACAAAACGUGCUGCUCCUACCUUCACUAGCUGUAGCGCGUUUAAACAAAACGCGCUGCUACUACCUUCACUAGCUGUAGCGGUUUAGAUAAAACGCGCUGCUACUACCUUCACUAGCUGUAGCGGUUUUAUAAGGAAAUUGCUACUGCUAGCUUGACUGUAGCUGUUUUAUAAGGAAAUCGCUGCUGCCAGUUUUCCCUUUUCUUUUCCUUUAUUUUCUCCCACUUUUAUUUCCUGAGAGCAGUGAACGAAGGGAAGGCGAUAUAUAUUGCAUCAUUUGACGGUUAAAUAUGUAUACAAAAUAGUAACAUAUAUAUUACAUCAUUGGACCCAUGCAUAAUAAUGGCUAAGUGUGUAUACAAAAUAGGAACAUAUAUAUAUAUAUAUAUAUAUAUAUAUAUAUAUAUAUAUAUAUAUAUAUAUAUAUAUAUAUAUUACAUCAUUUGACCGAUAACAUACAAAAUAGGAAUCAAAAUAGGAAUGUAUAUUCCUCAGCGCUGACGUUUUUGUUUUUGAGUCAACUUCUUUCCCUUCUUGUUCGUCGAAGAAUAAUUGAGCCCCUCAGUGUGACUUUACCUUUUCCAUGGAGUACGAUUUUUCUUAGGUAAUGCAAUAUUGAUUCUUCUUUUGACGUAUGCUUUAUCAUCAUCAUCAUCUUCCCUCACUGGGUUGCCGUACUGAUCAUAGUCUUCCUCGUUGGCGACUCCAUCCAUUCCAAUGAUGUUCCUUUUGCCUCUCCUCACGACAACACGACUGGGAUUGCAUGGGUCGGUUAUGAAUAAGCAUUGUGUCACGUGCUUAGCGUGUACCCAUGGCUCGUUUUUGGCGAUAGCGUUCACAGUAGCGCUCUUGGCGUCGGGUAUAGUCAUGGUAGUGAAAAUCCGGUUUUCUCUUUCGACAUUCUUAGCCCAUCUGACAUGGAACAUCGUCGUGUUGUGCAGUCCAGAGUAGUCAAGCUCCCAAAUCUCCUCGACCCUUCCAUAAAAUCGUUCAGUUGCGCCAUUGUCGCUACCGGUCAUGCAUUCCAUCGUCACCCCUGAGUUCUGAUCAUCACUGUCCAUAUCUUUGGCCUCCGUGUAGAACGUGUAUCCGUUGAUAUCAUAUGCCUGAUAGGUUAUGAGGUUGGGUGAGGGGCCAUGUGCUAAGGCGUAUAUGAGCAAUCCACCCUUAGAGCCCUCCUCCGGGGGAUUAGCAAUAAUAUGCUCUUUGAACCAAUGCAGGAAAGUGGAGUUGUGCUCUCUAGUAACUUCGGCGUCCGUCCUGCAUACCCCCCGGUCACGAUACUUCUUUGCGAUAAUUUCUUUGUGCAGUGCCACGAAAGGAUCUACCUCGUCUAGGUGUUGUAGCACUACCAAGUUUGCUCUGUCAAAGUCGCUGCGUCGAUCUGAGUAUGCCACGUGCAGUUCCCUAUGACUGUUGCAGUGACCUUCUCCUUCGAGCCUCCCAUCGUGCUUGUUAACGGGCAAACCAACACUAACACCAGGCGACUGGUCUGCGCCAUAUAGAAAAUUCUCACAGAAAGAGAUGCACUCUUGUGUCACAUAGCUCUGGACGAUGCUUCCAUCCGGACGGGACAUGUUACGAACGAAUCCUUUGAUGAUCCCAUUCAUCCUCUCUAACGGCAUCAUGUUGUGCAGGAAUGACGGCCCCAGGUCUAUUAUGUCAUCCACAAUAUGGACACACAGAUGCACCAUCACGUCAAAGAACGCGGGCGAGAAGUACAUCUCAAACUCAUUCAGUAUCACAAUGAUCUCUUCCUGUAGCCUUCGGAGCUGCUUCACACUGAUCGACUUUCGAGAGAUGACGUCGAAAAAGUUGCAGAGACCAAUAAGCGUGUCACGGACGUGAUUGUCCAUUAUCCCUCUAAGAGAAACAGGUAGUAUCUGCGUCAUCAUCACAUGACAGUCAUGGGACUUCAUCCCGCUGAACCUUUUCUUGUCCGUGUCUAGAUAUCUGUUUAUCUUGCCACAGUAACCGCAACUAACUUUGACUCCGGUAAGGCACUUAAAGAAUUGAUGGAUCUCAGCCUGACUUAAGGUGAAGCAAGAAGGGGGGCAAUAAUCCUCUUUCUUUAUUUUCUUGCCCUUCUUCUCCCGUGCCUGUCUCCGUCUCUGUCUCGUUUGACAUUUUACGGGGCGGCAUGUGCAGGUCUUCCCUGAUUUUCAAAUCUUGCAAGUCUUUUCUUGCCUUCGGCCCAUCCUUGGUCUUAUCCGGCAUGUUCAUCAGUGUUGCGAGCAAGCUCUCAAGGACAUUCUUACAGAUAUUCAUUUGAUCAAGGUAAUGAGGUGUAUCGAGUUUGUGCCAGUACUCCAAGUCCCAGAGCACAGACCUCGUCUUCCAUACCUUCAGCAGCGGCUCCGGCGCCUUUCUCAUCGUCUUUCCUGGCGCAGGGCACUCCUUCCAGUUUUUAAACAGCUCAUCGAUUUCGGCACCGCUCCGCUUACGUGGAGGUCCUCGAUGCUCAGCGUGACCAUUGAAUAGAUCUCCACGGUUUCUCCAGGGGUCGUCCUGUUCGAGCCAUCUUCGAUGCCCCAUGUACACGAUUUUCCCAGACCCGCCAUCUUUCCUUGACGUUAGCUGCUGAGACGUCGUAUCAUCCAUGCACCGCGUGCAUCCGCAAUAUCCAUGGCACACCUGGCCUGCCACAUAUCCGUAACCAAGAUAGUCCUGCACUUUCGUGAUCAGCGCGACUCUCAUGUUGAAAUACUCGCCUUUGCUGGCGUCCCAUGUCUUGGCCGGUGUUUUCCAUAAUGUGUCUAACUCCUCUUGAAGUAGCCCCAGAUACAAAUUAAUAUUAUUUCCUGGUUGUUUUGGCCCUUGAAUAAGCGUGCUCAUGUGAAUGUACUUCGAUUUCAUGCACAACCAGGGGGGAGGUUGUACAUCCAUACAAACAUGGGCCAUGUGCUAUGGUUGGUGUUCUGGUUGCCAAACGGGUUCAUGCCAUCGGUACACACGCCGAGCACGAUGUUCCUUGCAUCACAUUCAAAAUACCGAUAGAAACUGUUCAAUGCUCUCCACUGGCUUCCAUCCUUGACGUGUCUCAGCUUCGGAUCAUCUCCAUCGUUGGGCUUCUUCCUCUCAUGCGUGCCAGCGCAUUAGCUUUGCUUCCUUGGGAUCUACAAAAUACCUCUGGAGACGGGGAAUGAUCGGUAAGUACCAUACCACUUUCUGGGGACAUUUCUUCCCGGCCUUCUUGUAUCGAGAAGCAUUGCACACCGGAGAGCUUGUUUUUUCCGCGUGCUCCUUACGAUAAAUUAUGCAAUCGUUGGUGCAUGCAUGGUAUCUCACGUGUGGCAAAUCAAGAGGGCACACGAUCUUCUUGGCCUCAUCAACACUACUAGGACAUAGAUUACCCGCGGUAAGAACAUCCUUUAGGUACUUGAGAUGCUCAUCGAGGCUAGUGUCGGUCCAUUUGUUUUUAGCCUUCGUCUUCAGGAGUUGGAGCGUGAAACUCAAGCGGGUCACCUCAGGAUUGCAACCAUCAUACAAUGGAGUGUUCGAGUCUACCACUAGUUGCUCCAGCUUAGCCUCCUCUCUAGAAGCAGCUCUCUUAGUACUCGUCUCCUUGCGAAGCAAUGCUUGAACAUGAGGGUCCCGCAUGAUUGAACUUAGUACCGACGAACUCUGCUGCGUGGAGUCCAUGUCGUUCUCUCCGCCGCCAUGUCCGGCCCCUUCUCCGCCGCCAUGCCCGGCCUCUUCCCCGCCACCAUUAUCGAUCAUCUCUUCGUCUUGCCCCGUGUCAUCAUUGCCUGCCCCGUCGGCAUCCUCAACAUCGUCAUCCUCAUCUUCAAUUAUCCACCGAGUAUAGCCAUCCAUGAAACCAGUCAUGAGCAGGUGCGCUUCGACACAACCAUCAUCAUGGGGGUUGAGCCAAACUAUUCCUUUGCAUUUUUGACACGGACAUAAAACCUCUGUCCGGUUAUUUUCUUUCAUGUCCUGCACCGCCGACCGCAACCACCUGUCCACCAUCAUUCCACUGACCAUCGUCAACUCUUCACGGUAAUAUAAUAAACAAAUUGAUUAUAAAAAUGCAUGGAUGCAUCAAAGUCAUACCAAAAUUCAGCAUGACCUUCCUUAAAAAUAGGACAUAUAUAGAUCUAGAGUUUGCCCGGAAUUCGCCGAAACGGAAAUAAAUCGACAUUUCGGCAAAACAUAGGCAACUCAAAAGCACAAUUUGGCAUCAACUCAUGCCACACACACAAUUUCCAUAAACAUAUCACACACACAUAAACAUAUUUCCAUUUUGCAAAAGCAUUAAAUUUUAAUCACCUAUAUCUCGAGAUCGAGCACAAGGUGGAGAUGAUGAUAUAGGGAGAUCAAAAGUGCACAAAGCUCUUCUUGACAAAGAUAGAUCUAGUUAGGGGGUAAAUAGGUCACUUAACUAAAUACUACAUCUACCUAGCUACCUAAUUUAGGAGGAGACAACUUCAACUAGUGGAAGGGGAAGGAAAAAGAGAAAGGAGAUGCAUUAAUGGAGGUGGUGUAGUUAGGUAGGAGUAAUGAACAGAGAGAAAGGUAGGUAGAAGAGGGAGAGUAAUGGGGGAGAAGUAUUGAGGAAGAAGAAGAGUGAGAGUGGGAGAGGUAGGGGAAAGGGAGAGGAGGGGGAGGGGAGGGGGAGAGUGGGAGGGGAAAAGGUGGUGGGUGCGGGUUAGUAGUAGCGCGGGACGUAAACCGCGCUGCUGCUAAGAAAGUAGCAGCAGCGCGCUUUAGGUACAAGCGCUACUGCUAACCGGGACCAAAAGUGUGACAGAUUUGAAAAUUAGCAGCAGCGACCCUAGAAAAACCGCGCUGCUGCUAAAUGGAGUUGGGUGGGCACUGUCGGUCCAUAUUUGUAGCAGCGCGGGUUACGCCGAGCGCGUUACUGCUAAGAACUUGUCAGUAGCGGGUUUUCCACACCCGCGCUGCUGAAUUAGCAGUAGCGCUCCUUUUUGAGCCGCGCUGCUGCUAAGAUUCUGUGUAUAGGGUUUUCCCUAGUAGUGGAUUGGAGUCAUCGCUUGGACCCUCUAGACGAUCCGUAAUAAGCUUGUGAUCCAGAGUGCUCCUCUUCGACGGGCUACUGACGCUAUCUUCAAACCGUCUAGUUUCUUGCAGCUCUGGCGGCCUCUUAGCCGCCCCCAGGACCGCAACGCCAUCUCUGCCUUCAUCGCCGACCUCCGCUCGAUGGCCGUCCGCCUGUCUCCGCCGCCCCCGCCUCCACCGCCGGAAACUGACUAGUCGCUCCUUGGCUCUCCAGGUCUUUCCCUUUUGUGUUUUGGGCUUGUUGAGCUAUGCCCUCAGCAAAACCUUCGUACUUGUUUGUGUGACUUGGGUGUGUGCGUUUGAACUGGUAUUUGUAUGUGUGCUCUAUGGCGGUUUGCUUUAUUUAUAAAACGGGGCGAAAUCCUUUUUCGGUAAACGAGAGAAUUAUAUAUGCUCUUUUUCCCCUUCUUUACAGGCAUUCCAGAGAGAUUCUCCCCUUGCUGCAGACCUAUCAACCGCCAUCCUUCAACUUUCAGAGAGUGGCCAGCUCCAGAGAAUUCACGACGAGUGGCUCACAGAUCCGACCUGCGGCGAUGAUGACAGUGGGUUGGGAGCAGUCAGGCUUGGCC
RNAcentral lists this long non-coding RNA (93039 nucleotides) under Triticum aestivum (bread wheat). RNAcentral describes it as "long non-coding RNA (TAES_LNC015258)". The stretch from base 69639 to 69753 matches the Rfam family "MIR1120/MIR1122 microRNA precursor family". The record is from RNAcentral. Lineage: Eukaryota; Viridiplantae; Streptophyta; Magnoliopsida; Poales; Poaceae.